CAGAGCAUUGACGACAAGGGGAGCAGCACAAUGGCUAUACGGCCUAACGAUGACCCCGACUGUGUGAGAGAGACGAAGUUGAAGUGGCCGCGGAAACGACAAUACUGUUGUAAUUAUUUUGCAUAUACUGGUCCAUGCUACGAUGACUAUACUGUCUGCAAAGCCCAUUGCCCGUGAUUCAACACAAUUUCCAUGAAUAGUUUUCAUGUAAUAAGGAAGAGAUGAUAUGCAAUAAGUUUUCCUAUCAAUAUUUGCUUUUACAAUUGCUAAAGUGAAUAAGGAUAUGAUUUCCUAAAUUAUUAUGGUGCUUGUACUUAUCCCUAUCAACUGUUUUAUCAAGAAAUACAUUUUUUGUGCAAUGGAGACACAUCGCUGGCACUACAGUGCAGCAUAACAAAGGCUGGCCAGGAUGGUGGUCCAUGGACCACCCUAGAUUUUUUUCACUGGCUUACUUGGGUGUACUUGAGCACAAGAAAGCCCAGAAUAGGAUUGUUUUUUGCUAGAUAAAUAUUAAAUUUAUUUGCGUUAGCACAGAUAAAGAUGUGAUUUCUAAAUUAUUAUUGUCCUUGUACUUAUCUAUAUGGACUAUAUUUUUGUAGAAAUACUUUUUUUGUGCAAUGGAGACAUACCACUAGCACUUCAGUGCAUUGGCAUAACGAGGGGUGGCCAGAUGGUGGUCCAUGGACCACCCUGGGAUUUUUCCAUUGGCUCACUUGGGUGCAUUGGUGCGCUUCCUAAAAAAGUGAAAGCACAACUACGCUCGUUGGUUUUUGUUUUUCUCCUGAUUUUUAUUUUUAUUUUUGUUGUUUUAGGUUCUUAUUAUUUCCUAGUUUUUGGUUUUCUUCGGAUUUUGGUGUUUUUGGACUUGUUUCUUAUUUUUGGUUUUCCCCGGAAAAAAGUUCAUCCAAACCUAUUAAGAUGGAAUCUAGUUUUGAAGAUCUCGAUGCCAGAAACCCAAUGGUGGAAACGAUUCGUGAUUUGGAUGGAUGGUUCGAGAGAUAAAACUUUUUGUAAAAAAAUGAAUCUUUAAAAAAACUGAAAAACUCUUAGCUGUGACAAGUGCUACUUGUCACCACAGAGAAGGUGGGAGUGAUAUUUGCAAGGGAAACGAGGUUUCUCAGCAAGGGAGUGACGCUCAAGUGUCGUCAUCACUAGAUCCAACCAUCAAAGGCUAGAAUCAAAGUUUUCACCUUGAAAAAUAACUCUGAGCAAAUUCGAGCAAUGCCUUCAACAAGGUAGUGAAACAGAAAUAUCGCCAUUGUCAAGUCUAACCAACUUGGGUUAGCCCUAAGUUUUCACUCCGGAGCUCGAGACCGAGAACUGGAGAAGCACCAACAAAUCGAAGGCAAUCAUGUGUUAUCACCACCACUUUUCCAACAUUCCAAUAGCUACAAGCUUUGGUCUAAAAGUUCCACCGCCGCCGCUGCACAACCAUACUCUUUUGCGUUAAGUUGUUGUCGUAGAUUGCAUUUCAUGGCUGAAGGCAAAGUGGCCGGAGUGAGUGCCGCCAAAACUCACAAAGGAGCCUACUGACUUGCAAUGGUUUGAAGAUGUGACAUGUCAGCAUCCAUCAACUGCUUCAGAGAUGAAUGUUUUGAUCAACUACUUUCCUAAUAUCUUUUCUAGAAUCCACCUCCCAUAUGAAGCCAAGUUUUGAUGCAAAGUAGUCUGUCCUCAUGAUGUUCUCUCUCUCACCCUGCUAUUCUACUUCAUCAUCAGUAAAGAACAUAAGCAACGGGCAACCGCCAAUUAUUAAGCACUCAAGUGCUGCUGGAAGACAACAUAAUGUUUUCAGAGUUGACACAUUCUCGAGCUCCAGUUUAGUGCAAUGCCUAAAGAGCUCGGUAUUGAGUGGUAGGCCUUCUAAUGCACUACAUUUCACAAGCUUAAAAGAUUGCAAACUUUCAAAAUAUGAACCCUCAAGUAGCCAACUUGGAUACGCGGCACAAUUGUAACCCUCAAUUUCGAGGCACUGAAGUUGAGGCGGCGGCAUCAAACCUUCAAUAAUCUCCAACCGUAAACUAUCCUGCACACUCGUGUCAUUAUUCGAACUCCAGACAAGGCACAGGGUUCCGAAGUGAUUUUUCUGAUAUAGCUUAGAGUCUAGGGCCUCAUUCUUUCCACUGACAUUCUCCAGAUUUCUGACACUUAAACUGCCACCAUGCUCUUUCAUGUCACUGAGCUGUUGCAACCCAGACCCCUUCUGUUUUUGCACACAAAAUUCUUUAAGAUGUUGUAGCAAAGUUAGCUUGCCUAUAUAACGGAUUUGUGGCAGAGCUACUUCAUACAUCCUGUAUGACAUAUCACUGUACCCUUCAGGAUGCCGUAGCUUGCUUAAAUUACAGAGUUUGUCAGGCAAGCUCUUAACUUUUAUGGUUUAACUGAAGUACCUGUAGCUGACAAAGAGCACAUAAUGACCCAGGCAAUUCGGCAAUAGAAGUUUUGACAAGGUUCAAAUGCCGAAGAUGCUUCAGCACACCUAAAGAUUCAGGUAGCUUGCUACUAUUGUAAAAACACAAAUGGAGCACACGUACCUUCUUCGGAUAUUGCAGAACCUGAUGGAAAACAUCACUUAUAUCAUCUGUAAGUGGUUCAAUGCAGAUAAAGAUAAGGGUUGUACCGAAGUGGGGCUCCUAAACAAAAGGGUUGUUAGGAGUUGGGAGUUGGGACGGGGUGAGCUCACCAUGUUGAUGAGGACUAGCUAAAGAAUGGUUGAGAGGAUUCAGAAUAUACACUGUCACACUGUCUCGUACUGGAAAAGGUAAUCCCAUUUGCAGCAGUAUAGUAUCUUUCAGCUCAAACGUCCAUGUCUUGCGUGGCCUCAGAGCUAGUGUACACAAGACAGGACAGUCGAGGCGGCAUCUCGGUAUCUUGCCUGUCACUUCGUCCGCCUGCAGUUUUGUCUUUCAAAAUUGGAAACCGUGCUACCUCUAGCCGGCCACACUAAUCUCCACAAGUUUUCUUUUCUUCAGUCUCGCACCUUUCUUCAGUAGCAAAUAGCAGAGAACCAGCAGUUGGUUGCAUUCCCGCUAUCCACUCAGCUAAGCUAGAUGGCAGAUCCCUCUGGUGCUCGUGGCGGCGACAUGCCGGCUGAUCCAAUGGUUGAGGCCGUGGAAGAAGCUGUGGCUCCGGUUGAGCAGCACUUGAAGUGGACGAAAGAGGACGAGGAAUCGGAUGCUGCUUUAUCCGCUCCCCUCAUUAGCAGCCUCCAGCAAGUUGACUCAGCAGGGGAGACCAUUGAUUCUGCAGAAGUAGCACCAGCUCCGGUUGAGGAGGAGGAGUACUUGCAGGAAGCAGCGCAAGAGUUUAGGUCCUCUGAGAUCAUAGAUGUAGGUGACAUUUCUAGCUGUAGCCGCGAGCAUGUUGAUGAGGGAUCUGACUUUGCAGAAGGAGAACCGUCUCCGGCUCCGGUUAGGGGUGGUCAUUUGAUGGAAGAAGCAGAAGAGUUCAAGAUUGAUUUCGAUAAGAGAAAAGAGCAGAUGCAUGGGUUCCCUGCAAGCCUACGCAGUCUCGACAGCCAGUACAUCUAGCCGAGGGUCGUUGCCAUCGACCCUUACCACCACGGCAAACCUCACCUCCAGAGGAUGGAGAGGGUAAAGCACGUGGCUGCCAGCCAAUUCCUCCUCGAGUCAGGAGACCUCUCAGUUAGGGAGGUCUAUAACGCUGUCUACCUGGUAUCAGGCGAGGCCCGCCGCCGCUACGGUCAAGACUCUGUGGUGGCAGGUAUUGACGAUGCUGACUUUGUGCCUAUGAUGUUCUUUGAUGCCUGUUUCUUGCUGGAGUUUAUGCAUUUUAUUAGCGAUGAGCAGCUUCCGUUUGAUGAAGCGUUGUCAUACGUUUUCCGCUCCAACCAAGAACUUAUCAUUAGCGAUGUAAUGCUGCUGGAGAACCAGCUCCCCUGGCUGGUUCUGGAAAGCCUGAUGGGAUUUAGCUCUGUGCCCGUGCAAGAGAAGAUGAUAAUUUCAAGAAUGGGGAAAGGUCUCACAAAACGUAGGCAUCAUAUUCAAACCGGACCAGAAGAAAUCCUUUCAAACUUGUAUGAAGAUGAAGAAGAGUACAAGCCGCCACAUCUCCUUGGUCUCCUUCGAUUCUACAAAGCAAGCAACAAGAUGGCCACCAAAGCCAGCAAGAAAGCCAACAAGAAUGAUGUAUUUUCAACACUGAACCGUUUGAAAGCCCGGCUAAUUGGUGCGCAUAAAGAAAUGGAUGUACCAUCAUACAAUAACAUGUCCAUGGAAACACUUAGUCAAUUGUCAAUAUCUCCAGGAGCCACCGAGCUUGCAGAAAUUGGCAUCAAGGUGAAAGCCAUCAAGACGGGAAGUCCCACAGAAAUGGACAUCAGGAAAGGACCCCUCUUUGGCGAUCUUUCCUUCACGCCACUGGCGCUAAACGUAUCAAACGCAUGUUUGCUUGCAAACAUGGCGGCUUUUGAGGUAUGCACGGCAUCAUGGGAUCUAUGUGAUGUUCAAGAGACGGCCGUCUUCUUGUACCUCGCUCUCCUUGGCAUGCUCAUGGACCAGAAAGAGGAUGUGCGCGACCUACGAAGGAAGCAUCUUGUGCAAGGAGAACUCACGAACCAAGAGGUGUUUGACUUUUUCAAGAGCCUUACCAGGCACCUGCCGGUGGGCCUCUCCUUUCUCCUCGUCUUAACGAGCAUUGAGAAGUACCAGGCCAACAGGAGGAUCUGGGUCAAGGCGCACAAGUUCAUCUACAACAACUUCAAAACCAUUUCCGCGGUCCUCUCCGUGGUUGGUGUUCUGGUGGGCAUCUUCAAGACGCUCCUCUCUCUCAAGCAACACCAGUAAAGUCAGACCAUGUUUGCCAUAUUUUCAGUUAUGAACCUUCUGUAAAUCUCUUUUUUAAACAAUAUAUGCAUGUUUGUUGGUCUCAUUUCUGCUACUUAAUUCGUUUCUACUGCCUAAUUCAGUGAAGACUUUGAAAUCUCUUCUUUACCAUGAAGGCUGUCUGGCAGAUAGUUUUUAGAUUGGUACCUUCUGUAACACUUGUACAGUAUGAGUUGCUGGUUGUUCUGUUUUGGGGCCUUCUUCUUUCUCUGUAGUUUGUACCAUCAGUAUGAUAAAAUCUUCUGGUCCGUCAAGUAGCAAUGCCACUGACAAAUAUCAAGCUGAUGAUCUGCCCAAGGGGCACCAGUGCCCAUCAGCAUUGGUCAAUGGCAUCACAAGGGAAGCGACACAACAGGGGAAGAAAUUUUCCGACUUAGAAUCAUGUUUCUGGAUGCGCCAAUCCGUCUCUGCUUCACAUUGCUCUAUUUGCUUUUCUAUGUGUGCCAAUUCUUUUUCCUGUUGAUUACCGGUGCCAUGCAUGUUUGUUGGCGUCGUUUCUGCUACUUAACUCCCUCCCCGUUGCUGAAUCCAAUAAAGACUACGCAAUGUCUGAUGUAACAUUGAGGCUUACUACUGCUAGAGUUUUCAGUUUUGUACCUUUUGUAACACUUGUACACCAUGAGUUUCUGGGUGCUCUGUUUUUCAUGGCUUCUUCUUUUUCCAUAGUCUGUACCAUGAAUACUGAAGCAACAUUCUUCUUGCGGAAUCAGAUAUGUAAUUUGCAGGGGACGGAGCAGUUUUUUUUUUUUGAUAAACAGAAAGCAGUUUUGUUCAUUGGUCUUGAUCUAGAAUUCCUGAUAAUACUUUGAAUCAAGUUCACAUCAUAUAUUAAUGUCUUCACUUCUGUUAUUGUUUCUCAUGCUGAACUGUGAGCAACCUUCAUGCUGAACUCUGAGCAACCUAAGGUAAUUAACAACUGUUUGCUUCCCGCAAAAGGGAAAAGAAACAACUGUUUGCGGCAAUUAUGUCUGAGGAAAAGCAUUCUUCUGAGAAAAAAAAUACACGUGCUCAAUUUAGUACUCGCUUUCCUAAAUUUAUCUUGGUAAAAUAGUAUGGCCUUCAACUACUAAACCACAGCUUUAAGCAUCCAUGACAAUUUCCAAGGUACAAUGUUCUGAAUAUUCCGGUGUCAAGUCAAAUCAGUAGAUCUGUGACAAGUACUACAACCUAGACAGUCGCCUCUGUUCUUCGCUAGGCAUGUACACACAUAAUCAAAUAUAUAAGUUUUAGAGUGGUUGGGCUUUUUUAGAACCGUUCGUUGAUGUCGAUCUAACGGCAGACAAAUACGAAGUACUGGGUAGUACUCCGAUGAAAGUACGCGAAAGUACUAAAACGAGUGGGGCCAGUACUCGUGACAAGGUGGGGAUGCGUUUUAAUCUAGGGGCAGUUUAGUCCUAGGAAAAUUUGCACGCGCCGCCCCUCUCGUCGAAUGCAUAACCGCCGCCAUGGUGAUUCACAUUCCACAAUUACUCAUCGGCGGCCAUCUCCUCCCUCUCCUCCAAGUCCACCUCAGUCAUCUCCUCCUUCUUGCCGCUGCAACUUCGCUCCACUCAGGCAACUCCCCACCCACCCCCACCCCCUCUUACACGGCAGAUCGAGCUGAUGGCCGGCGACGAGAACACCGACUUCGUGCAGAUCGCCGGCGGCGACCAGGUCAAGUUGGCCAGGUUGAGGGAGAUCCGUUCUUGGUUUGACAACACAAGGUAGAUGAACUGGACGGCAAUGGCCACUCUCAAGAAUAUGACGAAGAAGGAGAGGGCAAAGCUUUGCCCCCCGCCCGCACAACUGAUUGACAAGAUCGAGAUCCUCCUCUGGGCAAUGGAGCAGGCCAAUUCGUCCAGCGAGUGGACCAGGCGGAGGUGGUGGGCGUUCAGAUCCAGGGUAGAGCAUCCACUGGAUCAGGAACCCACCGUGCACGAGGUGCCGUUGCAGAUUGUGCAACCUCCAACCGAGUCACCGGAGACUCCGAAGCGCAAGAUGAGGAGGACAGUGGUCGCGACCUCGCUUCCCCGCCGUUCUCCACGCUUCCCUUGCCGCUCUCCUCGUCUGAACGGCGGCGGUAGCUAUGUUUAGAGUAUGCUUCCCCACUCCUCAUCUUCCUACUGCUCGUGCUUACAUCGUGGUGAUACUGAUCGUAAUAGCUCAGAGAGGGAAUGCUAGAUGGCAUUUUAAUCUCAAUGAAUUGCAUGAAUAUUUGAGUACAUGGAUUUGGAGGAUGGAUUAUGAUGUAUGUGAACACUAGGCAUCAUAUGAACCCUAGGAAAAAUUAGUAAUGUUCUAGUGGUAGACACUGAAAUAUUUCGGUACACACCGGUAGGCACUGAAAUAUUUCGGAACUGCCCUAGGCAAAAUUUGUAAUGUUGUAGUGGUGGACACUGAAAUAUUUCGGUACACACCGGUAGGCACUGAAAUAUUUCGGUACUGCCCUAGGCAAAAUUUGUAAUGUUGUAGUGGUAGACACUGAAAUAUUUCGGUACACACCGGUAGGCACUGAAAUAUUUCGUUACUACAAUUUCAGUACACAUCGAUGCACAAUGAAUUAUUUCAGUACUGCAGUUUCAGUACACACUGAAAUAUUUCAGUACUGCAAAUUCUAUACAAAGUUGGCAUUUUGUCAUUUAUGUGUGAAUCAAUCCAUGCAUCAUAUGGCAUAACUUUGUACAUGAGUUUGGGUCAAUUUCAUGUCUAUUUAUUGUUAAAAUUAUUGUCAUGCCAUGAAACACAAGACAAGUCACUGACCCAAGCUUGCAAAGAUGACAUAUCAAUGUUGCUGAUAUGCACGUUUUCACCAAGUCUUGUGUCUGAAUUAAAACUAAGCAUUUUUUCUUGAUGGUAUCCAUGGAUCUAGAACUCCUAUGAAUUUGCUCAUGUUGGAUGUUUUAUUCUCCAUCAUUUGUACUAGCAUUCUGUGCGAUUAGAUGCCAUGACAAGACCCCUGGCAUAUUUAUUUUCUUGCCUCCAACAUCACAUGUGUGUUUUGCAGGAAAGAACCUGGAGUUCACCAGGCUGGCUGAAGUUGUGAGGCUGGGAGGCUGAUGGUGCUGCUACUGGCUGAUCCUUCUUCUUUCAGUUUUUGUUCGUCAUUUAUCAAGCCGUUGGACCAGGGCUACUUCCCUAUGUGCUGUUAAUGUAUUAAGUAGUUCCUUCGAAUUUGUAGUACUAGUUAGUUUGAAUGUGGAAGUACCUUAAUUUUUGGAACGAAAUGUUGCUAUGUAGGACCAAGGGUUUCAUACCUUAAUCUUUGGAUAAUUAAUUAUGUGAACUGUUAGAUGUGGUGCACAACGAAACGCCUCUACCAUUGAUACUAUAGUUCAACAUGUCGGUCCAAUUAGAGACCAGCCACUACCAUAUAGAACAGUUAGCAUUUCAUACUACAACCUGGCACGUACAAAACAUCACACAGUGGAAGCACAUCCCUAAGCACCUUGCAUUGUACAAGGUCUAAGAGACCAGCCUCUACCAUAUAUAACAGUUACCAUGUCACACUACAGCAUAUAAAACAUCACAUUGUGGAAUAAUCAUAGCUAGUAGAGCAUUAGGUACCAGUUAAUAAUAGUUGCAAUCCAUCACAAGCAAUAGUACCUAGAUAUGAGUAGAUAUAGGUACGGUAAUACACGACAAGUACUCGCAAACAAGAGCUGACAUAACAAGUUCAUUUCACAUUGAUACAUGGCCCACCCCAGUUCUAAAUGAGGUGGAUGGUGAUCAUCAUCCUCAAGUCAUGGCGACGGGUGUUCGCAACGGUGAGUAGGAUGGCCUGUCCUACCCGAAGAUUCUUGGCACGAAGGAACUUCUUCCACCCUGCCAUGCUCAAGACAGUCCGACCGUUCGUGUCCACUACAUAGGCACAGCUGGUGAUGGAGCCGUUCUGGUAAGGCGUAGUCCAGCAGCCAUGCCUUCUUCGCCCGGGUCGAUGCCACAGCUAUCAAGUAACCUCUUAGGUAAUUUCUGAAAACAGUUGACAUGAUAUAUGAUCAUGUCACGUGCAAUUAUCAACAAAGCAUACACUUCAAGACACAUAUAUCAUUGGAUUCAACACUGAGCAUAUAUAUCAUCACAUGACUACACUAUACGCCAAGCAUCAAAUUACUACAGUAAUUAGGCAUAUCAUUAGAUUACUUCCUACACUAAGCAUAUCAUCGCAUAUUACUACACUACAUGCAUGUCAUAAAAUUCUUCACUAAAUGAAUUCUAAACUUGGCCUCUCAUCACAGUACUACAACAUGCAUAUCAUAUGAAGUACUACACUAACUAAGCAUGCAUAUCAUGUAAUUACCACACUAAGUAACAUACCAUGAUAUGUCGUUUAACAUUCGUCCUUGUGAGGCGGGUCACGAAUGGCUUCCCUAGGUAGUCUUCACGUAGCGGAAGCAUGUCCCAGAGGUUGCCGAUUUCCUCGUCGCCCAGGCUGAGUCCUUGGGCAUACAGGUAUUCAACAAGUGGGUUCUCAUCAUCAUCUGAAUCAGCACCAUCUUCGUCCUCGUGAACUUCAUCCUCACUAUCCGGAAUGAAAUUUAGAUAGAUAACAGAAAUCCUGGGCCUAUCUCUUCUGAAGGAGAAGCUGAUCAAUUCACCCCCAGUAAGACGCAUGCGGGCGAUGAAACGAUCCCAAUCAUCUCCUCCUAUCUGGGUUAUCUUUCGCCCCUUCUCGACCUGCAUAGUGUAUGGGCCCCCAAGAGCGUCAAAGGUCACUGUGUCUGCGACGAGCUCAUUGAAUGCCAAUCUCACAUUGCAUGGUACGAUCUGUGUAAGAUAAAAACAAAUAGCAGACACAAUACAUUAGUGCAAAUAGCAAAAAAAACAAAAAGAAUGUACUGUCAGAAGGUUCAUAUAAAUUAUUACCACUGCAACAACAAAAGAAGGCUGGAAGUAGAUGCCGAACAACGUGGCAGUAGAAAGGCUGGUCCGGCACCGUGAGUUGCAGCGUCCACAUUGUGCUUCCUCCAUUCUACACAGAACAUGUUGAACUCUAAGUUGAAUUGUACAUAGUACAAUACAAAGAUCAUACAUAUAAUAAAUCAUAGUGAUAACCUAUACUGGCAAUGGCCAAUCAAUCUAUUUUCUAUCAUCUAUGUAAUAAAGCAAUGGCAAUGACAAUGGCAAUGCCCGGUUCAUCUAAACCUGGGAAUAGUUGGGCAUCGAAACUUAAACCAGUCCAAUCCACGGCACACAUCAAAACCAAACCAAUCCAGAUAUUUUCAUUUAGAAUCUAGACCAAACCGAACUAUACAUGCGCGUCAUCCAACCCAGUCCAAACCGUUUUCAACUUCCAAAGGUUCAAACCGUGGACAAAGCCAUAUGCGAGGGCACGUCAUGAAUCUAGAUCAGACAUGGCGUCAAAGCUCGAGAGAGCCGACGAGCCCCGGCCGGCAACUGCGGCUCUUGGAUUUGAAGCAGUACUAGGUGGUAGUGGCGGCUCAAACUAAUUGAUUGAUUUGGUCUCAAACCAUAUAAACCAAAUCAAGAUCCAAUCCAAAAACUAAGUUUCAGUCCGUAGGGAGACGCGUUUGAGGAAGGGAAGAAGAGUGGAGAUCUGACGUACUUGCCGUAGUUGGCGGCGGCCGCGCACCGGCAGCGAAGAGAGGGGUCGUCGGCAGAGGCGGCGGCGCUGGUCGAGAAGGGGAGAAAGAAAGAUGUGGAGUGGUCGAGACAGGGAGAAAGAAAAAUGUGGUACAUGUGGUGGCUCGGUUGUGUGGAUGACAAGGGGACCCACUUGUGAGACCGAUAGCAAUUGAUGGCAAACCGUAGGAGGUGCACGACCGCGUGCACGACCGCCACGUCCCCACGUGGAAUCGGGACGGCCGGGUGGGUGUGUCAAGUCAAAUCGGCACCCGCGGCUUCUCGGUAACUCCAAGAGGCAGGAGCAGUGCCUUUCUUCCCCAAAUCGGGUAGAAAACCCUCAUCCUCUCCCGAACCAUACCACCCUCUCUUCCUUCCUCACCACCUCACCACCCUCUCCUCCUUCGUCACCACCCUCCUCCCUUCCUACGCCUCCCUCCUCCUGUCUUCGACCGACGAUGAAGCGCGGGCGUGAAGAUGCGGCGGAUGAGCCGGAGGCAACCAUCGGAGCAGAGCAGUCUGCUGCCAUGGCUGCAGCCGUGGGUGGAGCGGCUGAGUCCGCCGUAGCGGCGGAAGCUGGCGGUGCAGCGACCGUUGUGCCUGCUCCCGCUGCCAUCGCAGCCGUCGAGGCACCCGUCGGCGAGCACAAGGUCGGGGAAGAUCUGGAGGAGGAGGAGAUGAGAAGGCGUAAGCGCAAGGUGUAUGACAAAAUCGAAGAGCUCAUGGAGGAGAACGCCAUAAAGGAGUUCGACCUAGAUAGCAGGAAGGGCAGCGACUUCGACGAGGAUGCCAUCGACGAGCUAUCUGAGGUAGUACUCUGUUUUUUGCUCAGUUUUUUUCAUGACAUUGGGGUUUUUCUUGUUAACUAGAUGAGCAUCAAUUUCACUUGGGCGUUCUAGUUGUACGUAUGUAGGAUUGUAGGGAUCUAGCAUAGAUCUUCAUGUUGGAUGUGGAUUUUAAAUCUGAUUCACAUUCUGAUUCCAGCAUAUACUCUGGGUUUUUUUCAUGGCAUUGGGGUUAGUCUUGUUAACUAGAUGAGCAUAAGUUUCAUAAGGGAUACAUUAAUGAAAGAAGUGGGGUAAUGAACCCAAAUACAAGAAAAUGUUCAUGGCAGGGAUACAUUAAUGAAAAAAGUGGGUUAAACAAUGGAUAUAUGACAGGAUUCUCCAUUGGCUUCCCCAGGAUAGUGACUAAAUUCUGCAGGUCCUGAUUCAUUAUAGUUUAUGUCCAUGAAUUAAUUUGCACACAUGUUCAUAGAUGAUUAGUUUGCACACAUGUUCAUAGAUGAUCCAUUUGCAAAUUCUAUACAGAUUUCCAUUUUGCAAAGGAAGUGAUCGCUCCCUUAAUAAUUAUGGGCUGACAUUACAUAUCCACUGGAUACCGAAAAAUCAAAACAUCUCAUCUACCCAAUUUUCCACAGUAUUUUAUUUAGAUGAUCACAGCCACAUCUCUCAUCAAUAUGAGCAGUGAGACACCCCAUAGCUCCUUUACCAAUUUCCUUCUGAAAGUUAUCAGGGUCUAACAAUGUUGGAGAAGCAGUAUUGCCGCUGUCAGAAAGAAUAAUUGUUUCUUCAUUCCAGUAGAUAGAACAAACCCCCCUUGUGCGAAACAUGGAGGAGUACAAUGAAGCCAUUUUUCUGAUUCCAAUAAGAAUUACACCUGUAACAAGUAUCAAAUAUCAUUAAACCAAGCCACUUCAUCUAUAAAUGCAACUACUUGGGUUUAGGGUUAUCAGGGGUUAGGGUUAUCAGGGUUUAGGGUUGAGUGUUUACAUGCAAUCCCGGAAAUGCGUGUGUCAGAGAACGUACUUGCAUGUAUAUGUAGUAAUGAUCCCAAACUUUCUUAAUGGCAUCCCAUGACCACAUAGAGAAUGAAUGCAUAAUGGUUUCCAUGUUGGGCAAAAUUUUGAAUGUUUAUACGGUUUAGUGGGGGGGAGGGGUUUAGGGUUAUCAGGGUUUAGGGUUUAAGGGUUUUAGGGUUGACGGAACUAUGUUUGUCUUACGGUGGACGUAGCACACACACCGGACAUUGAUGGAGCGUUGGUCUACAAUGGAUUCCCUCCGGUACCAUCGAUCCGGUCCGUUGACUGGCUCGGCCGACAAACUUCGUGCCACAUAAAGCAUGCAUCCAUCCACUGGACCGGAUCGAUGUUUGGUUGGUUUCAUACAGGUGAGGAACCCAGGUAGUGCUUUCGGGGUGUUGACAUGCUAGGCCGGAAAUGCGCGUGUCAGAGAUCGUACUUGCGUGUAUAAUCCCGAAAAUCUUUCAUGGCAUCCCAUGAGACCACAUAGAGAAUGCAUGCAUAAUGGUUUCCAUGUGGGGCAAAAAUUUGAAUGUUUUUACGGCUUAGUGGGAGGGGGGGUUUAGGGUUAUCAGGGUUUAAGGGUUUUAGGGUUGACGGAACUAUGUUUGUCUUACGGUGGACGUAGCACACACACCGGACAUCGAUGGAGCGUUGCUCUACAAUGGAUUCCCUCCGGUACCAUCGAUCCGGUCCGUUGACUGGCUCGGCCAACAAACUUCGUGCCACAUAGAGCAUGCAUCCAUCCACUAGACCGGAUUGAUGUUUGGUUGGUUUCAUACAGGUGAGGAACCCAGCUAGUGCUUUCGGGGUGUUGACAUGCUAUGCCGAAAAUGCGCGUGUCAGAGAUCGUACUUGUGUGUAUAAUCCCAAAAAUCUUUCAUGGCAUCCCAUGACCACAUAGAGAAUGCAUGCAUAAUGGUUUCCAUGUGGGGCAAAAAUUUGAAUGUUUUUAUGGUUUAGUGGGAGGGGGGUUUAUGGUUAUCAGGGUUUAGUGUUUAAGGGUUUUAGGGUUGACGGAACUAUGUUUGUCUUACGGUGGACGUAGCACACACACCGUACAUUGAUGGAGCGUUGGUCUACAAUGGAGUCCCUCCUGUAGCAUCGAUCUGGUCCGUCGACUGGCUCGGCCGACAAACUUCGUGCCACAUAGAGCAUGCAUGCAUCCACUGAACCAGAUGAAAUGCGCGUGUCAGAGAUCGUACUUGCGUGUACAUGUACCAUCCGUUCCAUCCACUGGCUGGGCCGACAACCUUCGUGCCACAUUGUUCACAUUGUCCAAUUAACACUUUGUAUAGAUUUUUUUGGUAAAAAAUGAAAGAAAUAAUGCAACUAAUCUGAACGUAACGUUUGGCAUGUAUCAAACCAAGUUGCUACUAUUCCUCAAAAAAACCCAGUUAGCCACUAAUUGCGCCAAACAUAUCUCGUAAUUACCAACGAAAAUGGGUUGACAAUUAUAUCUGGAAAUUUUUGGACUGAAUUUAUUGCUCUUCCUUUUUUAGAGAACAAUAAGUUAGAAUGGUGGGCGGCGGGUUGGCACGGGCACGGCGAUGGCUCGGGCUUGUGUGAUAUGUGGUUCGACCCGCGGUCAGUGCACAUGUUUUGGAAGCCCCAAAAAGAUCGCGCUCUUAAAAAAACUUGCAUCGAAGCGCAUUACUUCAAAAUAACUAAUUAACCCUACAAUCACGGAUAUAUACCUUCCCAUUCUACCGAAUAUCUACCCUAUCCUAACCACCCCCAUCUACCUUGUUUCUCCUCACAUAGCCAUCGCCGGGAUCGCGCCAUCGCUUCUCAAGCGACCACGCCGACGCCGGAUUAAAAAGGUCUCUUCCACGGCUUCUCUCAUCUUCGAUUGCAGUGCUGAUUAUUUUUUCCAUUGAUUCGACCAACAAGUAAUUUCCGAAGAGAUUAGAAAAUCCAGCUUUUGCCAUAGUUGAGUAGUUCUGGUGUGAUUCGAGUACAGGAUGUCAUGCAAGAGCUUUUUGAUUGAUAGUUUGUACUAGUUGAUCGUACGAACUAAUUAUGAAUAUUUUUUCACGGUCGUAUUGUUUCGAAUUAGGUGGAUGAGGGUGUGGAUACAGUUUUCAUACUAUGGGUAUAUGUGUUGCUGUAGGGACCAUGGUCUCAGAGGCGUAUAACAACCGUGCGGAGUACGACAAGUCUUUGCAUGAAGCGCGUCGGGAGAUCGACUUGAAGGUGCAAAAGGAUCGCGCUGAGGUAGAUAAGAAACUGAAAAAAGAACAUUCAUACGUGGACAGGAUGAUAAAGGAGGAGCGUCAGGAGUUUUCCCUUAAGAUGGCGAAGAUGCGUCUUGAGAUUGAAGAAAAGUAUAAGAGGGACUGUGAGUACAUGGAAAAAAAGUUUUUCUUAGGCUACAAGGAAAUGCAUCAAACGUUGCAGAAGGACCGGAAGCUUGUGGACAAUAUUAUACAGACAGAGCGAGUCAAGAUGGAUGCCUAUGUGUUGCAGGCACGUGCGGAUAUGGACAGUAAGCUGCUACAGGAGCGGUCGGACAUGGAUUAUAAGGCCAUGCUGGAGAAGGUCCGCUUGGAAGGACAUAUGUUAGAAGACCGUGCGAUCUCACGGCCACCCCGACAACAUGUCUUCAAUUAUUCUCCCCCUGUAAGUAUCUCGCACCGAUUCUAUAUAUUAAGGACCUACGUAUUCUAUGAUACAAACAUCUUCAAUUUGUGGCAACCUUAUGUCGGCGAUUGUAUGUAGGCUAAGCAUCAUGAGAUGGCACAGUCGCCAUUCACUCGAGAUAUUGCGAUAGAGUCACCCGUUCAAUGCCACAUCAGUCCACCCCAACAACAUAUCGUCAAUUGUCCCCUUGUAAGUACCUCGCAACGAUGCAUACCCAAGAUAUGGUAUGACCUUUCAAAACUUGUGUGUAAACCCACUAUCGACAUUUCAUACGCAGGAUAAGAAACCUAUGAUGGCAGAGUCCCUAGUCACACCACAUGAAGGAUACAUUCAACAUAAUAAGGUGAGAAGGUUUGGGAUGGCACAAUCCCAAGUCACUCCACAUGAAGGAUACAUUCCACAAAAGCAGGUAACAACGCCGCAAUGUUGCUAUGCACAUAAAAGUUAUGUUUGGCCCUUUACUCAUUGAAUGUAUUAACUCUGAUGUGAGAUACUAGGUGCUGGUCAUGGAAUUUUUUGUUAGUAGGGAUGAUGAGAUGUCACAUGUCCCGAGAGCAUACUUUGAUGAACACCCGGCAGAAGUCAGAAUUUUUGAACCCGCCAAAGUGACCUACGAUCUCAUUAUGAGUGAAAUGAGAGAUAGUUUUGGUUGCAAACUGGGAGCAGAACUGUACUACUUCUUACCCGGGUCUGCGUGCAAGCUGCCAGAAGGAAUGUUCUUGAUUGCAGGACCAGAUGAUGUACAAAAAAUGUUUUUUGAUCUGAAUGGCAGCAAGACAUGUCACCUGUACAUUGUGUACAAUAGAACUACGGGUUGUUUUCCCGAGGAUGACAUUGAUUCCGAGGUUCAAAUUUUACAUGUUGCAUGCAUCUAGUUUAUGGCAACGUCUUUUUUGAGUUCUUCCUAAUACAAUUCCUAUGGUUUUCUACAGGAAGUGAGAAUCCAAGAAAUGGAGGGUCUUGCUAGAGAGUUGGCAGAGAAAGACCAUGAACAACUUAAGUUGUAUGGUUACAUUGAUGUUAAAGAGAAAAAUAUUGAAGCACAUGGGUCGUCGCCAAGCCCGACGCAAUCUCCAACGACGCAACGCAAGAGGUCACUGGAUUUUGGCAGUGCAGAAGACAAUAUGGAGUAGGCUCAAUUGUUUUUCAACCAGUUUAAGCUUCAAACCAGGAUUAUUUAGUUGCAAACAAACCUUUUGUUUUCUGUUUCACACUAUGUUCGCAAUUAUGGUACAAUUUAUUCAUGAUACAGUUCUUUGAACAACAAUGCAUGUGUUUUAUGAUCAAUCAUACAGUUGUUUCUGAGUUGUUUUUGAGAUGGCAUUGUGUCUAAAGAAGUUUCCAUCUAUAGAACUUGGCACACAGUCGCAUCGGAAUCGCGUAUCACGCGAGAGGCGUGCGUCGCACGGGAGAGCGUCGCACACGAGCUUGUUUUCGGGUAGAAAUCAUAACAUAUUUCGGAUAGAUAAAGUUCACGUCCGCCACCCGCGCAUGCAAACCCACGUCGCCGCCAUUCCCAUGCAUGCAUGCCUCAGGCGCAGACAACGAGACGGCCCAUCCGAAGUAGGCCCAUCCGAAUUAGGCCCAUCCGAAGUAGGCCAUUAGAACCCUCCCCCCACUCCACCUAUUCCCCUCGCGCUGUGGCCUCCCUCCCUCCAUCGCCAGAUCCCCCACUCGUCCCCCUCUGUCCGCCACCCCUGCACGCCGUUGGCGACUCCACCCCCACCGCACCCGCGCCCCCCCAACGGGAUCGGCCGGAUCCAUCUCCUCAACCACCGUAGGACAGCGCAGGUACCCCAGUUUCUGUUGACGUCUCAAUGGUAUCCAUGCUGAUAAUGCUAGGUAGAUCGACUGAGUGUAGCAAUUUUGUGCCACCAAUCCACUUUUCUGGAAAAUUCUUGCUAGAAAACUAUCUGAAACUUGUGAUGCUUGCUACUGUAUAAUAUAGGACUUUUCAAAGUUCUGUUAUGAUUGCACUAUUGGACACAUACAGUAGAUCUGCGUUUUUAGUUGUUAUACUUUAAGUUACCAUUAGUGCUUGGGAAAGGACGAAUUGGAUGCAUUCAGGUCUACAGUUGAUAGUGUAUCAUCAUAAUGUAGGUGCUGUGUUGUGUGAUUCUUCAUGCUGAGAACUUCAGCUUUUUCAGUUAUAGUGAAAGGCUUCUGUAUAAAAAACUACUAAAUGAUCACAAAAACUUCUAGACAACAUUCUGUACGAUCUGACCAAAUCUUGAACUAAAUGAUCACCAAAAGUUGAAGGAUUUUGCAUCACAUCACAACCAUAAGUGUUCUGCACCACCAUCAUAACAAUCACAUAACUACAUAACAAAAGCAAACUUGUUCAUCAUUACAAAAGCAAACUUUUUCAACAUAACAAAAGCUAACUUGUUCAGCAUUACAAAAGCAAACUUGUUCAACCACAUAACUGCAAACUGAGACACAUAAUACCACAAACAACUCAAUAUCCCCAGUAGUAGGGGUCAUCCCAAUGAGCCUCCGCCUCUUGCCAGUACUCCAAACCUUCUUUGAUGAUUUCAAUUUUCUUCCAUGCCUCGUAGGUGACGUACGCAUCUUUCUCUGCGUACUCGAUGAGGUUGUUUGGCAGUGGGUUGUCCCCCUAUAGUUUGUGGUCGAAUUCCUUGUUAAUCUUCUUCUUAAUUUCCUUGUAUAAUGGGUGGAUGAGGCUGGCUGCAAACUCAGCCAAAGCCUGCCACUUCUUUCCAUUUUUUGGAACUCUCCAUUUGCGCUGCAUGUCGACGUACUUGUCGGGGUUGAUCUCCAAACCAGACAAUUUCAGCUUCUCCUUGUCACCUCCAAUGGAGAAGCCAACAAAGGUGUACAGCUUCUUCUCCUGCAGGAGCAGGCGGAGUUCCUUGGGCCUGCAUCAAAUUAAUCUGGUGCAUCAAAUUCAUCUACUUCAAAAACUUCAGAAACUACUAAUUAGACAUAAAAUUCAGAACUAGUAUUGCAUCUACUCCAGAACUUCAGAACUAGUAUUGCAUCUACUUCAGAACUUCAGAACUAUUGCAUCUACUUGAGAAACUUCAGAAACUUCAGAACUAUUGCAUCUACUUGAGAAACUUCAGAAACUACUAAUUAGACAUAAACUUCAGAACUUCAGAACUAGUAUUGCAUCUACUUCAGAACUUCAGAACUAUUGCAUCUACUUCAGAAACUUCAGAAACUACAGAAACUACUAAUUAAACAGAAACUUUAGAACUUCAGAACUAGUAUUGCAUCUACUUCAGAACUACAGAACUAUUGCGUCUACUUCAGAAACUUCAGAAACUACUAAUUAGACAGAAACGUCAGAACUUCAGAAACUUUAGAACUGGAUGUUUUUACCAUUUGGUUGCCGCGGUGAUGUGGUAUGCCAGGACGAGAUCCUCCACGCAUAACUGUAGAACUGCAGCCUUUUGUGGAGGUUCAUCUUCCCUCGUAUACUCGACAUCAACGGCGAUCGACCGAGAAAGCAUGCCGCCGAGCCUCCUCCUGAUCUCGCAGAUCCUCUUGUCGGCUUCGUCUGGAUUGCUGGUGCAUACGACAUCCAGCUUCUCCUUCUUCAGAUGGAUAUCAACCAUGAGCGGCACGGUGUAGUCCUGCUUCUGCCCGAGGACCAGAACGUUGUCGUCGACCACCAGCGGCUCCUUGCCAGACGCCUCACCUUGGUGAUGCUUGGCAGACGGAGGGGAGUUGCUCCAUGAUGCCUCCGCCAUUCUCUUGGCAGACGGAGGGGAGUUGCUCCACGAUUCCUCCGCCAUUGCCCUCCUGGCCAGCGAUGGUGGAGGCAGAGGGGAGUUGCUUGACGGUGGAGGCAGAGGGAGGAAGAUGGAGCGGCAAUGGAAUGAGGGAGGCAGAGGGAGGCAGAUUGAGCGGCAAUGGAAUAGGAGGGGAGUUCCCUGCGUCGUGGGGAGUUGCCAGUGGAGGGGAGUCGUGGGGAGUUGCCAGUGGAAGGGAGGCAUGGGGAGUUGCCUCGAAAACUCAAACGUCCUGCCCUUUGGCCCUCGAAAAAUCUGGAGGGGAGACGUGGGCCCUUUGGUUUGUCCUGUUUCUGAAACAAAAAUAAAAUAACAGCCAUAUUUUGCUCUCACUGCAACCAUAUUAAGAGAUCAAAAAUGGCACCAAAAAGUCACUGCAGCCAUCCUAAAUGCCACGAAAACAGCACCAAAACAACAUCAGCCAAAACAGCAAAAAAUGCAUCCAUCGAUCGUUCUUUAUUUCUUCUAACAUUCCGUGUUCUGUGCAGUGAGAUAGACACAACGCUACAAAUGCAGGCUGACAACGCCCGCGAUUUCAUGACCAUCAGGACAGACGGCGGCUUCAUCCACGCUCCGGUCCCAUGAGUCGAGUCGAAAGUAGUGAUGCUAUGUGUAGUUCUGAAACAUUGAUUGGCUCAUGUUGUAAUUAAACUUUAAUGAAUUGUAUGUCUCUUUGGUUUGGACAGUCGUUAAACUUAGAUGUAAUCGAUGCUAUUUAUUACUAGGACCAUGAAUUGUGCUAUUAAUGUCUUGCUUUUCUCUUCCGAUCCUUUUGUUGCAUACUUAUUUAUUGCUUAUGUAUUGUCUGUUGUUUGGCUUGUGCAUAGAGAUGACGUCGUAUGUCGUGUACAAGGGUAAGGUUCCCGGAGUCUACGACGACUGGGAGGAGUGUCGGAGACAGGUUCACCAUUUCAGCGGUAACAGUUACAAAGGGUACACCACUAGGGCGGAGGCGGAAUCUAGAUACACUCGCUAUCUAGCGGGAGAGAGGAGGGAGCGUUGGAGGAACCGGAUGAAGACCAGUUUCAUCGCGAUGAUGCUCAUCGUGAUGACCGCAACUCUCUUCUAUGUGAUGGUAGUUUAGAUGAUCGAUAUCGACUUGUAAUAUGAACACAAACUCGCUACUCGCGGUCUCGAGGCUUGUAAUGUUCUAUCUUUGUUCGGUCUUUUGAAUUCGGAGACUAAUAUGAUGAAUUGUAUUCGGAGAGCUAUCUUAUAUUGUAUUGGAUGAAUGUGCUGUUGCUGUGUGGUGCUGUCUAUAUUCUGUCCAAUAAUAUAUUUUGUAACCUGUGAAAAUAUCAGAAAUGUGCAUUUUUCCAACCACCUCCAAAUCACCUCAGUUUUGGCACACAUGAUCUCUUCCACAAACUAAACUAGGUUUCCAAGUUUUUGUAUUUUUUAUAUUUUUUUUUGAAUUUAUAAUGCCCUCUAGACUGACUGCUGAAAACAUCGGUCUAUGCCUCAAGGGGGCAUUGUAAAAUAAUUUUUUUCAAAAUUUUCUUGCAUACACAUGUUUUGCACAUGUGGGUGACCAUGUACAAGAAAAUUUGGGUGAUUUGGAGGUGGUGGAAAAAUUCACGUUUUUUCAAAAAAUGGCUUAAGUUAGACCAAAUGGUCCCUCCGGGAAUGCGGGCAUUUUUUCGACCACCUCCAAAUCACCUCAGUUUUGGCACACAUGAUCUCUUCCACAAACAAAACUAGGUUUCCAAGUUUUUGUAUUUUUUNNNNNNNNNNNNNNNNNNNNNNNNNNNNNNNNNNNNNNNNNNNNNNNNNNNNNNNNNNNNNNNNNNNNNNNNNNNNNNNNNNNNNNNNNNNNNNNNNNNNNNNNNNNNNNNNNNNNNNNNNNNNNNNNNNNNNNNNNNNNNNNNNNNNNNNNNNNNNNNNNNNNNNNNNNNNNNNNNNNNNNNNNNNNNNNNNNNNNNNNNNNNNNNNNNNNNNNNNNNNNNNNNNNNNNNNNNNNNNNNNNNNNNNNNNNNNNNNNNNNNNNNNNNNNNNNNNNNNNNNNNNNNNNNNNNNNNNNNNNNNNNNNNNNNNNNNNNNNNNNNNNNNNNNNNNNNNNNNNNNNNNNNNNNNNNNNNNNNNNNNNNNNNNNNNNNNNNNNNNNNNNNNNNNNNNNNNNNNNNNNNNNNNNNNNNNNNNNNNNNNNNNNNNNNNNNNNNNNNNNNNNNNNNNNNNNNNNNNNNNNNNNNNNNNNNNNNNNNNNNNNNNNNNNNNNNNNNNNNNNNNNNNNNNNNNNNNNNNNNNNNNNNNNNNNNNNNNNNNNNNNNNNNNNNNNNNNNNNNNNNNNNNNNNNNNNNNNNNNNNNNNNNNNNNNNNNNNNNNNNNNNNNNNNNNNNNNNNNNNNNNNNNNNNNNNNNNNNNNNNNNNNNNNNNNNNNNNNNNNNNNNNNNNNNNNNNNNNNNNNNNNNNNNNNNNNNNNNNNNNNNNNNNNNNNNNNNNNNNNNNNNNNNNNNNNNNNNNNNNNNNNNNNNNNNNNNNNNNNNNNNNNNNNNNNNNNNNNNNNNNNNNNNNNNNNNNNNNNNNNNNNNNNNNNNNNNNNNNNNNNNNNNNNNNNNNNNNNNNNNNNNNNNNNNNNNNNNNNNNNNNNNNNNNNNNNNNNNNNNNNNNNNNNNNNNNNNNNNNNNNNNNNNNNNNNNNNNNNNNNNNNNNNNNNNNNNNNNNNNNNNNNNNNNNNNNNNNNNNNNNNNNNNNNNNNNNNNNNNNNNNNNNNNNNNNNNNNNNNNNNNNNNNNNNNNNNNNNNNNNNNNNNNNNNNNNNNNNNNNNNNNNNNNNNNNNNNNNNNNNNNNNNNNNNNNNNNNNNNNNNNNNNNNNNNNNNNNNNNNNNNNNNNNNNNNNNNNNNNNNNNNNNNNNNNNNNNNNNNNNNNNNNNNNNNNNNNNNNNNNNNNNNNNNNNNNNNNNNNNNNNNNNNNNNNNNNNNNNNNNNNNNNNNNNNNNNNNNNNNNNNNNNNNNNNNNNNNNNNNNNNNNNNNNNNNNNNNNNNNNNNNNNNNNNNNNNNNNNNNNNNNNNNNNNNNNNNNNNNNNNNNNNNNNNNNNNNNNNNNNNNNNNNNNNNNNNNNNNNNNNNNNNNNNNNNNNNNNNNNNNNNNNNNNNNNNNNNNNNNNNNNNNNNNNNNNNNNNNNNNNNNNNNNNNNNNNNNNNNNNNNNNNNNNNNNNNNNNNNNNNNNNNNNNNNNNNNNNNNNNNNNNNNNNNNNNNNNNNNNNNNNNNNNNNNNNNNNNNNNNNNNNNNNNNNNNNAGGGGGCAUUGUAAAAUAUUUUUUUUCAAAAUUUUCUUGCAUACACAUGUUUUGCACAUGUCGGUGACCAUGUACAAGAAAAUUUGGGUGAUUUGGAGGUGGUGGAAAAAUUCACGUUUUUUUCAAAAAAUGGCUUAAGUUAGACCAAAUGGCCCCUCCGGGAAUGCGGGCAUUUUUUCGACCACCUCCAAAUCACCUCAGUUUUGGCACACAUGAUCUCUUCCACAAACAAAACUAGGUUUCCAAGUUUUUGUAUUUUUUAUAUUUUUUUUGAAUUUAUAAUGCCCUCUAGACUGACUACUGAAAACAUCGGUCUAUGCCUCAAGGGGGCAUUGUAAAAUAUAUUUUUUCAAAAUUUUCUUGCAUACACAUGUUUUGCACAUGUAGGUGACCAUGUACAAGAAAAUUUGGGUGAUUUGGAGGUGGUGGAAAAAUUCACGUUUUUUCAAAAAAUGGCUUAAGUUAGACCAAAUGGUCCCUCCGGGAAUGCGGGCAUUUUUUCGACCACCUCCAAAUCACCUCAGUUUUGGCACACAUGAUCUUUUCCACAAACAAAACUAGGUUUCCAAGUUUUUGUAUUUUUUUGAAUUUAUAAUGCCCUCUAGACUGACUGCUGAAAACAUCGGUCUAUGCCUCAAGGGGACCUGCAUGUGAAUAGUGAUUCAUCAAGGCCUUGACAGCUACUGGCACAGUGGCUGCCGCCUGAUUUGCAUGCAGCGAAGAUGAACGUGCAUGGAGGUUUUUCAAAGAUUUCCAAGCACACCCGAGUGGGCCCCGCUUAUUUAAAAAAUACGUCAGUCAUUAUUGCUCUGUAAUGAAGAAUAUGCAUGAUGAUUAUGAAUAUGCAUGACAACCAUAGUAAGGGUGAAGAAUCAUAGUGCCCAAUUUGUCGAAAUACAUCAUCAUUCUUAAAGUUGGACAUCACAUGAUACACACAGAAAGUGGAAACGAAAGAUGUAGAACUAAUACAGUAACAUGGCAGUACAACCGCACUUCACUAGAUUACUGUCACGAUGAAAUAGAAUGUAAAGACCACGUCACACAAAGCUGAAUGGCACACGACUUUCUCUGGCUCAUCGUCGGUUCAUGCUGUAAGUAGAUAUCACAGUUCAGCCUCGAGAUCCUACACAGAAGAAUAGAAUAAAUCACAUGGACAUCAAUUAUGAGUAAAACACAUGCAAAAAAAAUAUGAACAUAUUUCGUACCUCUAGCAAUUUAGCUCAUUUAGGUCGAUUGUGACCUGGUUUCUUGCAAUAGCCACAGAUAUUCUGUGAUCUUGACUUCUUUGUCUUUGCCUGCGGCCUUUUCUUCAGUGCACCUCGUCCUGGCACAUGCACGGGAUCCAGAACCUUAUCAACUUUCUGCGAGUGCGGCAUCAACGGGCCAAACCUAAUGCUGUUAUGCUGAGCAUUAGUUGACUCCUUGCUGUCAGCUAGUUCAAAACUUCAUGCUUGCCAUGAUGUUGUGCUUGCAAAAGCAUCUUUAGCCGGUGAUAGUCCUCAUCAGAGUGGCAUGCCUGGAAACUUGCGACGUGACUACAAUUCCGCAACUCGCGGUACCUCUGCAGGCUUAGCGAAUAGUCAUACAUCUGGUUUUUUCUGGUAGGUGCGUAUGCACAUUUUGCAUUCAUAGUCCACCUAGUGGGAACGCAACAACCGGGCAGAAUUGUUUGUUUUAAAAUCCCCAAUAUGUAAAAAAUGUGGGAACAUGGUGUGCCUGCGCAUUCCAGCUUACGGAAGAACAACUCACCCUGUGCAAAAGACCUCCUUGCUCUUCAAUGCGCACUCCAAACUUUUUAUCCAUUCUUUCCUGCUUGGACACAACAUAAGUGGAAUCUUCUGAUCCAUCUAGUAUCUCUCUAGUCUGACAUUUGCUGACAGCAUCUAUGCUCCAUAAGACCAUCUUAAAGACCCUAGGUGUGAAAACUGUUACGGCGUGUUUCUAAAGCGGCGAAGCAUUUUCCUCUGUAAAUGGAACGGACUGCAAGGCUUCGACGUCAUGGAUAGCUUCGUUAAUCCGUCGCGACGCAAGGCAACGCUCAUAGUGCUCUAGCAUUUCAAACAACGACAUCUUACCCUCAAGAUGCGUAUGUAGCACAGAGUUCAAGCUCUCACUCCUUUGAUUGCUGCUCAAUCCUAGGAAACAACGCCCCUCAAGAUAUGGAGCACACCAUAACUUUCUCAUCUGAUACAUCUGAUGCAGCCAAGACUCCUCACUGGUUACUUUAUUCCGUUGUAAGAAUUGUAUCCAUUUUAUCUCAUGCUCUUCAAUGGAAGAAGUAUCAUAAAUGAAAGAUCUGAAUUCCUCCUUUACGUCGUCAUCAUGCAGAUGGCGUACAAUGUUCUGCUAAAUGUGCCAUAUACAUAGUCUAUGGUUUGAGUCUGGCCAGACCACCCUUAUUGGUCUCUGCAUUGUAAGGUCCCCAUCUGUGAUCACAGAUAUCGGAUGCUUCUGUGCCAUGCAAUCAGAAAAGGUCCGCAACAUCCACUCGUAUGCCUGGCUUGUUUCAUGAGAAAUUAUACCACAGCCAAAUAUAACAGUGCUACGGUGGUGAUUCAACCCGACAAAAGGCACGAAUGGCAGAUUGUAUUUGUUGGUUCUGUAUGUGCUAUCAAAAACAAUGACGUCUCCGAAAGCCUCGUAGUCAAGUCGCGAUUGACUAUCAGCCCAGAACAGUCCCUUCAGAUGGCCAUGCUCGUCUACCAAGUACUUGAAGAAAAAAUACACAUCUCGCUCUCGCCUCGCCAUCAUGUGCAUGAUCACCGUUUUAGCAUCACCGGCACUGAUUGUCUCCUGCUUAUUAGCAUGGCAGAAAUUGUAAAGGUCCCUCUUUAUGCAUCCAACCUUAUCAAAUCCACCGUAUUGAAAGCACAAAAUAUUCAUAAUACGGUAUUUACGGAUCCCGCAUUUUUUCAUGUCCGCAAUGUCCGCUUUUUGCUCAUCGCUAAUUCGUCUGUGCGAAUGCAGCAGACAAGAAAGAUCCCGUGGGGCUAGAGGAUGGCUGUGCUCAUCGAUGAAAUCCUUAACAAACCACCGACCGGUUUCCUCCUGUCUCGUAAUGACCAAUUUAGCAUUACACCCAACACGAGUUAAACUUCGUGGCCUUCUCUUUCUAUCUUCCAUCUUUCUUUUCAUGUGCUUAUCUUCGCGAAACCCUUGACGACUACACACAAUUUUCCUUAAAAUUAUGUAUUUGUUGGAUCCAUCCCACUCAACGUAGCUUUUCCUCACACUAAAACAUUUUUCAAGAGCAUAUUUCUUGUAGAAUUCAUAGCCUUCAGCCUCACUAUCAAACAUCUUGCUGACAACAUUUACAUACUCGAACAUACUCUCAUCACUUGCAUACGCCAUGUCUUCCUGCAUAUGACAUGUGAGGGAAACCAAUCAUCAACAUCUUUCUGUUUAUCAAUGUUGCAGGUGUAAAAUAGCUCAUAGGCAAAGACAAGUGCAUGGAAAAGACUUUGCUGGUUUGACAUGUGAGGGAAACCAAUCAUCAACGUCCAACUAGUUUCUCAUCUUCCUUUAAACUAUAUUUCAUGCCUAUGCAAACCUAAAGUGAUGAUGACUUUAAUAAACUAAAUUAAGUGAACUAUGGAACCAGUAUCUCAUCUUCCUUUAGUAUAUCUCAUCUCAAACGUCAACAUCUUACUUAAACAAACAUGAUGCGAUUAGCUCAAGAGAAACUAUGCCACGAUGAAGCUUUCCAUUCGUUGUUCUAGUCAGUACCCGGAUCUUGUGGGGUUGAGGUUGUACUGCAUGCACGGUGGAGGGGCGCAACGGCCAAGAGAACGAGCAGAACGCCAAGCCGAAUUCAUACCUUAAGGAUGGUACGCGCGAAGAGAUGGGAUCGCCCGCCGCGGUCGCCGCCGAUUCAGCCGGUGCAGAUCCGGCCUUCUUCUUCUUCGGUAACGGCGUGGGGGGCUGGGGUUGGUUGGGUGGAGGACGAGGACGAUGAAUUUAUUCCUCUCGCCGGGCAGGUCGAGGACGGAGAAGGUCAGGAGCGGGGAGCGGCGACGAAUAGAUCGGAGGAGGAUUCUGAACUGGAUCGAGUAGACAUGGAUCUGGUCCUCAGGUGAUCGGUUCAAGAAAAGAUAUUUCCCCCUGGACCAUUAUGCCCUUAUCGCAAUUAACAUAUUAAAUUUAAUCAAUUAAAAUUCCCCGCAAGAUCUGACGGCUAAUAAAAAUCAGACGUGAUCAGACAUGUAAGUACUGCUAAGUACUCCGAGUACUAACCCAAUCACCGUAAAACAGCUCAAUCAAAUAAGUUACAGGCAGUUUCUAUCAAAUGCUAACACUGGUACCAAGAAUAAGUUCUUGAAAAGUAUUACUACUGUAGUAAAAAUAACCAGAAGUUGUGUCCCUCCCUUAGUUCCUUUGCAUGACUCCGGUAAUUAUCAAAACAGAACCAUUUGAAAACUUACAUGCUCACGAAUGCACGUGUCUGGUCUAGUAUGGCAUGCUCCUCUAUGAUGGUAUCAUUUAUUAUGGAUAAAUGACCACAACUUCUUGCAGCAACCUGGACCCGACAUAUGAGAGGCAUUCAUGACAGGUUUGAACAACGUCCAAUACCGUUGGCAUUGUUGUAAAAAAAUCCAUGGAUUUAAAAAAAAUGUUCACGAUUUUGGGAACCUCAGCUUGCCAGCCGGAUUUCUAAAGUAAAAUCCAUCAAUUCCGAACAAAAUUCAUCAUAUGUGAAAAAAAAUUCAUCAAUUUUGAAAAAAGUUCACGUGUUUUUAAAGCUAAGGUGCUCCAACUCUUAGCUCAUUGAUCCCAACUCUGAAGCUUAGGUGCUCCAAAAUCAAGAAUCACUACAAACAAACACACAUAGAUCAUCAAUUUACUGUGACACAAAGUUUCAGAUAUAAAUUUGAUUCAUAUCUCCGGAAACAAAUAACACAAUUCUUUUAGAUUCUCUACAGGCUCGCAGGUUCGUCAUGUCAUCGUUCACCGGUGUAUCCGUCAUCAAAGGUCAAGAGGGGAGCUUUUGCAAGACGUCCACCGUCGACGCCAGCACGAACAGCGGGUACCACCUGCUUAUGGUCAAUGGCUACUCACGUACCAAAGAACAAGUGCCCAUCGGUGAGAGCAUCAACUCCGGUACUUCCGAGACAGGAGGCCAUGUUUGGUACCUCGAGUACUACCCAACGGCCAACGCUCGGCUUGCGUCGAUUUCAUUUUUCUCUAUGUUUCCCUUUUUCCAGGAAGACGAUGACGCGUUUGGUAACUUUGCACAAAUAAUCUGGUGUGCUAGUUAGAUAUUUCGUUUACUUUUUUUUGAAAAGGAGAUAUUUCGUUUACUAAAAUCUUAAUUAAUACAAGUCCAAUUCAAAAAUUUAUAUAUUAAUUAAAGUUAGAGUUGAAUUAGCAUGCGCAGUUUGGCAGCUUGCCGUAACCCAAGGUGAGUCCGAUUAGGAUUUGUGUGUUAGAGAUGGACUUGGAGUAGAAUAGAGAGCAGAUCAUCUGGCAAAUCAUGGUGGAACUGAUCGUAGUACGGCUUGUUGGCUUCGCAGAGGCCAUCCAUGUAUAGCUGAACUUUUGUCGGCUGAUUGUAACUCUACACUUUUGGAAUAAAACUCCCAUUUCACUCGCAAAAAAAAAGAGAUGGACUUGGAGUAGGACGUGUGUUAGAGAUGGUCUGAGUCCGAUUAGGGCUUUCUAUGUUGCUUGUCGGACGAGCUGUACUACGUAGGGUUAGAGAUAGAUAGAUCGUGUACGAGUAGGACCAGGUUCAAAUUAGUUGGUGUCCGUGUAGGACAUGAUUCGGCCAUGUGUUUAUAUACAAUACUCCAUAGCCACACGUAGAAACAAACGUGAGAUUUUUUGAGAGAUAAAACAAAAUUCAAGAACGACCAGCCGGCGGUGCCAGCUCUCUGUUUCUGACGACGCGCAACGUUGGCGCACAGCGAAGAGAGUAGCGGUGUCUCCGCACGGACAACGAUAGGCUCGUCAUGUCAUCGUUCACCGGCGUAUCCAUCGUUGAAGACCAUGAGGGGUGCUCUUGCAACACGUCGGCGGUCGACCCUGGCACGGACAUUGGCUACCAUCUGUUCAUGGUCAAGGGCUACUCGCGCACCAAAGAGUUGUUGUCCAUAGGCGAGAGCAUCAACACUGGUCCUUUCAUAGUAGGAGGUCAUGACUGGUUAAUCGAGUACUACCCUAACGGCGCAUAUCCGAGCUGCGCCAACUUCAUCUCUCUCUAUGUAUCCCUUUUCCACGACGAUGAAAAACUGGAUGCCAGGGUCAGUUUUAGUCUCGUCGACCAGGUUGAGAGGCAGACACCAAUGUACAUUCAUGCAACUAAUAGAGCUUGCAGGUUCGACAAUGAUGUUUCUUGGGGCACCAACAAGUUUUUGACAAGAGAGGCCCUUGAACGAUCGGCACAUCUAAAGGGUGAUUCUUUCACCAUCCGGUGUGACAUAAUGGUACGCAAGGAUCACAAUACUGAAGAUGCCGGUGGCCACGGCACCAAGGUGCUCCUCUCAGACAUAGACCAGCAUUUUAACAUUCUCCUUCAAACCAAGGUGGGUGCUGAUGUGACAUUUGAGGUUAGUGGUGAGAUGUUCACUGCACAUCGUUGUGUGCUUGCAGCCCGGUCCAAAGUCUUCAUGACACAACUCUUUGGUCCCAUGAAGGAGGACAUUACCACUUCCGGUGUCAUACAUGUCAAAGAUAUGAGAGCAAGCGUGUUCAUGGCAUUGCUUAGAUUCAUCUACACGGACUCAUGCCCUGAGAUAGAGAAGGACUACAUGGAGGAGGAAGAAAUGUCACAAGUUCUUGAAGAAGAACAAGAAGAUGGUACAGUAGAGGAUGAUGAAAACUGGCUACAAUGGCUUCAAGACUUGUUUGUGGCGGCAGACAUGUACGAUGUCGAACAACUCAAGCGCAUAUGUGAAAUGCGAUUGUCUGAUAACUUAAUUUUGAGCUCGGUGAUGUCUACCCUUGCUCUAGCCGAGCAGCACCACUGCCAGGGAUUGAAGGAGGCAUGCUUGAAGUUUAUUCAAGUCCAACCCCCCUGGUGCUUGCAAACAGUAACGAUGAGUGAUGGCUGGGAUCACGUAGUUUCAACCUAUCCCUCGGUUAUAAAGGAGAUUUUUUUCAAGCUUGCUUCGAACCAACGGAAGUGACACUCUUCUAUAUGGUACCGAUGUUCCUUAGUUAUACCUGAAGUGACCCUCUUAUAUACUGAUAAGGGAUCUUCUAGAGAUGUCGUAGUAUGUGUGUUUUGCUUUCAGUUUUCUCGUCAUGUAAAAUUAGCCUAUAUGCCGAAUCAAAAAAAUCGAACACAUGGACAAAUUGUCUCCUCAUGGAAUAUAUGGUAGGCGACAAAUUGAUCCGUAUUGCAGCAAUCUGUAAGAUUCACAGCUAGUCUUUUUAUCCUUGUAUAGUACUCUGUGUGUCGUCUCUUAUUAUUGCUUUGUGCCUUCCGUGUCAUGUAACCCAUUUAGUGAAGAAGAAUGUAUGCUAAAUCAGGAAAAUCCGUUUCUUCAUGGAAUGUAUAGUCUGCAAAUUAAGGUGUCCUCAGUGGUGGCAGCAAAAGUAGGCAAGUUUUGGUGGGAGUUUUUUUUAUUGAAUCCACAAAGGUGCGACUUACAUUCUAGUAGAAAAUAAAAUACAAAUUCAUGAAAUUUUGACUCUUAAUUGGCAUAUAAUAGUUUAAUUACCAUAAGUGUAACACCCACCGUGGCAAACAAACAAGGACGUGAGAAUUUUUUGUGCGAAUAGGCGAAAGCGUCUUACCCUCGGUGAAAACAAGACGAAUAGUUGCAGCUUUUACAACUGGACUAAAAGUAUCCUUAUAGUCGAUGCCAUACCGUUGUUUAAAACCUUUUGCUACAAGUCUUGCUUUGUAACGAUCAAUGGUUCCAUCGAAUUUUUCUCUUAAUCCUAAACACCCACUUGCAGUCAUUGAGGUUUUUAUCUUGCUGUGGAGGAAUCAUGUGCCAUGUGUUGUUUCUUUUUAGGGCCAUGUACUCUUCUUUCAUUGCUUUCUUCCAAUUAUCAUCACUAAGGGCUUCUUCAAGGGAAUAUGGCUCGCCUAGUUCACCUGUGGAACAUACCAACCCAAAUGUUGUCAUAUGUUUGUAAUUUACGGGUGGUAUUACCCCUUGCUAAAGACGGGUGCGGCGUGUCGUAGUUGGCUCCGGCACAGAAGAUCCCGUGGGAGCUACAGCAGCCGAUCCCAAGGUUGAUGCUGGUCACCAGCAGCAGCUGCAGCCGCUUCAGAAACAGAGGCUGGAUCCUCUGUGCACCGGGACGACGUAGCGACGUGAGACGGAGCCACACGCACCGCAGAAGAUCCCGCCUGGUGAGAUUCAUCACACGGCAAUGAUUGAGCCGGUUCCUCGCGCGUGGCAGGCGUGGGGCCCGUGCCAGGCGGCCGUCUCAGAUCCCGCCGCUUGUAGCAGACAAGCUGGACGGGAAAACGACCACCCGUGGGCCCUGGUGAGUGCGGGUCGUCGCCACCAGCUGCGUGCUGCCGCGUGGCGCAGGCGGGGCCGCCUGCUGACGCUCGGUCGGGUGCGGGAGAGGCAGCGUUGGGUGCGGAAUCCGGAGCGGAUCGCCUGGACCGAUCUGCAGGCGGCGAUCCCGGGGCGGAUCCUGCUGGCAGGUCUGCCACGCCUGCGGGCAUCGAUCCCGAGAGGGAUUUGCUCCCCAAAACCUGGCACAUAAAAUAUGGCCCUAUUGGGCAAUUUUCUUCGCUGUUUUCAACUCCGUUUUCUUAAGCGUGGCUCCUUGUAUCAUCACACAACUCAGGCAAAGUGGUGAGAGGGUUAGUCACGAAGCAUAGGCAGCCGAAGACACGAAGGUGGUCAUAUGUGGGUGCAACACCAUAGAGAAGAAAAUGCGGUGUGUGUGGCGCAAUGACACGAGAGGGACGUCGGUUGAGGAGGUAGGUGGCUGUGUGUAGGGCUUUUUAGGGCCAUGUACUCUUCUUUCAUUGCUUUCUUCCAAUUAUCAUCACUAAGGGCUUCUUCAAGGGAAUAUGGCUCGCCUAGUUCACCUGUGGAACAUACCAACCCAAAUGUUGUCAUAUGUUUGUAAUUUACGGGUGGUAUUACCCCUUGCUAAAGACGGGUGCGGCGUGUCGUAGUUGGCUCCGGCACAGAAGAUCCCGUGGGAGCUACAGCAGCCGAUCCCAAGGUUGAUGCUGGUCACCAGCAGCAGCUGCAGCCGCUUCAGAAACAGAGGCUGGAUCCUCUGUGCACCGGGACGACGUAGCGACGUGAGACGGAGCCACACGCACCGCAGAAGAUCCCGCCUGGUGAGAUUCAUCACACGGCAAUGAUUGAGCCGGUUCCUCGCGCGUGGCAGGCGUGGGGCCCGUGCCAGGCGGCCGUCUCAGAUCCCGCCGCUUGUAGCAGACAAGCUGGACGGGAAAACGACCACCCGUGGGCCCUGGUGAGUGCGGGUCGUCGCCACCAGCUGCGUGCUGCCGCGUGGCGCAGGCGGGGCCGCCUGCUGACGCUCGGUCGGGUGCGGGAGAGGCAGCGUUGGGUGCGGAAUCCGGAGUGGAUCGCCUGGACCGAUCUGCAGGCGGCGAUCCCGGGGCGGAUCCUGCUGGCAGGUCUGCCACGCCUGCGGGCAUCGAUCCCGAGAGGGAUUUGCUCCCCAAAACCUGGCACAUAAAAUAUGGCCCUGUUGGGCAAUUUUCUUCGCUGUUUUCAACUCCGUUUUCUUAAGCGUGGCUCCUUGUAUCAUCACACAACUCAGGCAAAGUGGUGAGAGGGUUAGUCACGAAGCAUAGGCAGCCGAAGACACGAAGGUGGUCAUAUGUGGGUGCAACACCAUAGAGAAGAAAAUGCGGUGUGUGUGGCGCAAUGACACGAGAGGGACGUCGGUUGAGGAGGUAGGUGGCUGUGUGUAGGGCUUCAACCCAAAAUGGUGGUGUGAGGUUGGCUUGAAGAAGGAGGGUGCGCAAGACAUCAUUUGUGGUGCGAAUCAUGCGUUCCGCUUUGCCAUUUUGGGGGGAAGUAUGGGGGCAGGAGAAGCGAUAAGCAACGCCGUUGGAGGAGAAGAAGGCGCGAAGAGAUGAGUUGAUAAAUUCACCACCAUUGUCACAAUGUAUGCUUUUGAUGAUUACAUUGAAUUGGGUGUAAAUAAACGUAAAAAAGUGUUGCAGGACCNNNNNNNNNNNNNNNNNNNNNNNNNNNNNNNNNNNNNNNNNNNNNNNNNNNNNNNNNNNNNNNNNNNNNNNNNNNNNNNNNNNNNNNNNNNNNNNNNNNNNNNNNNNNNNNNNNNNNNNNNNNNNNNNNNNNNNNNNNNNNNNNNNNNNNNNNNNNNNNNNNNNNNNNGCACCACAAGAUAGUAUUAGAAACCAGAGAAACUAACAACAAGUGAUGUCCAUAAAUCAUAGUGUAUUAAAUCAAAAGGGGCAUAAGUUUUGCUAAAAGAAGAGGCAAAGGGUAAACGAGGCUGCCGACCAAGUUGGCAAGCACUACAUGGCGUGUGGGGAGCCUUAUUACAAUCUAAUUGUUUAGACAGGGAAGAAAAUAUGUGGACGCCGGGAUGCCAAAGGCGACGAUGCCACAAGUCCGAGGGGGUGGCUGCAAGGAGAGCGGACGCCGGCGCCGGUUUAUUGCCAACGAUGGGGUAGAGAUCGUCGUGGCUAACGGAGAUCGUGAGAACUCGUCGAGUGCGAAGAUCCUUCACAAGAAAACCACACGGGUAAAAUUCAAUAGAGCAAGAAUUAUCUUUAGUGAAUUUACGAACAGAGAUGAGGCUAGUGACUACAUUGGGGGAGACAAGAAUGUUGGUGAGGCGAAAAUUAUGAGGGGAGAGGGUGGUAGAGCCCGUGGCAGUGACAGGAAGAUGAUGCCCAUUACCGAUAACAAUGCUAGAAGGUAAAUGCGAAAAUGAAGAACUCAACGAGGUCAGGUUACCUUGGGUGCCCGUCACGUGCGAGGAAGCGCCACUAUCGAGAAACCACUCGGGAGCCGGGGGCGUGGCGUAGCCGCCGUUGCUGAAGGCGGAGUUGAGCAUGGCGAGGUGGUCCCACGAGGGCUGUGGGGGCUGAUAGUAGGGAGUGGACGGCACCGGCGAGGGUGUCUAUGCAGGAUACGCCUGGGCGUGUGCGCCGGGUCGGGGCCCAAGAACACCGGCGGUGUUCGGCGGAAUCCAGCCAGGGCGGGUCGUCGGGAGAGCCAUCCCGUACGGGGCAAAGUACCCCGUGAAGGGUGAGAACGAAGGCGCCUGCUGACCGCGCCCGGAGUGAUCGCCGCGCCCACGACCACGACCGCGCCCAUGCCCGUGGCCGCGGUCACCACGCCCGCGACUGGAGGAGUGGGGCGGCGGAUGGGGAGCGUCGGAGGCGCGAUCAUAGGAGCGGGCAGCCGCGCGAUCACCCUGGCCGCGACCACCAGAGGAACCGGCCAAGGAACCGCCGCCCGCCAUGGCGAACGCGGAGGCGCCUUCCUCCGCCACGCGUUGUGCCUGCGACUCCUCCGCAAGGACAACACGGGAGAGGACGGUGUCAAAGGGGAGGCCCUGAUCACCAAGGACGACGUGGAUGGUGUCGAGCCGCUUGUCGAGGCCGUGAAGAAACUGCGUGGUGAGAUCCACCUCGGUAACGGCAUGGUCGAUGUCAGUGAGUGCGUCGGUGAGGAGUUUGAGACGGCUGGCGUACUCCGGCACCGAGAGGUCACCCUGCUUGAGGUUGCGGUAUUGGCGGUUGAGGAUCAUGAAGCGGACGUCGCGAUUGGCGAGGAAGAAAUCUUUGAUCUUGUGCCAGAGGGCGUAGGUGGUGGUGGCGCCAACAACGUGGUCAUAAUGGUGUCCGAGAGAGUGGCAUAGAUCCACAGAACGACAUGGGCGUCGAGCUCAAGGUAUUGGGACGGAGCAUUGGGAGGUGGAGGGUGGUCGAGGAGGUAGGAGACACCUUAGCGUACCAGGACCAUCAGGAAGAAAGUCUUCCACUUAUGAUAAUUGUGAUCGGCAGGGUUGAGGAGGAACUUGAUGUGGUUCGUGAUGUGAUCACGAAAAAUGGGGUGGGGAACGGCGGUGGCCGGCGAGGGGGUAAGGGAGGGGCCGUCGGUGGUGAAGAGAGGGGAAAAUUGAGAGGGUGCCGUGGCGGGGAAGGAGCCGCUGAAUAGGGUGGGGGACGUGCCAAAGACGAAGGGAGGGGUGGUCGGGGCGGUGGCCGGGGAGGUGCCGGCGGCAGGCGCCGAGGAGGAGGAGAGGGUGCCCGGCGACGUGGCCGAGCUCGUGGCGGCGGCAGAGGAGGAGGUGGUGUCGUUCGCGGCCAUGGCGAGGGUCCUGGCGACUGAUUCCAAGUUGGAAAGUGAUUUCCUUAAUUGAUUCUGUUUACAUCUCAAAGUAUACAUAGGGAGAGAAAGUCCCGAGAGAUAUGGCACGCAGGCCCUCAGAUCCUACAAUCUAGGAUCGUUACAACGUGCCAGUUAAUGUUACAAAUGGUACAUAAAUAUACAACUUAACACAGCACCCCAUACGUGAUGCAUGGUGUUCCAUGGCCUUGCUGCUGGCAGAUGUCGAGGAUGUUGGUGGCGUCGUACAUAGUGCGCUUGAGCUCGGUCACCCAGCCCUGCACGCUGGUGUCAGCGAUGCGUCUCCUCUCGGCGUCGGCCAGGAACUUCUUGAGAUCCCCAAGCUUGACGCCCAUCUUGUCGAUCUGGCCGGUGACGCCGAGAAGCAUCCCCACCUCGUCCUCCACCACCUGCUUGAGCAUGUCAGCGACAUAGGACGCGAAGGCAUCCAGCACAAUGGCCAUGGUUUCUGUUUCUUGUUCUCAGGCUCAGGCCGAAGGUUGGUUAAUCAACAGUGUGUCUCUGUGUGUGUCUGUUGCCUUGGUUAGUAGGUGGUACUUAGCUUAGGCUCCUUGCUGGCAAGCCUUUGUUCCUUCCUUGAGUGACGGCAAAGCAGUGGCGGCCGUGGCAAGAAAGCAAUUGGUCUCCUUAUUCAUCCAUGCUCGCGGUCGCGGACAGAAUCCUUGCAGUGGACAUGCAUUUCCUUGCUGGCCGCCUGAGCGCUCGGCUUGGGCUAGCUAAUAGGGAAAGGGAAAGUAGUGGCUGAAUCCCACCUCGAUGCACCCACGCAAGAAAACAUAUCAAAGUAUUUUGAAAAAAUUUAAAACUUUGUGGAAACGAUCAUCAACAAAUAUUAGAGAUGCUUGCCAAGUUUGGUGGUCAAAUGACAUCCAAGAAGAACUGUACAAAAAAAAUUAUAAAAAUUUUGGUCAAAAAGUGCACAUACAAUUUGACUAAUUUUGAGUAAUAUUUUUUGUAUAGAGCUCCGCGGAUGUCAUUUGACCACCAAACUUUGCAAGCCUCUCUAACUUUUGUUGAUGAUCACUUUCACAGAGUUUCAAAAAAUUUCAAAAUAUGUUGGUAUGUUUUUUUUUUGCAUGGGUGCGCUGAGGGUGGUUGUAGAAAAACCACUCUCAAUAGGGAAAAGAGGGACGAGAUCGCCGCGGCCGCAGUCUUCCACCGCUCUCGGCUUGCACUUGAUUUCGCUUUUUUAUUUCAGGGGUGUGUAUAUUAAUUCUUUGCCAAGUCAGCUCAUUACAAUUCGGUCUAGCUGUCAACAAGUGAUUGAAUGGGCCAAAUCCUUUGAUCAGUGUUUUCUGCAAAAAGAUUACUAGAAACACGGUGAAUUUUGCAACAAAUCAGCGACUAGGUGGAUUACUGCAAACCUAGCCGCAAUGUGAUAGUUUUGUGCAAUUAACUCUGAAUGAAAUCGUAGAAUCGAAAACAAUAGUUCCUUUUCCCGGGCACGCUGAAUCUUUGCCUACCUGAUCCGAUAGUCAUGCUCUUGAGAGAGAGAAUUUGCAAAUUAGUGCAAGUCAGUGAAAGAUCUAGCUUGCAAUAUCGGAUAUCAAAAAUAAAUCGGAAAUCUAUAUUUUGUAUGCAAUACUUGAAGGGCUAGUUGAAAGGGUUCCAUAGCAGGUAAAUACCACACGACGUAUUCCUCGUCCCUCAUCAAGUUUUCAACUCGUUUCCAUUUAUCCAGCGAAUGCAUUUCAUACACCUUCAAUCAUUUCCAGCAUUGCAAAUGAUUCAUGGGGACUUCCUGCGCAACAACCCGGGAUAGUAAAACACCAUCACACUGGCUUCCUUCCUGCGGCCUCGCUUGCUAUUACAGCUCUCAGACGCUUUCCUCGGCGACCAGGUACCACACCCCUAGUACGUAGUCUCCCUGCUGUCAUGCGCUUUCAGAAGAUAUACCUGCGUUGUUCAGAGGAUUCAUUACAUGCGUGGCCACACUGACGGAUUCCACGCGAGCUGCGGGUUAACGUAACUACUUUGCGCAUAAUGGGUGCAUCGCCGAUUUAUGCACGAUGCAAAAUCGGACGAUGUCCUGAAGUUUGCUUCCUCACAGCAACGGUUUGAUUAACAACAUCGUGCAGAUGACGUCAUGUCUAUAGCAACAUUCCUGGGUUAACAAAUGCAGACCACUGCGUUUCUUUUGCUUCCAGAAAGUAAGCGAUCAAAUGCAUAACUUACAAGGAAUACAAAGAGUUCCAAGUAAUGACUGCCUCCGUCCCUGCUAAUUUCUUACAUGACUUGUAAAUCAGAAUUCGAAUAUGUAACCAAAAACAAGAACUUCAGAAGUAUUGGUCUUAGAAAACUACCACAUUUAACGUUUCUCUAAAAGCUACAACUUUUGUUCUAAAAUUUUGCUAAAACUAUUCACUCGGAAGCAUAUUAAUUGUCGCUCAUCCUCUAUAACACUAAACUCCUUAGUUUUGAAGGCCUCACAAUCAAUUGAGGUCUUCAAUUUGAAAUUGGAUCAUUCAAUUUUGAUCGGGUCAACAAUUUCACAAGGAGCUCGCUCAUUCUCAAUUUUUUAAUACACUAUGCUCCCUAAUUUUAGAGCUCUCCCAUUCCAUUGAGGUGUACAAUUUUAAGCCUUGAUUUUGACUCUGUCAAUCCUUGGUUGUUGCAAUAAAAUCUUUAACUUCAUUAAGCUCUCUAAUUUUGAAGCCCUCUCAUUCAACUUAGGUCUUCAAUUUGGAUUGGAUACACGAUUGAUUGGGUCGUUGAUCUGGGCUUCAUGGUGGGAUCUCUUGGUUAAUGGGUCCCUUGUUUAGUGCCCGGAUUGAUGUGGGCCUUCCUUAACAGAAGGAAGUGCCACCUACGAUACAUGUGGCCAACGAUGUAAGUAACUUUCUCAUGUAUUUGUAUUAAUUAAAAGACGCCCUUCAAUCGCACGGCCAAAAAGAUCCACCCAAACACCAUAAUAAAAUAAGAAAAAUGAUACACUCAUGGACAAUUCACUAUGGAUUGGUCGUACUAAUUAAAUACUCUCCCACCAAUCACUUCCUUGAUUUGACCGUAAGGCCACGCUUCCCCUAAUCUCCAACCAUAAAUUGACACAUCCAUCUGUAACCAUGAUUCCACAAAGUUUGUCGGUACGUGUAACAUCUCUGAUAAAAAGAACACACACUUCAUUGUUUCCCCCACACGCCAAACCAACUAGCACGUAAAUAAUGUUCACAACUUAGAAAAAAUUACCACGUAAAAAUAAAACAUGUCCAACCCCAAGAACAUAAGCGGUGCAGCAAAGCGCACUGCCCUUCUAGUUUAGUACUAAAUCUGAGACAAUUAAUAUGGAUUGCAGGGAGUACAACUUUUAGGUAGUUGCCCUUUUAGGAUUUUUAUAACAUGGAUUGUGACCAAGGUUAUGGAUUCCGAAUGGACGAAUUUUCUCAUGGCUGGGCGAGAUUCUCGGUUACCAUGGUUACCGAGAAAUACCGAACAUAUUUCGGACGAAAUUUAUAACUAAAUUUUGAAUUCAAAUUCUUUUGAAGUAGAUAUAGAAUUGUGUACGUGCUAAGCGUACGUAUUCUAAAAAAUAAACCAAAAAAUGUGCAAAAGAGGGGACUCAAUCUGCCGUCCUCUCGAGGAGAGAAGUAGACGGCUACCACCACGCAACAGCUACGUUUAGUGAUACUCUUGAGAUGCUAUAGUAUUGUAGUAUACUUUGGACGUAAAAAAAUCAAUUUUUGUUUCGUAUAUGUUUCAUUCUUUUCUUAUAGCAAAACCUAUUACUCUUCCUUUUUCAUACUAUCUUGGCAGUUCUUUGCUUUUUUUCAUACUAUCUUGGCAAUUUUAAGAAUUUUAUAGUUCAGAGGAUGGCACUUUUAUUUUUGAGAGGAUGGCAUCUUUAUUUUUAAUGGCAUGGCAGUUUUAUUAGUAAGAACAUGCCAUUUUUAUUUAUAAUAGGAUGAAAAUUUUAUUAUUGAGAGGAUGCCAUUUUUAUUUUUAGUGGCAUGAUAGUUUUAUUAUUUUAGAGGAUGGCAUUUUUAUUUUUUUGUACUGCCACUUUUUUUUUGUACACAAGAUUUUUGGGUGAUAACUUUAAAUGUGCCAACUUUGUGGGUGUAAAUAAAUCGGCUCAUUUAAAAAUUAAAAUUCUUACAAUUGUUUUUUUUUCAAAAUCAGAUUUUUGGGCCAGCACCUUUUUUUCCUACGUGUUGCACAAUUGGGCCAGCUGGACCUCGUUCGAUACAUCACCCAGCCCCAGUGAAUGGAAAUGUUUGCUGGUCCGGAAUUACUCGUCGUAGAAAUGGAUAUACCUAGACAUAUUUUUAGUUCUAGAUAAUCCAUUUCUAAGCAUUCAUUUUCCAUGAGUUGCACGAGAAGUGUAAAAGAAAACUGGGCCUUAGUCUGAAGCCCAGCCCAGCAGGGCAGUUGAUGAGCAACACUGGAGCCCAUCGAUCUACUCCUCAUCCCAUCUCGUCUCUGAUAUUUUUUUUUAUAAAAAAAACUCAUUUCUCUGCAGCGGUGGAGGUGUCCAGCACGGCAGCGAAGCAGCCGCGGCGGCGAGGGCUCUCAGGAAGCUAGGCGCGGCAGCCGGCGAGGGCCAGCCUCUAGCAGCAAAGCGGCGACAAAGCGCACCGACACUCCGAUCCUCUCUGUUCUCCCAGGCAAGGCAUAUGUAAUUUCUUUCCCCCGAUUUCACCUCACUGUCUGUCCCUGUAGAUCGAGAGGCACUAAGAGGUUAUAGCAUCUGAACCUCUGAAAUCCUCAAUGUAUAUGCAACUAGUAGUAGUAUACAACAAGUCAAUAAAUAUAUAGAAUGUAUGUGUACUUUUGGUGCUUAUAACAAUCUCUAUUGUCACUUGUACCCAGGCCGGCGAGUGUCACUUGCUGCAGGAACAAGUUUUAUCAGACUUAAUUGGAACAAGAGGGGUGCUCCGCCAAAAGCAAAGGAAAGCAUGUACAGCUGCACAUCCUGGCUGCAUUAAUUUGAAUAUUUCCUACGUACAAUGUUUGCUAGUUGUGUCUUAACAUGAAAUGGACUAACUACAUACAUCAUGUAAUGGACUAACUACUAAUCAUAAAAAUCAGAUUCAAUGAAAUUUUGUUGAAAUUUUUAACCCUGAUAUCGUCUGCCAAAAUUAAGAUAGGGUUGCAGGAUAGUUUUGACACCUUCUUCGCAUUCCAGUCUCUCCCAGCAUCGAGCAUCAUCAAACCGUACCUCCUUCAGCUUUGGAGGCAAACUGUCCGACCAGAAAGGAAGCCUCUUCAAUGCCAGACUACCUUCAAGCUCAAGUCGCUCUAGGGAUGGGAAUUUCAUACCGUUGUCCCCAAUAGUUUCCAACGAUUUGGUAUAAAUAAGAACGAGAAGCUUGAGGCGAGGAAAUGUUUUUGUCUUGUCCUGUCCAUUGCACAAUUUGUCACCGUGGCACCUCAUAAAUGCUUGCACCAUACCAUCACAGGAAAUUAUAUGAAGUUGUUCAAGGCGAGGCAAAUACAUAACCCAAGAGAGGUGCAAUAGCUGUUGGCACAAAAACAAUUCCAAAUAAGUGAGCCUUUGGAAUAUAAAUGCCGGAGUUGCUCCCAUCCACUUUAUCUCUCUCAAGGAUCUCAUAAAAGUUAAGCUGAGUUUGUUGAGAGCACCAAAAUGGUUGUUUGGUUGUUCCGUGUCAUGUUGUACUACUGUUAUUUCUCGAGUGUCAAAUUCUUCAUUAAUAUCCAAUUCAUUGAUAUCCACUUCAUACAAGGUCCUUCGUGCAAAGUCCAUUGAUAAAAUACGAGUGAGUGCACAUACGUCAUUCAGAGCCAAAUAUCUAACAGGGAGGCUAUCCGCUUCUCCUAGUGACUCAAACUGAGCUAAAUCUCGGACCAAAAUACCAAGCGCUUUCAACUGAGAUAGGGUGCCCAACUCUCGGUAUAGGAAUUGGGUACAUUUUCUUAAGAAACUUCUCAAGUCUAUUACCUGCAAUGCUUUAAGGCUAGACAUGACCCCAGCUGGUAUUCUCACGGAACCAAUACCAGACUUUAGGUACAAGAACUUGAGGUUGAUGAGGUUUCCAAAGGAGGGAGGCACUUCAGUUUCCCCAAAUUGAUUUUCCGACAAAUCAAGGUAUUCCAGCUUUACCAAGGAACAUAAUUCUUCCGGUAUCCCCUUGAGGUUGUUUCCGCUCAAAUCCAGAUAUGUCAGUGAACUGGAAUUCUUAAUUUCUUCAACAAUUAAGCUUUCAUCAAAUUCGUUGUUCCGAAGGCACAAGAUCCUCAAUUUUAAUGGAUCAAGAUUAAACCUGAUAGGAAUUCUGUUGAACAUCAAGGAGAUGCACUCAGCUUUGCUCGAAAGGAUAAUAACUUUUUUGUCUCUGUCACCUGGUGCCGCCACAAUCCAUUUGUCAUUAUUCUCACCACAGUCACAAGAAAUCCAUAAAGCCAUAUCACGAAUCACAUCAUGCACUUUAACAUAACCAUGUGAAUUUUCGAAGGAAGAUCCUGGGCGAACAUCGCUGCCAUCUAGCAAACAUGCAGCUAUAAGGUCAGCUAUCAAACUAUAUGAUUUUCUGAAGGAAGAUUAUAUGUCAUGCUCAUUGACUAGACCUAAGCCCAUCCAGCAUUGAGCAAGGUUAACUUUGCGAAUGUUCUCAUCCUCUGGCCACAGUGCACAAGUCAAAAAACAAUCUCUUAAGGUCUUGUUUCUCAAAUUGUCAUAACUAAACUUCAGCCGCCUGAAAACAUUAGUUUCCAUUCCCAGUUCUAUUGGGUCUUUGUCAUCAGCGCAGCAUGACUGCCGCAUAUAUUGGAUGGCAGUUUCCCAUUGAUACUCAUCUUUCCGAUACAUUGCAUUUCCAAUAGUUAUCAAAGCUAAUGGCAAGCCUUUCAGUCCCUUCAUAAGUUCUCUAGCAAGAGCUUCAAUAUGGGGACUAGAAAGAGUUUCGGCACCAAUAUUUUCUUCAAAUAGCUGCCAUGCCUCAUGCUCCUGCAGAUAUGUGACUUUUAACUCUUUCUUCACCUUCAUUUGGCCACAAACUUUUCUUAAUCUUGUUGUUAGCACCACUUUUCUAUUGAGUUUGUUUACUUUUCCAAGGGGGUAUGGUAUCCCAACUUCUUCUAGAUCAAUUUCGUUCCAGAGGUCAUCCAAUAGUACAAGAAAGCUUUUCGUUUUCAUGUACUCAUGUAUAGUAAGACCAUUAGGACCAAUACUUUUCAGCCUGAGCCUUUCUAUGAUUUGUGACUGGACCUUUUCCACUUGGCACCCUCUGGAGGCAGUUACAAAGACAACAAAAUCAAAGUCCAUGCCCUCUCCAAAUGAGUUAUUGAUGUUUUUGAGAAGAUGUGUUUUCCCGACUCCACCUGGACCCCAAAUUCCAAUCAUUCCCACUUUGGGAUCAUCCUUAAUGUACUGGAGAGCAUCUUGAAGGUUACGGUUCUUAGCUGACAUAGAUGGACCAGGCAUCUCUUGGACAUGAGGUGGCAUUGACUCAACUGCAACAGUACUAGGACAAAUACUAAGACAUUCUCGAACCUCACGAAGCUUCUCAGAUGCCUCCAUGGCAACAUCCUUCUUCAACUUAUAGUCCACAGAGAUUACACGCACAACAUCAAUGAUUUUGGCCACUUUUUCCAGCCAUCUGUCGGCCUCAUUUGUUGAUUUCUUGCCUUCCCGCUCAGCAUUCUUAAUCUUCUGACAUACAUCCUUUUUUUCGCGAUCAAGUCUUCGGUGGAAUCCUCGAGACUUCCCAUAAUUCUUUCCGCCUUCAGGUUUAAAAAUAAUAUGCAUAUAUUAGCACUCAGUAAUGGCAUUAAUACUAUUUAGAAAUUUUAGUAUCGAAGCAAGCACUUACCAUACAUAAUGGGUUAUCCUUUCGAAGGUUUGAUCUCUUUACUGCAUCAAUGACAUCUUCCCACUGCCUUUCAUUUCUGCUUCUUCGCAUCAUCUUCCCGAAAUGUAUCAGCUCUGAUGGUCGGCCAAUUAGUUCUCUCACGAGAUCCUUAGCAAGUACCCCGACGAGGGGAUCAGUAUAAAGAUUCUCCUCACCAAAACUUUGUUCAAAUAGCUGGUGUGCCUCCUCCUCCUCCAAACCAAGCACUUGUAUAUAUUUAUCCACACUCAUCAUAUCACAUAUGGAUUGUGAUCGUGAAACGAUUAGCACCUUCCUCUUCUUUUGGUCCACAACUCUAAGAGGGUGUGGAAUGCCAACUGCUGAAAGGUCUAUCUCCUCACAAAGGUCAUCCACCAACACCAGAAAACUUCUUUUCUUGAGAAGUUCAUAUAUUUGAGCUGUCACAUUAACAUUCUGGUUUAUACCGAACCUGUUUAUGAUUUGAGAUUGAACUUUUUGCACUGUGCAUUCACUCAAGCCCUUAAUAAGGAUAACAAUAUCAAAGGGGCAAUAUUCAAGAAAUGAAUUGUUUAUCUUUGUGAGAAGAUGUGUUUUCCCUACUCCACGUGGACCCCAUAUUCCAAUCAUUCCCACCGUGAGGUCAUCCUUAAUGCACAUGAGAGCAUUCUUGAGAGUACGCUCUCUGCUUGGCGGAAGUUGAGCAGAGUGGGUGGACAAAUCUACGACAGGAGGUGGAGGUGGUACGCGUGUGACAUUAUCUGGUACCGGUACGCUACUGUUAUAUUGUCGCACAACAUCCACCUUCUCAGCCGCUUUCUUGCUGGUUUUAUAGUUUCCCCAGCAAUUCAGGGAGCACCCAAAGCUUCUGCACCUCUAAUCAAAAGACUCGCGGUUUGCCGCUUCUUCAGAUAUGGCUUGCUCCGCCCUUUGCACCCACUCCUCUGCUUCAUCUGUCGGUAUCAGGCCAUUCAUUUCGCCAUCUUCAAUCCUCUAUUUGACGCGAAGCAAGUUGCCACUCAAAGUCUCAGUUUCAGUCCUGUGAUUUGUCACGUUUGUGCGAGCGGUGAAGCAAUACGUGGCAUUUUUGGAGAAGAGCGUAUAGAAUGGACUUAUGACCGUGUUGACAGUAUUUCCGAGCAAGGGACCAAGCGCCGGUGCCUCAAUUGGCAUUUUUGGCACUUGUCCGAAGAAUCAGUACUGCAAGGCAGACAAUUGUUGUGUCUCAAUGAUGUAUAUGGCAAGUAAAAACACCAAUCAAUUAAGUUUAUGAAAAGCAUAGACUGCAUCUGCAUGCAAUGGCAGAUGAAGCGCAAGCUUUGAGAUGUUGAAUACUCAUAAAUCUUGUGUGAUUAUGUUUGAACUUGUGCAAGUUUACACUGUUAUACUACUUGUAACCCAAUAUGUCUUGCAUGAUUGUACAGGCUAACAGAUCCCUAUGAAGGACUUUUCUAUAUGGAAGGUGUAUUAUAUACUCCCUCCGUCUAGAAUUACUUCUCGGAGAAAUGGAUACAUCCAUUUUCCGGCAAGCAAUUCCGGACGGAGGGAGUAUAUGACUGCAUUAGAAAGGAGUUGCGGAAAUAUGUUCGAUUGUGGAGAUAACACUUGUUGUAAUAACAAAUAAACUCGCAACAAAGUGCUUACUGUGUCUCUUAUAAUAAUUGCAGGUAAACAAAACAAUCUUGGUAUAUAUGUUCCUCCAGGAGAACUAAUCUUGGUAUGUAUGUUCCUCGAGGAGACCUAACCGCACAAAUGAAAACAUGGCCACGAGAAGAACUUGUUUGAGUUUUGUUUCUGCAUUCAAAUAGGACACCGAUGUUAGACGAUGAUGGGAAAUCUUGUGUGAUUCUCUUUGAACUUGUGCGAGUUUAUAGUGUUAUACUAUUUGCAAGAACACUGGAUGGGACCAAAUCUAUCUUCUGUAAUUGUACAUGCUAACAGAUCCCUGUGAAGAACUUUUCUAGCAACUGAUUGUAGUAUUCGGGCCAUUCUGUUUAAAGAACUUCUCUAGGAACUCACAAACAUAUAUUUUUUACUUUUUGCGGAAGAACUGACAAACAUAUCAAAAUCUUCUUCUAACAGGAGUUAAUAUAACCAGUGGAGCCUAAAAACUUGAAAUAACUGUUCAUAUCAACAAAAUAAUUAAGGAGUUAACAAGGGAGCAUUACUGAAUUACUUGGUAACAAUAUUUUUUUUCAAUAGUAGCCAGGUGUGUCCUUAGUUUGGUGUUGGUGUGCCCCUCUGAAUAAUUGCUUUUUCAACAGUAAUGGACAAGUUUUUAUCAGUUUUCUGGCAGAAGCAUAUUGAGUAUCUAGAGACUAAAAAAUUCAUCAAGAGGAGAAUUAUCUGCUAGCGUAAGACAAAGUAGAAUAUAUAUCACGGGUGCGGCUAAUCUGCACCCGGGCUCAUCUGCACCCACGCUUAGUAAAAAAUUCAAAAAAAAUACUAGAAAAAUUCAAAAAAUUCCAAACUUUUUUGUGGUGGUAGAUAAUUUGACGCGUGAGGUGCGCCCCAAAAAUCAGCUCAUUUGAGCAUCUGAGCAGCUCUCGACAAAAAAGACAAAAUCAGGGUCUGUAAAAAUGUAUACUGUUCACGCACUGUUUUGACCCGAUUUGUCUUUUUUGCCGAGAGCUGCUCAGAUGUCCAAAUGAGUUGAAUUUUGGGGCGCACCUCACGCGUCAAAUUAUCUACCACCACAAAAAAGUUUGGAAUUUUUUGAAUUUUUCUAGUAUUUUUUUUGAAUUUUUUUCUGAGAGGGAGCAGAUGAGCCCGGGCACCGUUUUGAGUUUUCCAUAUAUCACGCUCUAUAUGGAUGACGUACUAUAACUUCAGCUAUAGCGGAUUGGAGUUCUGAAAAUAUGCCCGCUUGUUAAGAAGUUUGAACAGAUAAAAGAUAAAGCUAUAACAGAUAAAGUUGCAAGAAAGUGCUUACUGUGUCUCUUCUUUUAUCAGGGAAGAGCCCUUCUCCGGAACUUGUUUCAGAAGAAGUAUAAGGUUUUGUCACAAGGGAAACAAAACUAACUCCACGGGAAUUGAUCACAGAAAGAGAAGAGGACACAAAUGAAAACAGGACCAUGAGAAAUUCUUUUUUGAGUUUCGUUUCUGUAUUCAAAUAGAACAAGGAAGACAAGGGUAAUUCACGUUCAAUCAGAAAUGAAGUUCUGAAAGCAAAGAGUACCGAAAAUCAGCAGAGCAGAGCACCUCAACUCAGUUUUUGUGGGAUGCAGAAGAAGCAGAAGAGGAGGGAAAUGAUUGUGGGAGCUGUGGAAGGGAUCCCUUGGAAGUGAGAGAAAGAAUAGUCAACAACCAAGGUGCAGGAAACAAAGAUAGACUAGGUCAAAAUUAAGAUGCUCAAUUAUUGGCCAUUAGUUUAUAUCAGCUGGGUCUAAAAUACAUGGUGGAAGGUAAUAGCCGAAUCUUUCAAGCUUAAGAAGUGCACGUUGGCACCAGUUGGUAGGCUGACACCUAUGCAAAGUCGCAUGCCAAGUAUCCAUUAUUUAUGUUGGAAUUCAAUGAACCUAACAACGAUUCAUCGAUCCUUGAGAUGUGCAGGCUUGCAUAUGCGCAAGUUGUCUGUAUCAAAAUUACAUACCCAGCCCAUUGUAGAAAAAAUAAAUUAACUAGUGCGCUGAACAAAAUAGGAAAAGGUCAGUUGCUUCCAAGGUAGUUUUGCUACUAAUCUAACCAAAGUACAUCGUCCUACAAUUGCCUUGCCUAUGCAUAUAAGUACUAUGAGUAGUUUUAACAUGCUCCACCUUACCCCCUCUUUUCACCGUGAGAGGUAAGAGUACAAACUAGAUCUGAGCGUUGAUCUCAUUAUUUAGUGGCCUGAUGCCAAGUAUUAUGUAGUAUGGUUAUAUUUCUGCUCUGCCAGCUACUCCAAAAAGCGACUGUUGAAAAGCUAAUUAAAUUGGUUGGUGAUUGCUUAGGAGAUUAUGCAUGCAGGAAAAGAUGAAGGGGCCCUUUUUCUCAGUCAAGCAAGUAUAUUCUCUAGCCGACUUGUGCCUAGUGCGUGGAGAAGCUGUGUGUGCGGGGAGGAUGACAACGAAGGGAUGACGACCAACGAUUAUGACAUCUAAUCAUAUGGUGCAGAAAGUGGCUAAUCCAUGCCUCGCGUCGGUCGACCCAAAGUGCUACCCAAUCUGAAAACUACCUGCAAGCAGGCCCAGUAACCUGCAAAACCCAAAAGUGCAGUUUUAUAGCAUUCUGAUGAAAAUAGACAGAACAAAAAAUAAAUAAAUAACUAACCUGAUGUUGGAUCUUGAGGUGUAUCUCUCCUUGUGUGUGAUUUGAGUAAACUUGUGCGGUGAACCUUGUUCUUGUGUGAUUUCUCUUGUGUUCCUUUUGUUAUUUGGGACCCUCCUCAACAAUUUUAUUACCACAGAGAACCACUAUUUUAGCUCCGAUUAAACAACACAAAAAUGUUGUACCCAUACCUUCAUUCGUAGUGGGCUAAUACAAAACAUGGAAUAAUAAUUAACGAAAACCAGGAAUUAAGAAAUGGCAAGGCUGACAAUAAAAAGGCACAUAAAAACAACCUUUGGAUGACAAAGAAGACCGACGGUGCAGAAAACUAUUAGAUCCCUCGGUAGGGUACCUAGCGUAGCUGGAAGUCAUAGAUCGGAGGUCACACAGAGAAUUUACCCAGGUUCGGACCUCCAUAGUGAUACCCUAUAUCUUGCUUGUGUUUGUCAUAGAUGGUGGGCAUACCUCGAGCAAGGGAUUACAGAGAGAUGUAUCAGUCUAUCAAGAGUUGUUUCUAUGGUAGUAAAUGGGAUUGAGAGCCCCAUAGUCUCUGUUCGGAAAUAUAGUAAACAAAAAUCGCCCUACAAUUAUCCAGAAAAAAUAUGAAGAUACAUUAACGGUUUGGAUUUGAUCGUGCCCACCUUUGAGUUGCAGCGAAAGAAGAUGAGUCAUUGUAGAUCUUACUUGGAGUCCCUCGAACCAUAGAUGAAUGAUUCCGCGAACUGCUCAUCAAUAUUCCCUCGAACGAAAUACCGAAAGCACGACCUCUCUAUGAGUUACAAGCGUACGGUCUUUACGAUUCGGCGGCGCUUAGCCGUCCAGAGCUAAUCGUUGCCGAAGAAUUAGAGGGAGGAGAUUAGAACCAUACUCGACUUCUAAUUAUGAGGAUUAGAGGAUCCAGGUCAAGCUGUAAUUAAUCAACUAGGAUCAAUUAGAACUACAACUAGAGAACUAGAGGAGGCUCCAAAACUUAUGUAUCAAAAGUGCCAAAAGCCUCUACUAUAUACAGAUUGGAGGAGGGGGCACCACAAGGGGAGGGAAACUCGGAAAUCACUAAUUGAGGAAUGCUCCUUCCAAAGAUCACUUUUCACUUCCCUAGUUGCGACAAGUGGUGCGCUGCAUGCGCGCCACUUGUCACAACCCGGGAGUUUUCCCUUUUCUAAUAGAUCCGUUUAUUCAAAAUGUUUUCUCUUAAACCAUGCGUCCAAAUUUGAAGCCCUUUUGACCAUUGGAUUCCUCACAUCGAGAUCUUCAAAACUAGAUAUCAUGUUGAUAGUUUUUGAUGAAAUUUUUAUUUAAUGAAAAAAAUUAUGCCUCUUGCAGAAGGAACAAAUAAAAUAGAAAACAUGUUAUUUUUCGUUUCCGAUAGGCAUGGCCGUGCCUCGCACGGAAGCAAAACCGUGCCUCUCGCAGAAGAAAAAAAAACGUGCUUUCCCAUUUUCGAGAUGCACAAGCGUGCCUCUCGCGGAAGCAAAACCGUGCCUCUCACGGAAGGGGAAAAAAGAAAGAACUUUUUUUUUCAUUUCCGAGAGGCACGGCCGUGCCUCUCGCGAAAGCAAACCGUGCCUCUCAUAGAAGGAAAAGAACGUGUUUUUCCCCAUUUUCGAGAAGCACAGACGUGCCUCUCACGGAAGCAAAACCGUGCCUCUCACGGAAGGGAAAAAAAGAAAGCACUUUUUUUUCAUUUCCGAGAGGCAUGGCCGUGCCUCUCGUGAAAGCAAAUCCGUGCUUCUCGCGGAAGCAAAACCGUGCCUCUCGUGAAAGGAAAAAAACACGAUUUUCACGCAAAAAAAAAAUCAAAAACCGAGAUCCGUCAUGUAGUCCCGGUUGCGAGUCGGGAAACAUAGUUGCCGGUGAAAACCGAGUCGACGGCAGGCGAUGGUGGCAUUCUGCGCCGUUAGCUUCAUGAAGACAUCGUCGUGUAACUACUGUCGACCCACUCGUGCUGCUUCGGGGGAAACCCUAGGCUCUUGUCUUCCAGAUCGGACGAUGGUGGCACUGCGGUAUCGUUUCUCUCUUGGGAGCAUCUUCUUCUUGCACGGAGGUGGAGCAGCGCUGGAAGCCAGUGACAGGAGGUGGAACGGCUUCGUCUUGCACGGAGCUUCGGUGGAGAUGUCAAGUAAUGCAUGAUCGACAGGUGCUAUGCUAUGUCAUGCAUGUUCGGCAGGUGCUACGCAUGACAGAUCUUCCAUAUUCUUCGCAUCUGGAUGAACGAACGCAGGGCAGUGGCGCCGUUGUGCUCCAUGGUGGCGUCGACGGUUGGCCGGAUUGGCAAGGAUGAUGCGGAUCUCUCUCUCCUGUAGAUGGGUCAGCGGUUCGAUGAUGAUGACGGCUUCUAAAAUGUGUGCAUGUGGUGUACUCUUUAGAUCUGCUGCACGGGUUGUUGGUUUCAAUACGUUAUGUGGAUGAAUCGGCGACAACACCGGUUUCAGAUAUGGGAAGUGAGAGCACUUCAUAUUGUCAAGUUUAUAGGUGUGAGUGAUGGCUUGAUAUAUAUUCUUGUCAGACAUUUGUUGAAUAAUUAAUAAAGAUGAUCAUAUUUAUCGAUUGAUGCAGAGGCUGGGGUUUUAACCUCCGUUUCAAAAAAAAAACGCAUCCUAGAUGCAGAGGGUAAAUGCAUGCAUGCCAAAGAGAGGCUCUUGGUCGUCGCGCUGAUGGGGCGAGGCAAGUUGGACAUGUGGUGCUGCGGGUCACCGAUGACAGUGAGACCGAGGAUGCUGAAGCGUGGUGUUGAUCCGUGGGGAACGAAACGGUCCCGUCUCCACGUAUGAUCGCUCUACGAACGUUCCCAUUUCGACUCGUCGCCAUGUGCAGCAUCAAUAAUUCAAUAUUCAACUUCACUGCUUGGCUGCUGCUGCUGGGAGGUUUCGUCGUCCAACCACAAGGCAACCGGACGGGUGGUUGAGUUGAUUCAUUCCAGUUAACACGGGUAAUUGCCCCCAUCUCCUCAUUCAUAUAUGAAGCCACCCUGAUAGUUAGGUACGUAGGUCGUUGCAAUCAUUUUGAGGGCUUUGCUCCAUCAUCUCCUCUUGCCUGCCUUUUCUCCUGUACUUGGACCUUCGUUUUCCCUCUGAAGCACUGCUCGUUUGGGGUGCUCCAUUGCCAAAGCAAGAGCAGCAGCAGCAGCUGGCGUUACACUUCAUCCAGGUGAGUGCUCCAGCUCCAUCUUAAUUUGCUCAGUGCUUAAUUUAGGAACCAGUCGGACUUUUAGUUUGUUGUCUGUACAUGUUCUUUUGAACGAUUUCUUCCCCAAUGGCAUCGGUACUCUCACCGGCGACAUGUUCUUUGUCAUGCGGUGCCACCACUUGAUGUUGGUGCAUCAACAGCUUGCUAAUCCCCCCCAUGCUCUCCCCUGAUGAUGAUAAUCCAGCCUCUGCAGUUAGGCUGCCAAAGUGCCCAUGCCCAUGUGGUACUGCACAACAUCUCCAUCCGCACACCUUCGAUCACAGCCCGUAUCUUGUCUUCAGGCAGAUGGAAUAUUUUAAAUAGUGAGCUAUGCCAUUUAGCGGUGGCUCAACUAGAAGCUAUGAAAAGCUAUAGUGGAGCUAUAGCAAAGCUAAGUUCCAUUUAGUGUUUUCCUUAAAAUCAUGAAAUUUUGAAAAAGAAUAAGCACACAAUCAGUCAUCAUAUAUGAUAUAUUCUAUAUACUUGACAUAUACAAAUGUUGGGCUAUUCGCACAUCAAAACCCGAGCACCAAUCGGGUGUCAUAAUUCAAUAACCAAAGCUUUGCAUUGUAUAUAUCAUAAACAAGAAGAAAAAAUAACGCAGAAUGAUGGUUUUUUGUAUAGCGGCUUAGCGGGCUAAAUGACUCUAAAUUUAGCACUAUGACAAGAAAUAGUAGGCUAUUAGCGUCAUUUCAAAUUUAGCUAUAGAGCUCUCAAAAGCUAUGGAUAUAGCUAUUUAAAACAUUGGGCAGAUCUGACAACAAUUUUGCAAUAGUCCUAGCGUCACGGAUCAUGCCUCCCUGUUGCUGUUGGGCACUAUCUGGAGGUGGAGAUACUCUAUUUUACAAUAUUCCACCAUUUGGCAGCUUAAUUCAUCCUAUUAACGUUACCGAUGAGCAGGCUGGUCAACACGCCGCUUUGAACCACCAACUUCACAUGUAUACAGCUCAGCAACGCAACUUGCCCGAAUUGACUAUUCCCCGUCUUAAUAAUGACAAUGUAGUUUAAUGCUCCUUGACGGAGUAGCCGGUAUCCAUCACAUGCUCUUCAACGUGGCAAUCAGUGUUUCUUACCCUUUCUCCUACUUGUAUGUGUGAAACAGCAAAAGUGAUUUGUGAAUGAACUGUCUAAUUCCAUUGAUUGAAGAUUAGGGUAUGUAUACCCCAUGUACUGACGUUUGAUAAACUAGAGAACCAAUCAAAGCAUGGAUUAACCGGAUUUAAUUAAUUCUUAACUGGAUGUUCUCCUUUUGAAAGCAAUGCUUAGACUAGUCACAAUGGGUAGUAACUUAGACUAGUAACAUUUACUAGUCUAUGUUCUUACCUCUAUAGUGGGGAGUAACAUACGUAUGAUGUUAUGCAACACUUCAUUUAUUAGGUUGUAGACUCAUCUUGUCUUGAUAUGUGUGAUGUUACAGUAACUAGCUAUGUUACCACAUGCCUCUCUUUCCUCAUUAAUUACUCGCCACAUCAUGUUUUGCCUACAGAUGUGUGAUGUUACCACCUAUCUUAUUACCACUGACUGUGGGUAGUCUUACUAGCUUGGGUCUUUCUGAGCAGCAACCACAACCAAUCAGCGAGGAAGGGUCUACACCAUCCUCAAAGUUGACCAAUAAUGACAGUGAUAUGGUAGUAUAAUGCUCCUUAACGUGGUAAUCAGUACCCAUCCCAUGUACACAUCACCCACCCUUAAAUGAAGCUUCUUGAUGUUCAGAGACUAGCCUGUUUUGGUCUUGUUAAUUGUAUCUUGAUUCGAGAUUCAACAGCUGUGGAGCACACUUGCCCACAUCUCUUGUAGCUUGACCCUAUCUAUUCAUUUAUAUGAAGCAAAUGGUAGUGGUUAUGGGUCGGUUCAAUCCCUUCUUCCCCUUUCUCCUACUUUGAUCUUUUCUCUUUGAAGCAAUACUAGCUUGGGUGUUCUGUGAGCACCAGCUAGCUAGCAUCCGUAAUCUUCUUCUAGUUAGUGCUCGAUCAACACUUUUGGGAAUCACUCAGCCAUUCAGUUUUAUAGUUUGUAUGUAUAUGUUUUUCUGAGAGUUCUGCUUUAACAUUUGGAUCCAGGAAAUAUGGCAUGUUUUUGCAUUGGACGGUUAUAUAGCCUUUAAUGGGUUCCACGUCCCCAAACAAUUCAUGAUUCAAGGUUCUUGUUUUUACCAUCAUUCAUUAUUCAAGGGUUGUAGGACUUUAUGAUAUCUCGCCCAUUAGUCCAUUAUUCACGAUGGCCUUGCUAACCCUAAAUUGUUUUGUGUUUAAAUGAUGACAUUGUAAUCAAUUAAUUGUGAGAAAUAUAUAUCGAAUGCUUUUGACCAUUGCUCAUUAUUGUCUUUGUUCAAACAAAUUGUUUUGAUUUUCAUGGUACAACUUCCGUAUACUAAUGGAGAAAUUAAUAACAUCUUGGAAAAUUUCAUACUCCUAAGUUUGGUAAUACCUAUUACCUCCAACCACAAGGUAAAAGUGGAUGGUCCACAAUAGUUGGGAGCACCUUAGAAUUUCUCUACUACCGAACAAUCAGCUAGCAACACAACUUCACACAUACAGCUCAGCAAGACACAACUUUCCCAAACUACAACCAUAAUUGAAUAUAGGAGUACAUCGUUAGCAUUGACUAAUCCACCUCUACCCAAUAAUGACAAGAUUUUCCACAAAGUCUAAUGCUCAUUAACGUUCUACUUGCUAGUCAUCACACGGGUCACAUGUACUCAUCACCUCCAUCAAACGUAGCAAAUCAGGGUAGGAGGGAGUGAGGUCUGCAUCAUCCUCGGCAUUGACUAAUCCUUGUUUAUACCAAAUUAAUCAUUAAUUUUAACUGUUUACUCCCUUUGGUUGGGUUUAUAACUCGGGGAUGGCUUUUAACACCUUCAAUUUGACUAGUGAAACUGAUGUUGUUAGUCACACAUAUUUUGUUAGUCCAUUGAUUGAAGGCUUAAAAGCUCAUGCCGGACUUAUAAACCCAACAGAAUGGAGUAUCAUAUAUUCCAAAUUAUAAUGUUGCCAGGCUUGCUUAUUAAUUUUUUUUGAGAAGGGGGAGUACCCUUAGCCUCUACAUCAAGCAAUGCAGACAUCCAUUUUUAUAAAAAAAAUAGAGCAAGAAAGUACGAAACUCGUCUCAUGUUUGUAAACAAAAGCAAAAGAUAAAACCAGAUGCCACAAACAGAACAAAUAGGACACGAUGCCUAAACACAUAUCGUAUUAUUGUACCCCCAUCCAAACAUGUAUGUAGCUCGUGCUACCAUCUCCCAGCGGUUGCACCCAAAGGCCAGAAGCUCCCUAACUUCCACACGACUGAAUAAUGACAACCUACAGAUCCACCAGACGCCCAAACGAUAACCUGCAAAAAGUUUGUGAUAUUGGUUCGGUUAAAAACAACAUCAUUCCGACAGUUCCAGAUAACGGAAAGUAAUGCAUGUUACUAGCUGCGUUGGGAUUUUCCCCGAAGAGAAAGGUUGAAGCAAUAUAGUAGCGAAUAGUAUUUCCCUCGGUAGGGAACCAAGGUUAUCGAACCAAAAGGAGAACCACACAAACACCCGCCAAUAGUACCUGCAUAUAUAAAAGCAAAUACUUGCACCCAACGCGGGCAAGUAUUAAAUCUGGUAAUGGUAGACAAAUAUAUUGCAAAGUAAAAUAAAAGAAAGAAAAUUGCAGCAAGGUAUCUUUGAUUUUUAUAAUAUGAUUAACGUAGACCCGUGGGCCAUAGUUUUCACUAGAGUCUUCUCUCUUAUAAAAAUAAUAUACAGUGGGUAGACGAAUUACUGUUUGGCAAUUGAUACAAAAGCGCAUAGUUAUGACGACAUGCAUUCAUGGCGUGAUCAUGUAUAUAGACAUUACGUCCGUGACAAGUAGAUCGACUCCUGCCUGCAUCUACUACUAUUACUUCAUCAAUCGACCACUAUUCAACAUGCAUAUAUGGUAUUAAGUUCAUGACAAACAAAGUAACAUUUUAAGCAAGAUGACAUAAUGUAGACAUAAUAAAACCAAGCAAUAUGAUUAAACCCCGUCGUUUUCCCUUUAGUAGCAACAAUACAAAUACGUCCCUCGCUACCCCUUCUGUCACGAGGUGAGGACAUCACAAGAUUGAACCUACUACUAUGCACCACUUCCACUAAUGAUCAACUAAUCAACUUGGCCAAAGAAAACACAUAGAUUGGAAGCAUUACAUAGCUAUAACAAUCACACAUAAUAAAGUUCAGAAAAGACUCAAUUACUUUCAUUGAAUAUUCCAACCAUAAACCGACAAUUCACCGGAUCACAACAAACAAACCGUAAAAGAAGAUUACAUCGUAUAGAACUUCGAGGAAAUAUUGUAUUGAAUAUCAAAGAGAAAGAAGAAACCAUCUAGCUAAUCACUAUGGACACAUAGGUCUGUGGUGGACUACUCAUACAUCAUCGGAGGUCCAACAAGGUUGAUGUAGAAGCCCUCCGUGACCGAUUCAUUCCUCCUCCGGUAGAGUACCAGAAAAGGCCUGCAAAUGGGAUCGCAGAAGACCAGAAACUUGUGGCCGCGGAAAAAUAGUUUCGGCUGGCUCUCUUUUGGUUUUGGGAUUUAUGGGAAUUUAUAGGCUUAGAAUUAGGUCAAACGGAUAUACAAUGGGCCCAUAACCUCAGGUGGCGCACCCCCUGGGGGCGCGUCAUGUGAGCUUGUGGCUCUCCCGUACAUAUUUUGGCCUCCUCCCGAAGUUUCUAGGGGCCCUUCUGGCUGAGGAAAUACCACCGUAAAGUUUCAUCAUGUUUGGACUUUGUUUGUUAUGGAUUUUGUAUAAUAAAAAAUAUGCAGAAAACAUCAACUAGCACUGGACACUGAGUUAAUAGGUUAGUUCCUAAAAAUCAAGAUUGAUAAUAUAAUAACAUGAAACAAUCAAAAAUUAUGGAUGCGUUGGUGACGUAUCAAUGCACAAACUCCCACAUGAAUUUGUGUUGUUAUAUUAGUCUUCAGCCCAUUUAACCAGUUACCAAAUGAAUUGGAGAUGCUACUCGGCGGUAAAAAUUAAAUAACACAUGUAUUCUUUGCCAAAUAACCCAGCUAGUGGACAUUUGAAAAAAAAUGUUGAAUCGUUUCCUAUCCUCCCACCUUUCUUUUGCCAAGUUGUGCUUAGUAAAAAAUCACUCUCUUGUGCACAAACAACAUAAAGAUCUUGAUUUUUAACACACCUUAAUUUUUCAAAUAUGGGUCGACCUAGGGAUUUGUACAAUAUUAAUGAAGUCGAAUACAUAGAUUUGACUUAAUACGCAUGAAAUUAAAAAUUUCCGUCCGAAUGUAUUUGGCACAUUAGAUAGAUUGACCUCCAUCAACCUACACACAAAAUGUAGCCAGCUAUCCCAUCAUUCCCUCAGUAGUACAUGUCUGCACUAAACGUUUAAGGGAAAAUAACCUAGAAUUGUACUCACAAAGGCGCUUUAUGCUGCACAAUAUUUUAAAGCAUUGUAUACUGUAAGGCUAGACGCAUCUCCACAACCAAGUAUGCUCCCAGAAUCUAGUUGUGCGACAUUCGCCAAUGAUAGAUUUACUCAUGUUAAAGAAAGUGAUCCUUGUCUUCAUCAACCUCUUUCAAAAAGGAGAAUCAUUCGGCCGUGCCAUAACAUGUGCUAGAGUUUUCGAAUGUAGAUAAUUGUUACGCAAUAAUUAUAUCCACACCCCAUCCUCAUGUACCAAAAGCCGAUAUAACCAUUUACUAAGUAGGAACUUGUUCUUUACUUUGAGAUUUUCAAUACCCAAACCUCCUUGGUAUUUCGUUCUACUAAGAAUGUCCCACUUAUCCGGUUUGUACUUGGUUGUAUUCUCAUCAUUUUGCCAAAAAAAUCUCGACAGAUAAAAAUCUAAAUUUUUAUAUACCCCUACGGAUGCCUCAAAGAAAGAUAAUAGGAAUAUCGGCAUGCUUGUAAGCACAGAAUUAAUAAGAAUAAGCUGACCCUAAAUGACAUAAGCUUGCCCUUCCAAGAUCUUAGCUUUUUCUAAAAUCGAUCUUCAAUGAACAUUCAUUCUUUGUUGGUCAACUUCCAGUGAUGAAUUGGGAUCCCUAGAUAGCUAAUUGACUAAUAUAUCUUUUUUGGCCCUCUGUUCUCUCAUAUAUGCAGCCUGAUAGGUUGUCUCACUACUAGGAAAAGGGCUAUAGAUGUGAUGAGCACUAAUGGCGCACUGUACAUGUGGUGCGCCAUUACUAAAUACUAAUGGUGCACCAUGUGUUGGUGCGCCAUUAGUGUGCAAAUACUAAUGGCGCAUCCCAUCCCACGGUGCGCCAUUAGUAAAAAAAAAUUAUUUAUUUUUUCAAAACUACUAAUGGCGCACCGUGGGAGUGGUGUGCCAUUACUAGUUGAACUAGUAAUGGCGCACCAUCCCAUGGUGCGCCAUUGGUAAUUUGGCCCAAACAUUCCCCCGAAUGCACACACCCCCUGUGGACCGCCUUUUCAGUUUCAAAAAAAAUAAAAGAAAAUGAUAGAAGUGUCAAAAAAUAAAAGAAAAUAAGAUUCCCAUGUGAUAUGUGGUCUAGUUGUUAGGAAAAUUUACAAACAUGAAUUUUUGACUUUUUUGCAAAAUCUCUCGAGAAUUUGUAAAAAUGGGCAUAACUUUUGCAUACGAACUCGGAUGAAAAAGUUUUUUAUAUGAAAAAUCAUCUACUCGAAAAGUUACAUCUGAAUUUAAUCGGGGGAACCCCGUUAAACAUUUUCAAAAUCCUCAAAAACCUAACAGAAAAAAGAUACGGGGCUUUUAAGAUCUGGAGAGGCAAAAAAAUUCAAAAAAAUUCAAACUUACGAAUGGCGCACCUGCCCAUGGUGCGCCAUUACUAUCUUCCCGCCUUCAAAAUUCAAAAUAAAUCAAAAAAAAGUAAAAAAAUACUAAUGGUGCACCUGCCCAUGGUGCUCCAUUAGUAUCUUCCCGCCUUCAAAAUUCAAAAAAAAUAAGUAAUGGCGCACCUGCCCACGGUGCGCCAUUACUAUGUUGUAUAUAUGGCUGGGCGUGUCCUCUCCUUACCUCUUCAUUCUUCUCCUCCACUCCACCUGUCCUCCACUCCACCUCUCCUCCACUCCUCCACUCCAUCUUCCCUUCUCUCUUCGACCAUACGACCCUCCUCCUCUCCGGCGACCUCCUCCUCCUCCUCCUCUCCGGCGACCUCCUCCNNNNNNNNNNNNNNNNNNNNNNNNNNNNNNNNNNNNNNNNNNNNNNNNNNNNNNNNNNNNNNNNNNNNNNNNNNNNNNNNNNNNNNNNNNNNNNNNNNNNNNNNNNNNNNNNNNNNNNNNNNNNNNNNNNNNNNNNNNNNNNNNNNNNNNNNNNNNNNNNNNNNNNNNNNNNNNNNNNNNNNNNNNNNNNNNNNNNNNNNNNNNNNNNNNNNNNNNNNNNNNNNNNNNNNNNNNNNNNNNNNNNNNNNNNNNNNNNNNNNNNNNNNNNNNNNNNNNNNNNNNNNNNNNNNNNNNNNUCUCCCUCCUCUCCGGUGAGCUCCUCCUCCCUCAUCUCCGAUGAACUCCUCCUUCCUCAUCUCCGGUGAGCUCCUCCUCCCUCCUCUCUGGUGAGCUCCUCCUCCCUCCUCUCCUCCCAUCCCCUCAUGGUUUCUUCUUCCUCCUCUCCGAUGCUCCGGUGAACUCCUCUCCGGCGACGUCCUCCUCCUCUCCGGCGACGUAGGCGAGCGCCUCUGCGGUCACCUCCUCCUCCUCCUCUCCGCCGAACUCCUCUCCGGCAAACUCCUCUCCGGCAACAGAACACGGCAAAAGAACGUACAAGAUCCAAAAACGGGAACAAAAUUUGAAAUAAUAUCAUGCAAAAACACGAGCAAAAAAACGAGCAAAAAAUGGGCAAAAAAAUCGCGAUCCAGAUCCAAAUUCAAAAUUCAAAAAUAGCAAUGGCGCACGGUGGGGGUUAGACGGUGCGCCACUACUAUUUUCCCGCCUUCAAAAUUCAAAAAUACUAAUGGCGCACCGUGGCCUAUACUAAUGGCGCACCAGCGGCCUAUACUAAUGGCGCACCGUGGCCUAUACUAAUGGCGCACCAGUGGUGCGCCAUUAGUAUACCAGAUACUAAUGGCGCAUCAGUGGUGUGCCAUUAGUAAAAAAUACUAGUGGCGUGAUACUAAUGGCGCACCAGUAGUGCGCCAUUAGUAGGCAAAACUGGUGCGCCAUUAGUAAGCCUUUUCCUAGUAGUGUUUGUCAAUCCACUAUCUUCUUGCCCCUCCAUUUUUCGACAACCUAGAAGCUACCUAUGACCAUGCAGUUCUUCCAUGCUAGAAGUGCGCAAUCCAGAUCUUUGUUGAAUGGUUAUUGAAAAAUUAAUCGGUCUCUCAGUUUCUAUACAGUCUUUUGAAAUUUAUGUUUUGCAUUGUAUUUUUCCUUACAUGGAAAGGUUUGCUUUAUAUUGUAGAAUGAAUAAUAUAGCAGAAAUGGAAGCCUUGGAGCGUGUAUUUAGUGAUGCAAGUGCAAAGCCGAUCAAACUAUCAUAUGGACUUCUCGAAAUUAUUACGGAGAAUUUUUCGAACGAAAUUGGCCGUGGUGGGUUUGGAGUUGUUUACAAGGUAUGAUUUCUUCUCGACUAUCUCCCAGAUAAUAAUUUUUCACUUAUGAAACUAGUAAAGCAAAAUUCCUGGGCUGAUGAUAAUACCGUGAGCAAAACAGGGAUAUCUACGAAAUGGGGAGGUUGCUGUGAAGAAGCUCUCCAAUCCGCAUGCUUUGCCUGAUAGGAAAUUCCUGGAUGAGAUCACGUGUUUAAAAAAGGCAAAGCACACAAAUAUAGUAAGAAUUCUGGGUUAUUGUUCAGAAACGCAGGGGGAGUUGCUUGAAAUCAAUGAAAAACAUAUAAUGGCAGAGAUACAGAAAAAGUUGAUCUGCUUUGAGUAUGUUCCUAAUGGAAACAUUCAACACUAUUUGAAACAAGGUAUGGAGGGUACCAGUUGAUAUGUUCUUCUAUUCUAUUCUAAGCAUAUGGAAAAUAGUUGUGCCAAUUUUGAUCCACCGAUAUUAGCAUGUUGUGCAUCCGGCGACUUCAGACGUGCGAUCGAGUAGCAUCGUUCACUCUAAGAGUCGCACACACACACGCACACAUGCACGCACGCACGCGCGCGCGCGUGCACACACACAAUCAAAUAGGAUUAAACUCUAUCUUUGUUGUUACAAGAUAACUGGAGGUAUUAGGUGUGGGUACUAAAGAAGGAAAAUGUGGUAUCUAGGAUUUGGGCCUAAUUCAAUAUGUGGCUUCCUUAACUAUGUCAUUAUAUCUCACUAGUCUGUGUAGCCAUGACUCAAUUCCCCCUUUAUGAUAGUAUGUUGUGCACAACUCAAUGAAAUUAUUAAGGCCAAAAGACCGAACCAGAAAUGUGCUCUGAAGUUAAACUUCGUGUGGUAAUUAUUCUGUAUGGUUGCCCAUGUCAUCUAAAACACUAGCAUACACGAUAACAUCCCAUCAUUAUUGCUAGACAUGCGACUAUAAGUAGCACAUAAUAUCGACCAAGGGUUCACCAAAGCACAUCUAUCUACUCCUUAUGAUGUCUCAUGAUCUAGACGUGUAUUAACCCAUGGACUGAACAACUACAGUAACAAAAAUAAACAACAUGAGAAGAGUAAGAACUAGAGAUUAAUUAAAAAUACCAUUACAGAAAUUUUUGCUGAAACCUUGAUAUGGUGAUCAAUGGACUCGUAAGUAACUUACUAUGAGUGGUGAUCCGAACAGCACUAAAAAGUGCCCCCACCAUAAAUGGAGAGUGAUCAAUUCUGCAAACCAACUUGAACAUGUCAGUGGAAAAGAUCCCAGCGCUAGCUAGGAGUCGACAACAAGGGUCACCAAUAGUAGACCUCCGUCCUAUUCCUCUCAAUGUUAAUCCUCUCUAUGACAAGCCCGUCAGAACGGCCUGUUAGUUGAAUGUUACCACUGACGGCCUCCUUGUAGCAACUCAUCGAUGGUACUUUCUAUAGGUAAAAUGAAAGAAAUUAGCGACCAACGAUCAUAGAAGAGUGAAUCGUGAGAGGUGAUAGGUUGUCCCAGGUGGAGAAAAUGCAUGCAUUUGUCUAUGUUCCUCAAGAACUAUAUAGCAGUGCAGCCCCAGCAGCCCUCACAUUCUGUUGGAAAUAUGAGCAAUUUACCGAAUGAUUUUAUUGACAGAAAUACUAGAUAAAGCAUGACUAAUAUAGCAGAGAUAAAACAAGUCAUGCAGUUCGAGAUAGAGAAGGUAAAUAGCAUAUGUAUAUAUGAACUAGAUCCGAACACAUCUAGAACAGACACUAGAACAAGAAGUUGUGACAGAGCCUCUAACCGAAAGAGUAUGAGAACGUAUGGAACGGGAGCAGAUGCACCGGUCUUCGGGUCGGUGUCCUCGCCAGCCAUGUCGUCGAGGAGGUUGUCGACGUCGAAGUCCGGGGCGUCCGUGACGAAGAAGUCAGUAGUCGCGCUGAGCGCUCCCCAAAAACCUUAUCACCCUUCUUUCGUACAGGACUCAAAAGGUGUGGUUUCAGAGGCCUACUGUGUCUCUCUCAAGAGGAGCGACCUCUCUUAUAUAGGCACAGGAGAAGGAGGCGAACAGGCUGCGACGGCAGGUGAAGCAACAGAGGGAGACGACAGGAGGUGAAGCAACAGAGGGAGACGAAGUGAACAGACUUCAGCCGAAGAGGCGAGCUGUUCGGAUUCAGUGUCCACUACAGAAAAACGUUUCAGCUCCCGCUUGACCUUUCAUAUACCCGUCAUGCGUGGCAAAAAUUUAGACAUCGGCUCGGCUCAUUCCCGCAACUCGCGGCGCGUCGUGACGAGACGUGGCGAGGCGGGCGACGGAGGAGGAGCGCGCGUGGAUGUCCCUCUUGUUCUCAUCCUCAUACAUGUGGAGAAAGAGUCUCCCUUAUAAAGAGGUCCAACUCCCUCUAAACAAGCAAUAUGGGACUAAACUUUAGUUCCACCUCUUGCCUUGCAUGAAUGGGCUGCGUGGGCCUCUAGGAUUUAUUAGGAAUUUCUUAAACUGCUAUUGGGCUAGGCCCAAAAUAGACAAAAUUCCAGCAAUCCCCCACCAGAUCCCAGAGGCACACAAAAUUUGCCUUUGGUUCCAAAACACUGUUUUAUAUACCGGUACUACAGUGGAAAUUGUUAAGUUGAACUUCCACCUAGAACUCUAUGCUACACUAGUAAGCAACUUGGACAGUGAACUAUGCCUUGAACUGCAAGUUUUCUGUGAAUCUAGCUUCACAUAAAGCCUUGACCGAUACGUGGCUACCGUGGGUCUUCCCCGCCGGUGGAGCUUAUGCGUCAUACUCCAAGACCUUUCAUGAGUUUACUAGAGAGAACCUGACUCUCAUAGAUUGCGACGUUUAACAAUCAGACUCAUAUAGGUGCGUUCUUCAAAAGAUAUUUUGCAGGACGACAUCUCUGCUUCAAUGAGCCACUUAGAACAUAUUAGGAUAUAAAUCAAUCUGCCAUGCAGAUUACGAGAGUAUUGCAUCUUCAUGGAGUGGUAUUAAUAGUAAGGAUACUCUCCUCUCAGUUGACCAAUAGCUUGUCUUCCACAUCUAAUUCACGGGAUCUUCGAUCACAAAGAAUAGGUUACCACUGUGAACAACUUAUAUUGUAGGUCUCAUACCCAUCUCCCUUGAUGCAUUAUCUAUCACAUUACGUGAUAGACCCUUAGUAAAAGAAUCUGCCGGAUUCUUAGACGUUUGGAUAUAAUCCAAUGCAAUAACUCUGGGGUUUUUCAUUUUCCUGAUAGACUUUAACCUUCUUUGAAUGUGUCUUGAUGACUUCAUGUUAUCCUUUGAGCUGCUCACUUUCGUGAUCACAGUUUGAUUGUCAUAGUUCAUAAGGACACCCGUUACAGGUUUCUCAACAACCGACAAGUCAUUCAAGAGCCGGUGAAGCCAAUCUGCUUCGACCGUAGCUGUAUCUAGUGUUGUGAGUUCUGUUUCCAUUGUUGACCUCGUUAAGAUGGUCUGCUUGCAAGACUUCCAAAAAACAGCGCCACCUCCAUGAGUGAAUACAUAUCCGCUCGUGGCCUUUAUCUCAUCAGCAUUUGAGAUCCAGUUUGAGUCACUAUAUGCUUCAAGCACCUUUGGGUGCCCAGUGUAGUGAAUUCCAUAAUUCGCAGUGCCUUUCAAAUAAUGUAAGACUCUCUCUAGAGCUUUCCAAUGCACAUCUCUUGGUUUUGAGACAAACCAACUUAGUUUGCUAAAAGCAAAAGAGAUGUCAGGUCUUCUAGCACUGGCUAAGUACAUGAGCGAGCCAAUAAUCCGAGAAUACUUCAAUUGAUCUCUAGCAAUUCUUCGAUUCUUUUGAAGCAGCACACUAGCAUCAUAUGGUGUUGGAGAGGGCUUGCAGUCACUUUAGCCAAAGCGACUCAAGAUCGUUUCCACAUAGUGAGAUUGAAGCAAUGUAAUCCCACCGUCAUCAUCUCUCAACAACUUGAUGUUCAGAAUGACAUCAGCCACUCAUAAAUCCUUCAUCUCAAAACAACGAGAUAGGAAAUCCUUGACCUCCUUAAUAACAUUCAGAUUUGUUCCGAAAAUCAAUAUAUCGUCAACAUACAAGCAAAGGAUAACUCCCUCGCCCCCACCAUGGUGAUAGUACACACAUUUGUCAGCUUGGUUUACAACAAAGCCAACAGCUGACAAAUGUGUGUACUAUCACCAUGGUGGGGUCAAGGAUAACUCGCCUCCACCAUGGCGAUAGUACACACAUUUGUCAGCUUGGUUUACAACAAUGUGAGGUCAAGGAUAACUCCCUCCUUAAAGUUCUUUCAAACUUCUCAUGCCACUAUUUGGGUGCUUGCUUGAGUCCAUACAAAGACUUCAACAACUUGCACACUUUUCCUUCCUGACCAUCUAGUACAAAUCCAUCUGGUUGUUCCAUAUAAAUUUCCUUGUCCAACUCUCCAUUUAGGAAAGCAGUCUUAACAUCCAUUUGAUGAACGAGAAGACCAUGUGAGGCAGCUAGUGAAAGUAGAACUCGAAUAGUGGUCAGUCGAGCCACAGAUGAGUAAGUACCAAGAAGUCUUCAACUUCCUUUUGGGUAUAACCCUUAGCCACGAGCAGAGCCUUGGACUUUUCAAUAGUACCAUCAUUGUUGAGGAAAUCGUUAACUGGUAACUGCUCGGUUGGCUAGCGAGUAGGGGAUUAAUAUGCUAAUCCGCAAGUUAAUCGGCCAUUUAAUCAAUUAAUCGGACGAUUUAUCGGUUUAUCGGCUACUCGAUGACCCUACGAGUAGGGAUUAAUCGGCAAGUUAACUGGUUAAUCGGAUGAAUUCUUGAACAGGGAGUACCAUCAGGCCUAAGUUUCUUCUUGAAUACCCAUUUGCAUCCUAUAGGUUUGCACCCAUAAGGACGAUCAGUUAUCUCCAAGUUUCAUUUGCCAAGAUAGAAUCCAUCUCCCUACGAACCACUUCCUUCCAGUAGUCAGCAUCUUCAGAUGCAUAGGCCUCUAAAAUAGAUCUGGGAGUGUCAUCUAGGAGAUACACAAGAAAAUCAUCACCAAAGGACUUUGCAUUCCUCUGUGUCUUGCUCCUAGUAGGAACUUCAUUGUUCUCCUCCACAGGACUUUCAAAGUGUUCCAUCGAAAUGGCAGGUUCGAUAGUUGUAACUGGUUUCUGAUUCGAUGAACUAGGCAUCUCCUGAUUAGAUGAGGUAGUCAUAUCCUUCAUGGGAAAGAUAUCUUCAGAGAAAGUCGCAUCAUUCGACUCCAUGAUCGUACCGACAUGCAUGUUAGGUACCUCAGAUUUUACAACCAAGAAUCUAUAACCAAUGCUAUGAAAAGCAUAUCCCAGGAAAACACAAUCCACAGUCUUUGGUCCAAGCUUGCGCUUCUUUGGAAUUGGCACGUUGACUUUCACCAAACAACCCCAGGUUGGUAGAUAAGAGAGUUUUAAUCUUUUCUUCUCCCAUUCCUCGAAUGGAGUUAUCUCUUUAUUCCUUGUGGGAACUCGGUUUAGGACGUGGCAUGCAGUCAAUAUCGCCUCCCCCCACCAUGCCUUGGAGAGACCUGAUGUGUCUAACAUGGCGUUAACCAAAUCUGUUAGAGUACGGUUCUUUCUUUCUGCCACCCCAUUUGACUGAGGUCAAUAGGGAGGUGUCCUCUCAUGGAUUAUACCAUGUUCUGCACAAAAAGCAUCAAAUUCAUUGGAAAAAUACUCUCCACCACGGUCGGACCUAAGCCUCUUGAUUUUCUGAUCAAGUUGGUUUUCCACUUUAGCUUUAUAGAUCUUGAAAAAGUUCAAAGCCUCAUCCUUAGAUUUCAGAAGAUACACACGAUAGUAUCUAGUGGAGUCGUCAAUUAACGUCAUGAAAUAUUUCUUUCCACCUUUUGUCAAAACACCAUUCAUUUCACAUAGAUAUGAAUGUAUGAGCUCUAGUGGUGCAAGAUUUCUCGUUUCCGCAGUCGUGUGAGACAUACGAGGUUGCUUAGCUUGCACACAAACUUGACACUUAGAUCCCUUGACAGUGGUGAAAGUAGGGAUUAAGUUCAACUUCGCUAGUCGCGACAUGCAACCAAAGUUAACAUGACAAAGACGUGAAUGCCACACAUUUGAUUCACUAUUGUUGCAAACAUGAUUAACAACUUUAUUGCAAACGUCUGUCAAGGAUAAAUGAAACAGGCCUCCUGACUCAUAGCCUUUACCAACAAAGGUUCCAUACUUGGAUAUUACAAAUUUAUUCGACUCAAAGACAAGUUUAUAGCCAUCUCUACACAGAAGAGAUCCGCUAACAAGAUUUUUAUUGACGGAGGGGACAUAAUCCACGUUCUCCAGCUGCACGAUCUUCCCCGAAGUAAACUUCAGAUCGACCGUGCCAACACCACAAACAGAAGCACUUGAACUGUUGCCCAUCAGCACGAUUGAAGUCCCCGCGGUCUGAUAAGACGAAAACAUGGAAAUAUCACCGCAUAGAUGCACAUUAGCACCCGUGUCAAUCAACCAAUCAGGAGAAUGACAUACUGAAAGAAUAGUGGGAAAUAUACCAUACCCAACAUCCUUCAUUUCAGUGUCUCCAAUGACAACAUUAGCGGUCUUGCCGCCUUUCCCAGGAUGACGCUUAUCAUAGCGAUUAGGGCAACUAGGAGCCCAAUGAUAAGGAUCCCCACACACAUGACAAACACCUUUAUUCUUGUCAUUCUUCUUUUUGAAGUUCGUGUGUUGCAUAGCCUUGUUCUUCCCAUCAAACUUUGCUUUACCAUCAAACUUGCCCUUGUUCUUGAACUUGUGGGACUGGAAGUUCUUCUUCUGUACCAGAUUGGCACUAGAUCCUCCCUCAAUACGUCGAGCACGUGUGUACACCUUUUCUUCCACAUCAAGAGUGCCAAUGAGAUCCGGGACGGAAAACUCCUGUCUCUUAUGCUUCAGUAAGGUAGCAAAGUUCCUCCACGAAGGAGGAAGCUUAGUGAUGAUACCUCCGGCAACAAACUUGUCCGGUAGCAUACAACUGAAGUGCUCAAGUUCUCUAGCAAAUGACUGUAUCUCAUGAGCUUGCUCAACCACGGAGCGCUCGUCAGUCAUCCUGUAAUCAUAUAAUUGCUCCAUGAUGUACAGCUCAGUGUCAGCAUCCGAGACCCCAAACUUGGCCUCGAGUGCACCCCGCAUAUCUUUUCCAUUAUCAAUUGACGCAUAAGCAUCAACUAUGUUCUCACCAAGAACACUCAAGAGAGCAGCCUUAAACAGAGUAUCCAUUUUCUGAAAAGCUUGUGCCUGUUGAGCAUCAAGCUCUCCUUCAGAUUUGCCAAGAGUGGCGUCAUAGCAACUCAUUUUUUGAAACUAUAAGACUGCUACCACGCACCACCUCUUAUAGUGGAUACCCUCAAACAUAGUAGGUCUCAUGGAAGCAACAAAACCACUCGGGGUAAAUUGCCUAUAAUAAGGUUUUUGGAUUGUUGUAAAUAUGAGCAAUUUAUCGAAUGAUUUUAUUGACAGAAAUACUAGAUAAAGCAUGACUAAUAUAGCAGAGAUAAAACAAGUCAUGCAAUUCGAUAGAGAGAAGGUAAAUAGCAUCUGUAUAUAUGAAUUAGAACCGAACACAUCUAGAACAGACACUAGAAUAAGAAGUUGUGACAGAACCUCUAACAGAAAGAGUAUGGGAACGUACGGAACGGGAGCAGAUGCACCGGUCUUGGGGUCGGUGUCCUUUCCAGCCAUGUCGUCGAGGAGGUUGUCGACGUCGGGGAAGAAGUCGUCGUUGGCGAAGUAGUCGUCGGAGUCCGGGGUGUCCGUGAUGAAGAAGUCGGUAGUCGCGCUGAGCGCUCCCCAAAAAUCUUAUCACCCUUCUCCCGUACAGGACUCAAAAGGUGUGGUUUCAGAGGCCUACUAUCCCGACCUGCGGUGCACGCCGCAAGUCGGGAUGGGGAAGAUCGUAGCAGCAGCGCAGUGCUCAGGAGAGGAGCGACCUCAUCUUUAGGCGGUAUACCAAAAGAAAGUGAAUAUCAACCACUAGUCAUCUGUAUGGGGAUGAUGGUGGGUAGGGUAGUAGUAAAUAUGGGGGGUGGGGGAGGGGAAUCCCGGGAGAAAGCAAUACAUUUGAUUCAUACUUGUGGUGUCAUGAAUACUAGAUGACACAUGACCUCUUCUCAAGCUUGAUAAAAAAAUCGUGGAGAUUAUCUUGAUCAAUUUAUGUUGCAAGACAUGUGGACAGGAAUAAAGAAUCUUCUGCUUGCUUUUGCAGAGAGACAUCAUGGAGACGAUUGGCAUGUACGCUACCAAAUGAUUGUAGGGAUUUGUCAAGGGCUGCACUAUCUGCAUGAGAAAUACAUUAAUCACUUGGAUUUGAAACCUGAAAAUGUUUUGUUGGAUGCUGAUAUGAAGCCAAAAGUUACAGAUUUUGGUUUGUCAAGAUGCCUAGAUCAAGGACAAUCUAUUAUUACACAAAACAUACUUGGAACACCGUAAGUUAAGGCGGUCUCCUGACAAUCCCUGGUCAUUAGCUUUUUUCAUGCAGUGAUACUUGAAAUGAACUAACACACUACCGAUGCAGGCGGUAUAUUGCACCAGAAAUCAUAGACAAAGGAGAAAUAUCAUUUAAGUCUGACAUUUACGCUUUUGGUAUUAUUACCAUAGAAUUAUUAACAGGGAUCAGCAAAGCAAAUCUUGACAAUGUAAGGAUGAUUUAACUUUGCCUUCUAGUUGGCUUUUUUUAACUAUGUCAAAAUUUUACUUAUUCAUACUACAGUUAUAUACAAAUUUGUAGUAAAUUUUAUUUUUGACCACCUGGUUGUGACUUUCUAACAACUUCUAUCACAUUUUUAAAAUAUUUAGUCCACACCCUGUGUAUUGUGAGAAACUAUUUUACUAAAACAAGUCAAGUGGGACCAAGCUUUUUAGCUUUGAUAAUCCUUCUUACUACUUUAGUUUUGUAUUUAAGGUAACCCUCAUUUAGUGUCUUUUGAGAGAAAAGUUAUGAGAUAUGGUUGCUCUACCAUCUAUCCUCAUUAAAUAUGGUGUCACAUCAGUAUUUUUACCUAUGAAACCGUGGUAAGAUACUACUCCCUCCAUCGGUAUAUAUAGUGGUCAAGUGAAAGUGAAUAUGGCAUAUUUUCUUGAUGUCGUACUAUUUGGGAAAGUGCUACCAUCAUUCCGUCAUGUUUAAACCUGAUUUGCAGUGGGAUAAAUUAUUAGACAUGGACUGUCCACGAAUGAGGAGGUGCAUUGAAAUCGCUCGAAAGUGCACCGACCCUGACAAACGCGAAAGACCCACCGCACGUGAAGUAAUCCGUGACCUGGACGAGCUGGAGAGCAUGGUUCCAUGGUCCUCCAUGAACCAGGUAUGUAAUUAAGAUUGACCUGGGCGAGCUGUUUAAGAAUUCUUCACGUUCAGUUCACACUUCACACAUGCAUCCCUGGCCGCGCAGUCAACCAGGGAAUGUAUCUAGUGCACCGGGGCAAUCGGUGCUGCCGGUGCACCGAUCCCCCGUUACACAUUCAAAAAUGUUUAAAAAAAAUCCAUAAAAUUUUACGGCAUUGGCACAACAUCAAUGUAUGUUGUCCUAAAAAUUCAAACCAAAAUUUGAAACAUUGCUCGAGAUACAAAAUGAUAAAUUUGACACUGAAUAGUACAUAACACAGGUUGGGCUUCAGUUUUGGCCCAUUAGCAUAUUUAUGUCAAAUUUGUCAUUUUUGUAUCUUGAGUGAUGUUUUGAAUUUUGAUUCAAAUUUUUGUGACAACUUAUAUUGAUGUUGUGUCAAUGCACUAAUUUUUUUUCGAACAUUUUUGAGUGUGCAACGGAGUCCGGUGCACCGGUAGCACAAAUUGCCCCGGUUCACCCGAUACAUUCCCCAGUCAACCAAGAUGUAUAAACGCAGGUCACCCCCACUGUUGUCCCUGGAAAUGAGGUACUCGAUGUGUACCCGCUGGAGCUCAGGUUUCCCUUCGUGCCAAACAAGGAGAUGCGUUGCCACUUGACCACGACCACCAAGACAGAUUGUUUUGUCUUCUGUAUGCUCGUACCUGGAGUUCCGGAUAGAUACUCGGGUGACUUGGUAGGCAUUGUACCUGGAAUGUGCACUUCCGUUACCCCAGUAGUAAGGCAGGCGGAAGAGGAGCUUCCCUCAGGCACGGACGAGUUGGAGGUACUGUUCUGGCUCACAGGGUGCAAUGAUCCCGACAAACUCGCACUUCAGCUAUCAGCAUUAUCAGUGUACCCUGGUUCGCCCUCUCAAUAUGAAUUAAAGGCGGCAUUCCAUGAGCUUGGGUGGGAGCUACACCGGACGACGUUGACAGCGGUCGUCGUCGCCCCCGAGGAUGAUGAUCUAGCUGUGAGUAUAUGCCAUGCAUGCAUAUGUUGCUAUCUUAUUAGCUAGAUUUUAUUAAGUAUUAUUUAAUUAUUAAUUAUGUCAUUAUAUCAGCUAGUGGUGAAUACUCCGUGCAAAGAAGAAGAAUUUUUUUAUUCUAUCGAUUGCAUGGAUGUGCAUCCUACGGAGCCCUGGUGAGUAAUUGUUCUACCUACGUGGAAUAUACAUAUACUUCACNNNNNNNNNNNNNNNNNNNNNNNNNNNNNNNNNNNNNNNNNNNNNNNNNNNNNNNNNNNNNNNNNNNNNNNNNNNNNNNNNNNNNNNNNNNNNNNNNNNNNNNNNNNNNNNNNNNNNNNNNNNNNNNNNNNNNNNNNNNNNNNNNNNNNNNNNNNNNNNNNNNNNNNNNNNNNNNNNNNNNNNNNNNNNNNNNNNNNNNNNNNNNNNNNNNNNNNNNNNNNNNNNNNNNNNNNNNNNNNNNNNNNNNNNNNNNNNNNNNNNNNNNNNNNNNNNNNNNNNNNNNNNCGUAUUUUUAGAUCCUCAAGUUGACAAUUUUAUAAAAAGUAAUCUCAAAUUGACCAAUAAAACAUGGAUUAUGUCAUAAAAAAUAUAUUAUCGAAUUUAUAUUUGAAAUAAUGGUAUAAAUUUUAUGUCGUAACCUAUAUUUCGUAUUGAAUAUUUUACCAUUCUUUGGAACUAGCAUUUGUGAGGGCACCAUCUUUAAUUUGUUGUGCUUUGUAAAAUAAAUUUAUUUUUAUAUAGACUCCAAAAACAUGAAAUUUCAAAUUACUUGGUUCUAUAGCCACCGUGAAGUUAUGUUAGGUAAAAUAUCAACUAUGGUCAAAAGAAUCUAGCGAUACCACCAAAUUCUUCCAAUAAAUUAGUUGCGUCGUCAUAUGUUCGGAUAAUAUUUUUAUUCACAUGACUAACAAAGCAGAGGAAAAAAAACUACGAUUGCAGCACAUGCAAUUAAUCUUAAAGAAUUCAAAACGAAUAUCAAACACAAAUGUGUAUUUGAUUACUUCAUGUGCCGGAAACACAUAUGAACUCAUGAGCUGAAAUGUGUUUUCCAAAAUGCUUGACUCAGAGGAAACUUUCCCCUUAAGUUAAUAAUAGUGAUAAAAAUAAUAAUUCUUAAGAUUCAAGUCCUAUGUAUUGGACAAUCUCAAUAGAAAACUUUUGUCGGAACAAAUAUUGUUCAAAACACUUUUGAUAUUACCCUCGUUACAAGUCCACUUAUAUAUACGGUGGCGCUAAAGUGAGCCUGAGCGCAAAAGCGCUAAUCCUACGCUCCAGCCAGUGCCACUCAACCGAACCAACUAAUCAUUUUCCACCUCCUAGUAAAAUCCUUCACACAAAAAAGUAACGAGAUUAAAUUUGUUACCGGGUGCAUGUACCUCUCUCCAUGUCAAGCCGUACAAGCUAUUUACGUGAUGCCUUCUAGUAAAAUCCUUGUCAAACAUAGUCAAAUGAAUAAAUUCGUUACCGAAUGCAUGCACAGUACCCCACCCCGCCCCGUGCUACUUAUUCACCGUAAUAACUUGUAGUAAAAUCCCUGGCAAAUAUAGUAACGAAAUAAAAUACUUUGCCAACUGCAUGCAUCAAUACUCAUUCCCACCACUUACUAGCUAUUCAAUUAAUUAUUCCUAGUAAAAUCCUUCACAAACAUAGUAAUAGAAUUAUUAGUUUUACUGUCACUAUGCACCAAACCCACCACGCUCACACUAGCUAUUCAUCCUAAUGCCUCCUACUAAAAUCCCUGUAAAACGUAGUAACUAAAUUUUUACAAAAUUUACUAGAAGCAUGCACCGGGUUUUCCAUUACUGCAAUCUCUUUCCUAGUUACGCUCAAAUUUAAAGAUUUAAUUUGGUUACUAGCUGCAGCAAUGUUCACAUGGUAAUCAAACCUAGAAAAUACAGUAACUGGUUUAAGUUUGUUACUGGAUGCGUGCAACAGAUAAUUGCAUCGCCAACAUCUUCCUUUACUAUAUGCAUCACGGAACUAAACAUGGUAAUAAACCUUGAAAAUAUAGUAACUGCUUUAAUUUUUUACUAGAUGCAUACAGUGGUUCACCGGCUCGCCACCAUUUUACUUUGCUACUAUAUGAGUGACUCAAAGUACACAUAGUAAUCAACCAUGUAAGAGAUAGUAACACAAUUAAUUUGGUUACUGGCCGCAUGCAGCAGUUCACCGCCCACAAUCAUUUUCUUUUACUAGUAGUAACGAAUCAUGCAAAACACAGUAACAUAAUUAAUUUUUUUACUGGUCGCAUGCAACAGUUCACUGCCCAUCCUUUCGUAGGCUACGGGGCGGAGAGAUGUGCAUGGAAGGUAGUAACCUGUCGCCCAACGUCCUGAUUCAUAGGUCAUUAAUUGUUUGUAGUAAUAUACUCCCCCCGUCUCAAAAUUCUUGUCUUAGAUUUAUCUAGAUAUGGAUGUAUCUAACACUAAAACUUAACUAGAUACAUUCAUAUUUAGACAAAUUUAAGACAAGAAUUUUGGGACGAAGGGAAUAGAUAGAAGAGAUGGUAAUGGAUGAUAAUUGUUUACCAAGCAAUAAGAUGGUUCGAUUCCUUGGCCUGGUAAACAUAGUAAAUCCAUUCCAUUAUGUAGUAAUGAAUUACUACAUGCUACUAAUUGUUAGCAGUAAAAAUGGUGGAGUGGAUGGUAAUAAUGAAACAAAUUGUUUUACCAACGAACAAAUUAGACUACCCAUAGUGGGAGUAACAUAUCUAGAUAAAAUAGAUGGUGUGGCAAACAAUUAAUAAAGAAAGAGAGGCAUGUAGUAACAUAGCUAGCGAAAGUGCUAUUGUGAGCUCGAGCUCACAGGCACCCUUUGCUACAGUACAAACAAAAAAAUAUUUAAAAAGUUCAAAAAAAUCUGAAUUUUUUUGGCAACAAACAUUGACAUAUUUUUCACAUGCGUACAAAUUUUCAUGACAAAAUGACAUUCAUGCAGGUCUCAGCAAAAAAAAACAAAAUCGAUGCUCCAAAAUGCUUCCAAAAACAGUUUUUUUGGAGCAUGAUUUUGUUUUUUUUGCUGACACCUCCACAAAUGUCAUUUCAUCACGAAAAUUGGCACGCAUGUAGAAAAAACAUCAAAGUUUCUUGACAAAAAAAUUCAGAUUUUUUUGAAUUUUUUUACUAUUUUUUCGGAUUUUACUGUUCAUCCGGGAUCACUGGUGCCCGGGAUCAAUUCCUCCGCGUCCCAUAGCUAGUUACUAGUCCUAUGAGUAACAUCACACAUACCAAGACUAGAUGAGUCUAUAACCUAAUAAAUGAAGUGUUGCAUGACACUACACAUAUGUUACUACUCAUUGUAGGUAGUAACAUAGACUAAUAACAUAUGUAUGUUACUAGUCUAAGUUACUCUCUACUGUGGCUAGUCAGAGAUGCUUCAAUCCUGGCGUGCAUGGUAAACGUAGUAAAACUAGGCUCCUAUGUAGUAACGCAUUACUGCAUGUGCCUAUUGUUGAAACAUACACGACCCUGCUCUCUUAACGCAUUACUUCAUUCUAUUAUGUAGUAACAAAUUACUACAUGCUCAUUAAUUGCUAGCAGUAAAAAGGAGUAAAUUGUUUUACCAACGAACGAAUUACAGAUGCUUCAAUCCUAAUGCAUGGUAAAUGUAUUACUGCUAAGAGUAACGCAUGGACCAGAAUGUAGUAAUUAUUUUUCAUGAAGAAAUGGGAACUGGCAAAGCGAGUUGACCAGUAUUGCGUCGGUUGUGUAUAAUGCCUCUGAAAUGUGUAUGCUAAGUUAGCGCGUAUUCUGGCCGGUUGGAUCGAACUGGCCGGAGCGUACGCUAAGAAGGAAUGUGCACAAGCUGUGUGUGUGUGUGUGUGUGUGUGUGUGUAGAACAUACCACAUACAACCACCUUUGUUAAAAAUGCAUGAAAAUAUCUAUGAUUUGGUUCCCGCCCUUGAGUCAGAAGACAAACGUAAACUAAAUAAGCUCGACUUGGGUUGAUCUAAUGGGAUCUGCUGAACGCAGUUUACAACCAAUAGCACUAUAAAGUGUCCACCCAAUCCCACCACAUAAAAAUCCUAUUUAUAUAGAACAAUGAGACUGCAAAAGUGAUCAACUAUGAAGCGUGCCGUAUAGAGCGAGCAAAUCUGACAACAACGGUGUUAUCAACGCGAUAAUUGAGGUAGCAACCAACAUUGGCCAUAGGAAGUGAAUCAGCGUCAUGCAUCCUCUUCAAAUAUUUAUUUUAGUCUUGAAAUGCAACAAUAAGAAAGAAUAAUAAAAAGAGAAGGGGUUUGAGCAGGAGCAAUUGGAACUGACCCAUAUGUAUCCAUGCAAUAAUUCUAAACUGUCAUUCUUGGUGAUGCUAACGAUGGUGGUGUUUCCAUCCAUGCAGAAAUCAUUCUAAUGCCAAAAAUAAAAGGUGUGUGGAUUCCAAAUUAACCAUGUGAGGAAACAAACAAAAACAAUAAAUUAAUUACAAAGUUUUCCCUAUACAUUUGUGCACAUGAUUUUGGUUCCACCUUUAGAUAAAUAUUUUUUCUUUUAAAAAACUGGUUUUUAUGAUUUACUAAUUUAUCAAAUUUUAGUGUUGACAGACGAACAAAUCAAAUGAAGCAGAUAGAAAUUUACCUUCAUAGAAGGAAAAAUUAAAAAAAAAACAGAAUCAAAAACGGUGUACCGAUUUGUUAAAUUUCAGAGCUGCCAUUUAGAAAGAACAAACCAAAUGAAGCACCUAGAAAUGGCUAACUCAAAUUACCUUCUUACAAAGAAGACUGAAACCGUUUGCACAUUUCACGAUGAUAGCACACAUUAAGUUUCCUAAUUCCUCAAAGUCUAAAACCAAUGAGCAUAGCAGAAACAAUUACAAAUUUCUUCCCCUAAUUUUGAACCUGAUUUAAUGCUUGCCUAGGUAUAAAGUUGCACAAAUUAAUUAAUAGCGGCAACAAACCGGUACACCUUCUAUAUCCUCUCAGAUAAAUGGUAGAUUCCCACAUUGAUCCGUGCCGCUUCUAGCCUUACAUCUAUAAAAUAGAUCACUUUUAUUGAGUCUGCUGCCUUUUUGGUUGUCCACUUGGAUUUUUUUUCUUACAGAACCUUGGGGACCGUGAUAAGAUUUGAAGAUCACUAAGACUUGAUUCUGCAUUAUUUGAUUUAUAAGAUUGUACAUAGGAAUGAUAAAUCACGCUUAUAAUAUCACAACAAAAAAAGGUCAACGAUGACAUGAAUCCGGUAGAAAGGGAUAGCAAGCUGAAGCUAUUUAAAUAUGUUGUCAAAAUAAAUUUUGUAUAUGUAAUGCAUGAAGCCACGAACAACCUCCACGUAAAACUACGACAAUUAGAUAUACAUGAGUGACCACUUAAUUGAUAUUUGAAAUUAUUGUGAUGUUAAUUUCAUGGCCCCGUGAAAGUAUGAAAACCUUAAUUUGCCUAUAAAACAUUUGGGUAUAUACAUAAUAAUCUUGGGCAGGUAGCAACCCUAGUACGUGGGAGCAACUUGGAAGAGCUUUUCUUCCUUGUUCAUAUGUAGUGGUCUCACAAUUUACUGAGGGUCUAAAAAAUCGUAAAACAAAACUGCAAUAAAAUAUCUACCACCACCUGACUAACUUUCCACAACUGAUUUACAUAUAAAGUGGACCAGCCGAGGGCACAAAAGCGAGUUAUGCGGCGGCAUUGAGAAAUUAUAGAGAUUGUGUGAUACAUACCUAGCAGUCUACAAUUGAUCUUGAAGAGUUUGCAUGAGGCACGCCGUGCAUGCGCAGCAACUAGGAGACGAUCUUGUGCAUGCAUUGGGAGGAUUGAUUGAUCUAGGAGGGUUGCAUGCUGUACGCACAUGCGUGGGGUCCAAGAUUCAGACCUGAAACAAUCUUUUGUACGGGCACUGGGAGGAGGUCGACCAUCCUAGGAGAAGCAAAUACUGCGGCCGGCGGCCGGCGGCGACAUGUGACGAUCAGGAUUGCCUGGUAUGAGGGAGCGCGAGAAUUCCAAGGGCAACAUAGGUGCUCUACGGCAGAACCGCAGCCUUGGGAGGGUUGGACUUAUUAGAGCAAAUACAGCCGCGUCCCCAAGAGCCCCCCGGGCCAUUUUUUAGGGCCGACGCCGAAAAAAUGGCCCAACCGCGUCCCCAGAAGCCCAAUUUUCGUCGGAUCGGGCAGAAACUGGCGCCGGCGGAUUCAGACCGAACCCGGCGCAUGGGGCGCCCAGGGGCGCCGGGGGAAUUAAUUUUCGCGCAAAGGAACGGAGGGCCCGCCGAGUCAGCGACCCCCACGCAACGUCGUCCUCAUCGCCUUGGUUUCCCGCGGGGAAUCCAUGCCAAGGCUGCCGCCGGUCAGCCUUCUAUUGAUUCCUCCCGGGCGGGCAGAGCGGCGACACGCCCCCUCCUGCCCACGCGUACACACGUUUGCGGCCCUCCGACGCUAUAAAAGCCGCCCCCCUCCCUGGCCGGUGGACGCACCCGCCCGCAGCACCAUCCUCUCUCGCCGCUGACGCCCUCUCUUCCCCUCUCUCCCCGUCUAGCCAUCGCGUGCACGCUGUCGAUGGGUGAACGGUUGCCCGGCAAUGGGGCUGCGGCCAACGGCUUCGGCCGCCGUUCUCAGCACGAGUCGGAAGCCCACCUCCUCCACGAAGCGAAUUACCCGGCGCCGUCGGNNNNNNNNNNNNNNNNNNNNNNNNNNNNNNNNNNNNNNNNNNNNNNNNNNNNNNNNNNNNNNNNNNNNNNNNNNNNNNNNNNNNNNNNNNNNNNNNNNNNNNNNNNNNNNNNNNNNNNNNNNNNNNNNNNNNNNNNNNNNNNNNNNNNNNNNNNNNNNNNNNNNNNNNNNNNNNNNNNNNNNNNNNNNNNNNNNNNNNNNNNNNNNNNNNNNNNNNGCAACCCGGCAUCGAACACCCCGGCUACUUCCACGCCGAGAUCUACCGGGUUCAUGCCUCGCUGACGGAGGAGGAGCGAGACCACCCGGAGUACUUCACCGACGACCACGCGGACUGGGUGGCGUACUUCCAACACCGGCAGCAGGAGCGGCUCGCCUCCAGCAACAACACGCCAGUGGUACGGGGCGUAACAACAGUGACGGUCACCGCCUGUGGUGGGGCGCCCCCGGCCACACGCUCCACGCCGUUCUCGAGUUCCUCGAGCGCGGCAACGAUCUGCCGCUCGAGUACCUGGCGGCCCCGGCCCCCCGCCGGAGUUGUGGCCCAUGGCUACCGGGGCAUAUGCUGGGUGGGUCUUCCUCCUCCUCCUCCUCCUCUCAAUCCUCCUCCCACUCCUCCGGAUCGCCGACGCUCUUCAGCGUCAAGGCCGAGCCCGUGGAAAAGCCACUCGACUGGCGCACCCACGGCGCCGCCCUCGUCAUCAACGAGGGCGGCCGCACCUCCUCAUGUCCUGCCCCCCGCCUUGUUGGGCCGAGGACGGAGCCGGGGCUCGGCCCCGUGAAGACCAGGCACGACGACAAGGCCGCCAUGAAGUGGGCGCGGGAGGACUGGGCGCGGCUGAAGAUGGAGCGCCGGCGCCGCGCCCUAGAGGACAUCGCCGCUCGACGCCGUGGCCGCGACGAGGGAGGCGCCGUCGUCCUCGACGACAGCGACGACGAGGCGCCGCCGCCGGCCAAACCAGUCCGCCCGGGCGACCCCGGAUAGGGGUCCGGUAGGGACGGCCGCGGCGUGAAGGAGGAGAAGGAGGACGAAGGUGGCGGCGACUUCGGCGUGUUCAGCCAAUUCUUCAGCAUGUAGGCGCGGCAACAGCAAUAUUUUCUUCUUUUUAGUUGACUUUAAGUUUCUAUAUGUAAAAAAACCUGUGGAACGCCUAAAUAUCGCAGAAUCUUUGUCGUGUUUGCCGAAUUUUGGCCGAGUAUGUUUUUGAAAAUAUUUUCAAAAAAACGGCGUCUGGGGGCGGCGGCUGGGAAGCUGAUCACCCCCAUGCUUUUUUCUAGCCCCUAGGGGGUGAACGGCUGGAGAUGCUCUUAGGGUGACGGCCUUGGGAGGGUUGAACGUAGGAGGGCGACGGCCGAACCGCAACCUUGGGACGGUUGGAAGAGCUACGAAGAUCUUGGUUGCUUUUGUCCUUUUUUUUCUUUCUUCAAGUAAAAAAUACGAUCUGGUUGUAGAAUAGGAGAGAGACAUGGUGGUGAAAAACUGCUUUAGUGGCAUUGGUGGGUAAUUUCUUUUCAAUAGAUCCAUAUCUAUUGGUUGUCAUUUUUGUAGACAUUAAAUUGACGGCCAGAUGUUUCUGAUUAACGUAGGAUUUUCUAGAAAAAUCCUCUAUUUUUGACCCGUGUAUUCUUUUAGUAGAUAAUAGAUAACUCAAUCCAUAUGGAGUAGAAAAUAAUAACAAUAGAGCUAGUAAUACUAAUCAUGCGAUUGCAUACUAGCGUAGAACCAACAGAUCUUUGAACUUGACGUGUACAACAAGCACAUAAAGCAAGAGAGAAUGAAUAUAUCAUACCCUCUAGUCGGGGAGGAAUGGACAAAUGUGGCCUUUUUGGUCGCAUUGUAGUUGUCGCCCAUGCUGAGGUCAGCAAUGUCAUGGACGUAGUUGAAGUUGUUGAAGCUGAUGGACGAGGCGAGUAGUCAUGGCGAUACGCUUCCCAAAAAUUGAAUUUCCUUCAAGGGUGCUGUUUAGGAAGCCUUUCUUCCGUACAACUCUUAGUUAAUAAAAAGAAUUAUUCAUUCCAGCUGACAAAAAUAAAGAGUUGUUUCAAAGACUACCUCUCCCAUACAACUCAUAAUUAAUUGGAAAUUAUUUAACCAUUCAAAGUGGAAAAAAGUCGCACAUACGGCAUUGGUCUUUGCCCGGCUAACCUCGUUCCCGAAGCACGCCGCACCAUGAGGGGCGCUCGCGUAUCACUCCUCUUCUCUUGCUCCAACAGACGCAUCAUCCAUUUUGAACAAGCGCAUCAUAGAUUUUAGGUUCCUUAUGAUGGAACCGGCCCACCCAGGCUGAAGUCCUAGACUUGCAUGGGUGCUCGCAUAUUUUCUAGAUGCGUUUCAGGCUGCUGCCGACUAUUCUUUCGGUGCUAUGACUUGUCCGUCGACUAUAGGAUGCUUUUGAUGAAUUUUUAAUUUCAAGAUUUGUUGCUCGGUCUCUCUAUCACAGAUGCUCAUAGUGAUAAGGUGCACGUGUAUGUUCAUAGGUUAGAGUGUGCUCUCAUGUUGUGAGCGCCUUCGUCUGUACAAUUUUUUCUUUUUCAAAAAAAUUAUCCACUUCCUAUGUAAGACGGGACUCUCAUUCACAUGAUGACACCAUACAUGGUUCUAUGAGAUUUGUCCACAAAAUAAAAUGAUAUAUGGGCUGAAAGCUGAUGUAUAUUUUCACAUUAUUUUGACCAAAUUCUAUCCAAAAAAUAUGUGUAGGCCUUAUGAACACGAACUGAAAAAGUAUGGUAAUAGUUUCUCGUUAACUAAAUUUUCUAUUAACUGUCACAGGGUUGCAAUCUUUGCUAAAAAUAGAAAGGGUGUUUACCUUUGGAACUGGCAGACCAAUGAGAAAAUAGGAGAAUGUAACUCUGGUGUUGAUAUAUUGGGAUCUGAUUGUGAUGGAGAGAUGCUCGUGACCAAAUUUAUCUCUAGAAAGCAAUGGGUCGUAAUCGGGAACUCAGACGGGUUUAUCCUUGUGUGCACGUGUCCUUCAAUGGACCAAGUCACACAUUUCAAAGCUCACCGUGAUAGUCUCGGUUUAUUGGCAGUUCACCCAACUCGCCCGUUCCUGUUGUCGUGUAACAACAUGAAGAUGAAGAUUUGGGACUGGAACCGUGGCUGGUCUUGUAUUGGAAAAAUUCAUAGCACUAGCCGGGUGACACAAGUCAUGUUUAACCCCAGGAAUACUAACGAUUUCGCUACUCACCAUCAUGAUGGGAUUGUCAAGGUUUGUCUUCCUUAUCAACCUUUUCAUUCUUCAUUUACUCGCUUGUAUUAUACUGUAAUGAAUAAUCUAACUCAUUAGUUGUCCUUGUCCCGGGUAUCAUAAAUAAUAUAGAUGUGGAGAAUUGAUCAUCCCGACCCCGUCGGCACAACGCACCGCCUACAUGACAUGUAUGAGACUGCUAGCAGCUCUUUCACUUACACGGGUGAUCGGUAUUUCAUUGCUGCCAUCCACAACAGCAAGAAUGUUGCGCUGACCGUAAGGGCAUUGAUACCACUGACCGUAUAGAACACGUGGACUAAAACACACACGUCACUAAUCUGUGUACAUCUUUUUCCCCCCUUUUUUGUUGGGUUGAACCAGAUAUGGGAUUUGCAGAAAGAAGAACAUGUCUACACACUCACCACUGACGAGGUGACUGCUGCCGCCGUUUGCCAUCCAACACUUCCAGUAUUAGUUACGGUUUCAAAUGGCGGGACUAUUCAUGUGUGGGACUCCACUACCUACAGGUAUGUAAUACUACUCGUACAUCUGGUUUUAUUUAUUUAGUUUUCAAAACAACACUGAUCCACGAAUUCAGUUCAGACUAUUUUCCAGUACUACUAGACUUGAUCUCCCUAUAUGUCCCUUGGUGUGGAAAUAUAUCUUGCUAUCCCAUGUAUCUAAUUGUGAUAUAACAUUCUGGGCAUUAAGGUUAGGGUCGUUUCCUUAAGAAACAUUCAGUACAGCCUGAAGCACGUACACACACUCGUAUCUUUUUCCAACCGGGCCACCACCCCUUUCCAUUAGCACACACUCACUCAUAUAGUGUAACUACAACAUAUAUAUGAUAUAUUAUGAUGCUAGAAGAUGCAACUAACCAUGGACUUCUGACGUUUACAGGCUUAAGAAGGUCUAUGAGAAUUGUCCAAAGGACCCUAUUCAUAUCGGUUUUACAGGCUCAGAAAGGUAACCGAAUUUCUCAUCAAGUUUUUACCUGCUUAAUAUCAUGGCUUCUAUGAAAUAAUAAAUCUGUAUGUACACAUAAGGGGACACUAAGACUAAGUUGGACAAAACAAAUUUUACAUUAAUUGGAUAUGUACUAUCUUUUCCAAGGUUUUUGUCUGAAUGUGUUGUGUUCCACAAACCAGGAAUUUCGCAGUAUCAUUCCCAUGAAUCUAUGAAAGUUCUUGUAUCAUGGAAACAGUCUCUACGCAGGUGUAACUUAGAUAUGUAGAAUUACUGAAUGGUCCUUAGUAAAUCAUAGAGUAGGAUCGUGGCAAUUAUAUAUAGCUAGCCUUUUAGUUUUCGCUGCCUGUAUUAUGUCUGCAGUACUAAAUUUUGCCUUUUCUCAAACAUUUAAUCCGGAAUGUCUCAAUCAUGUAGGCUUGUGAUUGGACAUAGCAAGGGAAUAUCAGUAUUGGAUAUUGAUCUGGAAUAGGAGGUGGAUCUCAGUGAUGCCUGCACAGAGUGUAGUGUUCCGGUUAUAUAUCUCUUUGAAUUAGCUCUCAUCAAUUCAAAUUCAAAAUUUCAGUUUAUAUGUAAGUUUAUUUGCCGCAACAGGCUGACCUAAUUCCCUAUGUAACUGCUCUGCCUCUGGAUUGAAUUACAAUUACACCAUCAUUUUGGUCGACGUAUACUGUAACUCACUGAUAUUGUGAUGAUUGCAUCCAUAAAUUGCUGCACAUUCAUUCCGUAUGCAUUUAUAUUUUGUCAGUUCUAGUACUCCCUCCAUUCCAAAAUAUAGUGCGCCCGCGCUUUCCGAGGUCCAACUUUGACCGUAAAUUUAACCAACUAGACCAACUGCGGCGGGAGAAAAAAUUAUAUAAUUGAAAACUUCUUUCGAAUACGAAUUCACUGAUAUAAUUUUUGCUCCCGCCGCAAUCGGUCUUGAUAGUUAAAUUUACGGUCAAAAUUGAAGCACGUGGAUAGAGGAAGCACUAUAUUGUGGAAUGAAGGGAGUAUCAAAUAGGGGCGGCACUGCGCAUCUGCUUUUUCUUUUGCCAGUGGCAUCGCUACUAGCUGUGGAACAGCACUUUGCUCGUCAAGCGGCCUCCCUGCUGACAUGAAAAGUUGAAGGAUCAUCCCUCUGCAGUUUGGCCGUCCACAUCUCCAUCCCCAUGUACUAGUACUGAAGGGGCCGCACACAGGUAAGGUAUACUCCACCCCUGUCGCCAGGCCUUUAGCCUGCACGUAACCUCUUCAUCUAGUGGCGGAGACCCAAAUAUUUUCUUCCGGCAGACCCAGACACCAACUUGGCAAUUGUCCGAGCGUCACUGGUGAUGUCUUCCCGUCAGGGUAUUCAACACCAAAAACUGUGCUCCGUGUAAGAGCAUCUCUAGCCGACCCCAUAAAGGCUAUAGAGGAGUAAAAUUUGCAUCCGGCACCUAGCCAAAGUACUAAACUGAAUAGUGGACGCCUAAAAAAGUAAAAAUACUCAGCUGCGACCGCGCAGUGUAUGACAGCUGUUGACAUGGCCACCAGUCUGGACACCCAUGCAAACAGAGAAAGGCAAACAGAUUCCUCUUCACAUUGUCCUUGGAUUCAUUUAGCACGAUGUUUUUGACUUAUUUCUGUUUUUCUCGUCUACAUUUCCUACACAUUCAAGAGUUUGUAUUGCAAAUGAUUCACUGGGGCGGGGCCUUCCUAUACGACGACUUAAAAUAGUACAGCAGCACUGCGCUGGCUCCCUUUAUUGAACCGUCCCCUACGUUAGCGGCUGUAGACAGAUAUCUGGGAUGCUUUCUUUGGCCACCCGGCCGGUGCCACAGCCCUACUCUGGCCUUCACAAGAUAUACCUGUGUGGUUCACAUUAUUUGUUAACGACGCACGUGAGCAGCAGCAGAGGAACAAUUGCAGAUGCACAUUUGUGAUUUGCUUCCCGGAAGGAAGUGAAUCAAAUGCAACACUUGCCUACCAGUAAUUCUGAGUUUCUGACACUCUGAAGCGAUCAAGACCGCGCCUCUUUCGCAGCUAACUUAUCAGGUGUCCGUUUGUUUCCCUACAAGCAUCCCAUAAUCAGAGCAUCUCUUGCGUAUGUAGCUUGCCACCAAGACCCCCAAAAGCAGUUACAUCACCAGCUCACCAUAUAACUGUACUAGCAAGUGCAAUCAUAAUUCCGUGAGUAUUGAAACGGUGAAAGUUGAUCUGUUUGGUUUUUCAAAACCUUGACCGGAUGUCAGUACAACAAAAACAGGUGGAAGCAGGUGCUCCCUUUGUGCGAUGCGGAAAACGUCUUACCUCGCAGAGAGGGGACGCGUACAUGUUAUAUGCAGGGGUGCGAAACCCUGGUAGCGCAUACAGUUGGGAUCGAUCUCAUCCGGGAGAGAAGAUCUCGUACAGGUACAGGAGGUUACAACUUGGAGUCCAAGCUAGCUAGAGAUAGAAUUAUGAGCUAGAGAUAAACCUCCUAUCCUAACUACCAAGAUACAUACAACUCCCGCUAAGAUACGUCACAUGUGACGCGCACAAUGAAGGUACACAUACGGCUUGUUUAACACCCUCCCUUAAUCACAACUUCAUCAAGUUGAGAUUAUGCUUGAAGUCGUCAAAGCUUCUUGUAGGCAAAGGCUUUGUGAAUCCAUCUGCAAGUUGAUCUUUGGAGUGCACAAAGCGUAUAUCAAGUUGCUUCUGAGCAACUCUCUCUCUGACAAAAUGAAAGUCUAUCUCUAUGUGUUUUGUUCUAGCAUGGAACACUGGAUUUGCAGAGAGAUACGUAGCUCCAAGGUUAUCACACCAUAAACAAGGUGCCUAUUUACUUCGUAUGCCAAGUUCCUUCAACAUUGAUUGAACCCAUAUGAUCUCUGCUGUGGCAUUUGCCAAUGCUUUGUAUUCUGCCUCUGUGCUUGACCUGGAUACGGUUGCCUGUUUACAUGCACACCAUGAUAUCAAAUUAGGUCCAGAAAAUACUGCAAAACCACCAAUGGAACGUCUGUCAUCAAGACAACCUGCCCAGUCAAAGUCAGAGAAUGCACUGACUAAAGUGAAUGGUGAUUUGCUGAAGUUCAGUCCUAAGCUCAGAGUGUGCUUAACAUAUCGAACUAUGCGCUUUGCAGCUGUCAGAUGAACAUUAGUAGGUGCAUGGAGGAACUGGCAGACUUUAUUAACAGCAGAAGAAAUAUCAGGCCUGGUAAGUGUGAGAUACUGAAGGGCUCCUACCAGACUCCUGUAUUUGGUGCUGUCUUCUUGACUUAAGGGCUCGCCUUCUGCAAGGGAUAGCUUUUCUGAGCUGGACAAUGGAGUAAGAGAGGGUUUACAUCCUUGUAGCCCAGCUUUCUUGACCAAGUCAGUGGCAUACUUUUCUUGAGAGAGAACAAGUCCAUCCUUGUGCUUUUUCACCUCAAUCCUAAGAAAAUAAUGCAAAUCACCAAGAUCCUUUAAAGCAAAGUCUGCACUCAAAUCCUUAAGAAGUCCUGUGAUUGCUUUAUCAGAUGAGCUAGUCACAAUAAUAUCAUCAACAUAUAUGAGAACAAAUAUGCAUGUGUUGGACUUGUUGUAGAUAAACAAUGAUGUGUCAGACUUGGACGGAACAAAACCAAGUGCUUGCAUUUUGUGACAGAGGCGAGCAUACCAUGCCCUUGGAGCUUGCUUUAGUCCAUACAAUGCUUUAUCAAGCUUGCACACAUAAGAAGGAGCAUUCUUACUCUCAAACCCAGGAGGUUGUUUCAUAUAUACUUCCUCUUCCAGAACACCAUGGAGAAACGUGUUCUGAACAUCCAGCUGUCUGAGACUCCAUCCUCUAGAGACAGCAAUAGAUAAGACAAGGCGAAUAGUGGCAGCCUUUACUACUGGACUGAAGGUAUCCUCGUAGUCUAUGCCAUACCUCUGUUUGAAGCCUUUUGCAACCAAUCUAGCCUUGUAACGAUCAAUGGUUCCAUCAGCUUUCCUCUUUAUCCUGAAAACCUACUUGCAAUCGAUCAAAUUUUUACCUUGCUGUGGGGGAACCAGGUGCCAUGUUUUGUUUUUCAUCAAUGCCAUGUACUCUUCAUGCAUGGCUUUCUUCCACUUUUCAUCACACAAUGCUGCUUCAAGGGUGUUAGGCUCAUCUGGUUCACCUGUGGAACAAACCAUACCAUACUUGGUUAUAUGCUUGUAAUUAACAGGUUGAAUUACCCCUUGUUGCAGCCGUGUACGUCGUGGUUGGGAAACAUCAGGAUCGGUGGCCACAGAAGAUCCUGCAGGCUGCUCAUGUGUGACUACAUCUGAUCCCGAUGAAGAUGCUGCUUGAUUUUCUGCGCCUAACUGUUGAAGCGGAGUACGUGAGUUUGCCGCAGAGGAUCCCGCUUGAGCAUGUGCAUGUGCAUGCAGAUCAUCAUGGCGUGAUGAUGGCGUAUCCGCCUGAACCUCCACGCCGGUCGGGCCCUCCCUGCGUCGCGCGUCACCGCGCCGCGUGUACGUCACCGGAUUGGUGGCGUACCUCGUACCGCAGGUUGACAGGGACCGGUGCGGGGCCGCCUCCGCCCGACCGCACGGGGAUCGAUGCGAGAACGCGUCCGCCCGACCGCGUCCGUCACGUGGAUUGAGGGACAGCGUGGCGCGCGCGCCCGCGCCUGGGCCUGCUCCCGCAGCUGUCACGCCUACUCCCGCGGCUGUCGCUGCCCCGUCAGCAUGGAGAAAUCCCGAGGCGCCUGUACCUGCCGCGUUCGCAGGAACCGAUCCCGAGGCGGAUCCGGUUCGCUGCAGAUGGGCAGAUCCCAAGGCGGAUCUGUUUCCCUCGGGGAGGCACAUGAAAUACGGCUCAAUAGGCGCCGUUUUUUCUGCAUUUUCUGCAUCUGCUCCUGUAGUUGCCGCGCUGCUUUGUUCUGUUGCAUCAACACAAAACUCAUGCACAUCAUUAGAUGGGUUAGUCAAUAGAUCAUCAAUAUUUUGUCCCCCUUGAUCAAAACUAGUGAGAUGAGAGGGCAAAAGAAGGAUUUCUUUGCGAAGGAGUGCACCAGCAUUGGGAUGGAGGUCAGCAAACGGAAAUUCUGUUUCAUCAAAGACCACAUCUCGUGAGAUGUAGACACAGCCAGUGGAGACAUCUAAACACUUGACCCCUUUAUGCUGUGCACUAUACCCUAGGAAGACGCACUGUUUUGAGCGAAACAUGAGUUUGCGGUUGUUGUAGGGACAAAGGUUGGGCCAACAUGCACACCCAAACACACGGAGAGACUUAUUGUCUGGUUUAUUACGAAGAAGUCGUUCUACUGGAGUUUCAUUGUUAAUGACACGACUAGGUAGCAUGUUGAUAAUAUGAACAGCUGUGAGAAAAGCUUCGUCCCAGAACUUGAGAGGCAUGGAUGCCCUGCUAAAAGAGCAAGACCAACCUCGACAAUGUGCCUAUGCUUGCGUUCGGCAGAACCGUUUUGUUGGUGAGCAUGCGGGCAGGACACAUGAUGUGAGAUGCCAAGAUUUUGGAAGAACGAAUUUAAUUUUUCAUAUUCCCCUCCCCAAUCAGAUUGGACAGCAACUAUCUUGCUAUCAAACUUUCGUUCAACUAGUGCUUGAAAGUUUUGGAAAACUUGAAACACAUCGGAUCUCUUUUUGAGGAGAUAUAUCCACGAGAAUUUGCUAUAGUCACCAAUAAAACUGAGGUAAUAUGUGUGUCUACCAACGGAGGUAGGGGCUGGACCCCAUACAUCGGAAAAAAUAAGUUGCAGAGGUUUAGUAGAAACACUAGUUGAGAUGGGAUACGGUAAUUGAUGACUUUUAGCUCGCUGGCAUGAAUCACAAAUUGUUUCAACAUGACGCUCACCAACAAAUGGGAGCUUAUUUUUCCUAAGCAACUUUUCUACUAAAGAAAAAGAGGCAUGUCCUAGACGGUCGUGCCAUCGUGUGGACGAAAGCUUGAUAGCACCACAAGCUUGUUUAUUGAAUCUUCGAAACUCCGAAAUCAACGGAUAGAGCCCUCGAACACAUCUACCUCGAUAGAGGAUUUUCCUCGUGACCUGAUCCUUAAUCAAGAAGAAAAAAGGAUGAAAUUCGAGAAGAACAUUAUUAUCAAGGGCAAUUCUAUGAACGAAAAGAAGAUUUUUGUGUGCACUAGGGACAUGCAAGAUUUUCUUAAUGUGUAGUUUUCGACUAGGGGUACGAAAUAUAGAGUGACCAAUGUGACUUAUACCCAUACCUUCUCCGCUAGCAGUAUGAAUUUGAUCUUUGCCGCGGUAUUUUUCCUUCAUGGUGACCUUCUCAAGCUCGUUCCUGAUGUGGUUUGUGGCACCGCUAUCGACGUACCAAUUGGUGUCAAUACCGUAGGAACCAUCAGCGGCAGCAGCUACCUUGUCAUCAUCUUGGGAGUCCUCAUACUCAUCAUAGCGGUACCAGCAAUCCUUAGCUAUGUGACCUGGCUUCCCGCAGAUUUGGCAUCGCGGGGUUUCUGGACGCGUUCGGUUUCCUCCACCGUGCCCGCGCCCGCGCCCGCGACCACCCGAGCGCUGAGGAGAGUGGCCGCGAUCGUUGCCGCUGCCAGCAAAUCGCCCUUUGUAGCGCGAGGAGCCACGUGAGCGGGAGCCACCACCCCGGCCGCGCGACGCCAGGUUUGCAGAAGAUUUGAACCAACCGCUGGAUCCACUGAACUGUGCCAUGCGCUGGUCGAAGUUCGACAGCAUGGCGAAGAGCUCAUCGAGGGUUGCAGGAGUAACACGGGCGUCGAGGGCCGAUACCAGUGGCUGGUAGUCCGCUCCAACCCGUGGAUGAUGUACGAGAGAAGCUCGUCGUCCUGGAUGGGCUUGCCCGCCGCGGCCAGCUAGUCGGCAUAGCCACGCAUGGCGGCGAAGUAGGAGGCAACCGAGAGGUUACCCUUCUGCGCGUUGAUGAGGGAGGUGCGUAUGUUGUUGAUGCGACUCGCCGAUUGGGACGAGAACAUGGCCGCGAGCAUCGUCCAGAGCGCGCCCGCCGUGGUGACCGUGGUCACCGUGACCAGGACCUCCUUCGUGAGGUUAUUCAGCAGGUAGCCAAGGACCUGCUGGUCCUCCCGUACCCAUAUAGGGUGGAGAGGGUUGGGCGAUGAAGUCUCCUUGCCCUCCUUGACGGUGACGAGGAGCUUCGCCGGCUCCGGGUUGGUGCCGUCGACGUAGCCGAAGACGCCGGCGCCGCGCAGCUGAGGUGUGAUCUGCGUGCGCCAUAGCACGUAUUUCGUGCGUGAUAGCUUCUCUGUGACCUGAUUGUUGAGGCUUGGAGAGAAGGCGCUGGAGGAAGACAUGGCUAGGCUAGAUUGGUUUGACAGAAGCUCUCGAUGGGAAAAGGAAAGGCUCUGUUACCAUGUGCGAUGCGGAAAACGUCUUACCUCGCAGAGAGGGGACGCGUACAUGUUAUAUGCAGGGGUGCAAAACCCUGGUAGCGCAUACAGUUGGGAUCCAUCUCAUCCGGGAGAGAAGAUCUCGUACAGGUACAGGAGGUUACAACUUGGAGUCCAAGCUAGCUAGAGAUAAACCUCCUAUCAUAACUACCAAGAUACAUACAACUCCCGCUAAGAUACGUCACAUGUGACGCGCACAAUGAAGGUACACAUACGGCUUGUUUAACACCCUUUACAGAUAUGACUUCGACUUAGUUGUUAAACCCUCCAAUAAAAUCCAGUUUCCGACGAGGUCCAUCUGACAUUGCUGUUUCUUUCACCUAGGUCGCUUAUCUUUUCCUAAUUCUAGAUAUGACAGUUAGUUUGGAACAUUAUUAGAGUUGCGCUCAUGCAUUACUAUAAUUAAACAGGGUUCCUCUAAACAACUGAUUUCACAUAGUAGCACAGAGCAGGUGCAAAAACUGUGGUGGACCGAUCCGGCAGGUCAGGUUCUUCCAGAACUGAGACCAUCUAUAUCUCAACACAAAUUCGAGCCGAGUUUACAAACCAUAACCCACAAUGAGGUGAAGUUGUAUCUCAGAAUUUCUGAUGCAGUACAUUAUACAAACAAUCUGCCAAAUGCACUACAUACAAUGCAUCACACCGUGCAUCACUCGGAAAACAGAAAAACUAACACCAUGCCGUCAUAAUUAAGCACAAAACAGAGUAUUUGUAUUUAAGAAUGGUAAACAUGCAUUGUCAGACUUUACUGGUGUUGUUUGAGAGAGAAGAGCGUCUUGAAGAUGCCCACUAGAACACCAGCCACGGAGAAGACAGCGACAAUGGUUUUGAAGUUGUUGUAGAUGAACCUGUGCAUCUUGAUCCACAUCCACCUUUUGACCUUGUAGUCCUCCAUGCGCAAAAAGAAGCGGAUGUACGAGCUGCCCGCAGGAAGGUGCUUAGAAACACUUUUGAAGAACUCGAGCAUCUCUUUGUUUGUGAGUACUCCAUGCAGAAGAUGCUUCGUUCGUAGCUCGUGCACAUCCUCCUCACGAUCCAUGAGCAUCAAAAGGAGGGCGAGGUACGAGCAGACAGCCAACUCUUCAUCAUGACGUAGAUCCCCUGAGAUCGUGCAUAUCUCAAAAGCCGCCAUGUUUACAAGCCAACAUGCGCCUAUGUUGCUCAGCGCUAGGGGCGUCAUGAAAAGCUCGCCAAAGAGGUGGCCUUGGUUGAUGCCGAUUUCUGUGAAACUUCCAGUCUUGAUGGCUUGCAGCUUGAUGCCAAUUUCUGCAAGCUCGAGGGCAGUUGUAGAUAAUGAAAUUGUUUUUUUCUUGGUUGAUGGUAUAUGUCUUCUCAUAGGGCCGGGGUUAGGCUUAGCAACCGUUCGCGCGUUCAAGAGUUUCAAUGUUGAAGAAAACAUUUGCUUUGCCCUGAUGGGGGCUUUCAAACGAUUCAAUGUUGAAAAUACUUGAUUGAAGCAGGCCUUCUUGUUGACUUUGAUGGUUGUCCUGCUGCUUGUUUUGUUGAAUCGGACGAGACCAAGGAGAUGGGGUGGCCUGUACUUCUCAUCCAAGUAUGAAAUGUUUUGUUCUGGUAUAGUAUGAUACAUGUUUGUGAGACCUUCUCCCAUUACUGAAAUUGUCUUGUUCACUUGCGCGGACACAAACCCAAAGGUUAGGAUGGUUUCCAUAACUAGCCAAGGAACUUGGUCCUCCAGCAACAUUACAUCAUUAUAGAUAUGCAGUUUGUUGGAGUGAAAAACAUAUAGCAACUCUGGACAUAGAAGCUGCUCAUCGCCCAUAAUAAUCAUAAACUCAAGCAAGAAACAAGCAUCAUAGAACAUCAUAGCCUCAAAGUCAGCAUGACUUAUACCUGUCACCGCGUCAUCAGCGUAGAGGCGGUGGGCCUUGUCCGCAACCUUGACGACAGCCCCAUAGAUCUCCUCAAGCGAGUGGCCUGACCCAUUGAUGAAGUGGUGGGCAGCCACAUGCUUCACCUUCUCCAUCUGCCGGAGGUGGGGUGAGUCAUGGUGGUAAGGGCCGAUGGCCACGACCCUUGGCACAAUGUACUGGCUGCCGAGACCGUGUAGGCUUGCAGGGAACCCGCAGGGAACCUAUGCAUCUUAUCUUGUCUCUUGUGGAAAUCAACCUUGAGGUCACCUGCUCUACUUUCCUCAAGUACUGCUCCUCAACCGAAGCCGGUACUGCUGCAUCUGUAAAGACCACGAUGUGCUCAUCAUUCAACUUGCUGGCGGCUACAACUAGGAACCACCGGCACAUCUGUAAUCUCAGAGGGGGAAGCAGCCUUGAACUCUUGAGCUGUUUUCUUCAGGUAUUCCUCAACCGGAGCAGGUACUGCUUCUACUGAUUCCACGGCUUCCAUCCUCGAACUAAUUUGCUGGAUGGGUUAGGAGUGCCACACAGAUGUGUUAUAUCCCAGAGGAGAAAUCAAAUUGCUAGAACUAGCAUCGUUUCCAAACUAGAAAAGCAAAGUAUCGACGAACAGAUUAACAAACAAGAUGCGAAGAUGGCACUUCCACUGUCCUGUUGGAGUACUAUACUAGUGCAAAUGGUAUUAGCUUUUCCACUACGAAAAAAUGUAUAUUCUGAAUCUAAUUAACCACUCUUUAGCUUGUCCCCAUCAGCAUGGUGAGCUCGCCUAUGCUAACCACCCUUUCCGUUUAUAAGUUUGCUAAUUCCAAGGUAAUUCAGGGUUAGCCAAGGCCAUCCUGAACCGUAGAGUGUAGACUAUUGGCAAAAUAUCAUAAAGUUCUGCAGCACUUGAAUUGAAUCAUAAAUUCUUUGUAGAUGUGGAACAGUACAGCUGUUUGUAGAACUGACCAGUGCAAAACUAAGUCAUAUUUCUUGCAUCCCAACAUGAAAACAAAAUUAUCAAAAUAACAUACAUAUAAAUGAUGACUGAUUCUAAGAGUGCUCAACAAAUUAAGUGCUUAGAGCACUAACCUGGAAGAAGAUUAGAGAUAUCCCAUCUAGCUUCUGAUCAAGAGAACACCCAAGCUGGUAUUGCCUCACAAGGAAAAAAGCAAGCAAGGGAAAGGGGAAGAAGAUAUUGGCUUGACCUCUCGGUGCCAGGUUGCUUCCUAUAAAUGAAUAGAUGGGGGCAAUGUUGGAAGAAAUGAGGUCUCAAAAAAAAUGUUGGAAGAAAUGUGAGCAGGUAUGCUCCAGAUCUUGUGACCUUAGAUUCAAGAUUUUCAUUCUUAUUAUUAAGAGACUAGCUAGUCUCCAAAUAUUAAGAAUCUUAAUUAAGGGUGGGUGAUAUGUACAUGUGAUGGUUACUGAUUACCACAUUAAGGGCAUUAGACUAUCAUUAUCAUUAUUAAUUGACAACGAGGAUCAUGAAGACCCUUCCUCCCUUAAUGGUUAUCGUUGGCCUCCUCUAAGGUGAAAGAAGAUAAUAACGGGAUACAUGCAGCCCGCAGCCGGCCAUAUGUGAAGUUCUUCUCCCUAGUUUCAAAUCGGGCAUAUACAAAAGAAACGGUUUAAGAGCUGGCCUAGAACUUACCAAGAAGAAGUGUAGGGAUGCCAGCUAGUUUCUGCUCAGAAAAUACCAAGCUAGUAAGUAUUGCGGGGUGAUUGAUGAUCGUUGUUUUAUAUAUAAAGCGGGGCAAAAGCCUUUUCGGUAAGUAGGAGAAAGGGUAGGAAGUGGCUGGACCAACCUAGCGUACCAGGUUGCAUAUAUAGAAAUGAUUUUAAUUAGGUGUGCGUGAAAUUGUUUCAUUGGAAUCAAGAUUAAUUAAGACGAGCAGACAGUCUAGUCUCUUUACGUUUAGCAGCUCAAUUCAUCAUAUUGUCAACCUUACCGGUUACCACAUUAAGGAACAUGUGGUGGUACCAAUUAACACGUUAAUGAACAUUAGACUAUGGGCACGUGAUAAAGUAUUCCGGAUGUAUUUAAGAAGACCAAACAUAGUAGUGUCUUUAAAUUUAGCAGGAUAACUUACCCUAGGGCCUACGGUGGGUCUGUUGUUGGAUGUGAUGGCUACCAACAACCAUGCUAAGAGACGUUAGACUAUUAUUAGUACUCCCUCCGUUCCUAAAUAUUUGUUUUUCUAGACAUUUUAAAUAACUACUACAUACGGAUGUAUGUAGACAUAUUUUAGAGUGUAGAAUCACUCAUUUUGCUUCGUAUGUAGUCACUUUUAAAAAUGCCUAGAAAGACAAGUAUUUAGGAACGGAGGGAGUAGUAAUUAUUGGGUAGACGGGGAAUUAUUCAAUGCUGAUGACGGUGUAAACUAAUCCUCCAUGAUUGUCAUUGUUUGAGCUUCUCAGAGGUGAAAAGAGAUAAAAACCAGGUAUACAUACUUGCUGAGCAUAUAUAUAGAAAGAUUUAAGAGCCGGCUGGAGCACUAACCGAGUAGGUGUAGAGGUGCCCGCUAGUUGCUGGCUGCUGCUCAGAAAAGACCCAAUAUUCCCGCAAAAAAAAAGACCCAAUAUGUCUAGUACUGCUUCAGAAGGAGAACAUCCAAGUAGUAGAAGAAAGAGACAAAAUGCACCGAUUACUGCGUCAAGGAGCGGAAACAUGUCGUUGUUGGGUCGACGGGGAUUAGUCAAUUCGGGCAACUUGCGUUGCUGAGCUGUUUUAAGUUUGAAGUUGGCAGUUUUCAUUGGUAUUGGAAGAGCGACCUAUGCUAGUUAAUGUUCACUUGUAGUGGUGAAAAUGUUGCCUGAAGAACAGCUGGCAAUAUUUUGUUGCACAGAUGCUUGAUUUGCUAUCCUGAAUCCUGAUGCACGAUUUAAACAAGGAGGUACAAUUCCCAGUGAAAGUAGGUGUUUCGAAGAAAGAAAAACUCGGAUCGGUUGGUAAUGAAAUAGUACCUGAGAUUUGUAGUCAGAAUUAAACCCCGGUCCUCGUCUACCAAAGCUCUGCUCUUGAUAAGGAAAGGCGCUACAAUGAAUGGUUGGCCCGCCAUCUCUUCUUGGAAGAAAGGCGAUGCCGGCCGGUGUGCUCAGCAGCGUGCCACCGCUGCGUCGACGAGGCCCACUGCCAUCAUCUAUCAGCUAGCCUGAAAGAAGCCUGGUCUGCCAUGGCCGCUGCGGCGGGAUGCGGAGGAGCAGGUCGGCGGGAGCUCGUCCGCCGGUGGUCUUGAGGUGAGUUAUUUACCGAAAACCAUCACACUUGAGGUUAGGGUAACAGAUUGGUACCACAUUUGAAUCAGGGCAUAAAAAACCACCGGUUGACUAAACUUCUCUCACGAGCAAGACAUGAUCAUACCUUUGUACUCUUUGGGUGUUAAUCACAUAGCGAUGUGAACUAGAUUAUUGACUCUAGUAAACCUUUUGGGUGUUGGUCACAUGACAAUGUGAACUAUGGGUGUCAAUCAUAUACAGAUAUGAUUAUUGGUGUUAAAUCACAUGGCGAUGUGAACUAGAUUAUUGACUCUAGUACAAGUGGGAGACUGAAGGAAAUAUGCCCUAGAGGCAAUAAUAAAGUUAUUAUUUAUUUCCUUAUUUCAUGAUAAAUGUUUAUUAUUCAUGCUAGAACUGUAUUAACCGGAAACAUAAUACAUGUGUGAAUACAUAGACAAACAUAGUGUCACUAGUAUGCCUCUACUUGACUAGCUCGUGAAUCAAAGAUGGUUAAGUUUUCUAGCCAUAGACAUGAGUUGUCAUUUGAUUAAGGGGAUCACAUCAUUAGGAGAAUGAUGUGAUUGACUUGACCCAUUCCGUUAGCUUAGCACUUGAUCGUUUAGUAUGUUGCUAUUGCUUUCUUCAUGACUUAUACAAUGUUCCUACAACUAUGAGAUUAUGCAACUCCCGUUUACCGGAGGAACACUUUGUGUGCUACCAAACGUCACAACGUAACUAGGUGAUUAUAAAGGUGCUCUACAGGUGUCUCCGAAGGUACAUGUUGGGUUGGCGUAUUUCGAGAUUAGGUUUUGUCACUCCGAUUGUCGGAGAGGUAUCUCUGGGCCCUCUCGGUAAUACACAUCACUUAAGCCUUGCAAGCAUUGUAACUAAUGAGUUAGUUACGGGAUGAUGUAUUACGGAACGAGUAAAGAGACUUGCCGGUAACGAGAUUGAACUAGGUAUUGGAUACCGACGAUCGAAUCUCGGGCAAGUAACAUACCAAUGACAAAGGGAACAACGUAUGUUGUUAUGCGGUUUGACCAAUAAAGAUCUUCGUAGAAUAUGUAGGAGCCAAUAUGGGCAUCCAGGUUCCGCUAUUGGUUAUUGACCGAGAAUAGUUCUAGGUCAUGUCUACAUAGUUCUCGAACCCGUAGGGUCCGCACGCUUAACGUUAUGAUGACAGUUUUAUUAUGAGUUUAUAAGUUUUGAUGUACCGAAGUUUGUUCGGAGUCUUGGAUGUGAUCACGGACAUGACGAGGAGUCUCGAAAUGGCCGAGACAUAAAGAUUGAUAUAUUGGACGACUAUAUUCGGACACCGGAAGAGUUCCGGGUGAUUUCGGAGAAAACCGGAGUGCCGGAGGGGUUACCGGAACCCCCCGGGGAAGUAUUGGGCCUUAGUGGGCCUGAGGGGAGAGAGAGGGCAUCAGCCCAGGAGGUGGCGCGCCCCCUCCCUUGGGGAGUCCGAAUUGGAGUAGGGGAGGGGGGGCACGGCCCCUCUUUCCCUCUCCCUCUCCCUCUCUUUCCUUCCCCCUUCCUCCUUCCUAGUUGGACUAGGAAAGGGGAGUCCUACUCCCACUAGGAGGAGGACUUCCCCCUCCUUGGCGCGCCCCAAGGGCCGGCCGGCCUCCCCCCUUGCUCCUUUAUAUACGGGGGCGGGGGAGCACCCCAAAGACACACAAGUUGAUCUACGGAUCGUUCCUUAGCCGUGUGCGGUGCCCCCUUCCACCAUAUUCCACCUCGGUUAUAUCGUCGCGAAGCUUAAGCCCUGCGCCGGUAGAACAUCAACAUCGUCACCACGCCGUUGUGCUGACGGAACUCAUCUCCGGAGCUCGGCUAGAUCGGAGGCCGGAGAUCGUCAUCGAGCUGAACAUGUGCUGAACUCGGAGGCCCCGUACGUUCGGAGCUUGGAUCGGUCGGAUCGUGAAGACGUACGACUACAUCAACCGCGUUAUCAUAACGCUUCUGCUUACGGUCUACGAGGGUACGUGGACAUACACUCUUCCCUCUCGUUGCUAUGCCAUCACCAUGAUCUUGCGUGUGCGUAGGAAAUUUUUUGAAAUAAAACCCAACAGGCUCAGCUUCUUCCCGCAUUACCGGCUCAGCUUCUUCCCCCAUUGUUGUAUCAUCGUAUUCAGGGAACCCAUGGCCAGGAUAGUUGUCAUCGUCCUCUUCUUCUUCAUUGUCUUCCAUCAUAACCCCUCUUUCUCCGUGCUUGGUCCAAACAUUAUAGUGGGGCAUGAAACCGGACUCAAAUAGGUGGACGUGAAUGGUUCUUGACGUAGAGUAAUUGUGACCAUUCUUACAGCUAGCACAUGGACAAGGCAUAAAACCAUCCGCCCGCUUGUUUGCCUCAGCCGCAAGCAGAAAAGUAUGCACGCCCUCAACGAACUGGGGAGAGCAUCGGUCAUCGUACAUCCAUUGCCGGCUCAUCUUCAUUACACAACACCGAAUAGACCAAAUUAAUACAAGUUCAUACAUAAAGUUCAUACAACACUUAAAUGCAACAAACAAAUAACUCUCUAGCUAGAGCAUUUAAAUGCAACAACAAAUGCGAUCAAGAUCGCAACUAAGAUAACAAUUGAUCCAACAGCAUAAUGAUACCAAGCCUCACUAUCGAUGGCAUAUUUUCUAAUCUUUCUAAUCCUCAAGCGCAUUUUCUCCAUCUUGAUCUUGUGAUCAUCGACGACAUCGGCAACAUGCAACUCCAAUUCCAUCUUCUCCCCCUCAAUUCUUUUCAAUUUUUCUUUCAAGUACUCGUUUUCUCUUUCAACUAAAUUUAACCUCUCGACAAUAGGGUCGGUUGGAAUUUCCGGUUCACAUACCUCCUAGAUAAAAAUAUCUAUGUCAACUUGAUGGGCAGAAUUUGUCAUAAACACGAAAUGCAAAAAAUAGUUUUAAAAAAGAAUAUACCACAUCCGAAUCAUAACAAGGAUGAGGGCCGACGGGGACGGAUAUCAAAACCAUGGCACUAUGUAUAACAAACAACGUACGGGUAAGAUAAUUAUUAUACGAGUAACUAUAUAUCCAAAUCACACAAACAUCAAUUUUUUAUAUAAAAUUUCAUGAACAAGAGGCUCACCACAAGGUGGUGCCGGCGACGGGACGGUGGGGCGAUCGACGGUGGUUACGACGGAGAUUUAGAAGGCACUAAGUAAACCACACCUACAUAUGCAAACUAAGUGUUAUUUUGACCUCAAAUUGCAUAUAAAUCAAAUACUACCACAUAUAAUUCCUCCCAAAUUACUAAAACCCACAAUUAAUCACUAAACCAAUGCAAGAGCUAAUCUAGCAAUGAGAGAUGAAAGGACAAAGUUGCUAACCUUGGUGAUCAUUUGAAUGGAUGAGGGCCUGCAAAUCUUGACAAAUUUGGGGCAAAUUUUGUGAUGAACUCGAGAGGAAGAAGGGAAGAACAGAGGAGAGGGAGAGGGGAAAGGGGGAAGAAUAGAGUGUGGGUGGACGAAGGGUUUAUAUAGGAUGACCUUUAGUACCGGUUCGUGGCACCACUUUCUUUAGUGCUGGAAGGGCCCCACUCUGACAACAUCCUGCCACCACUUUCUUUAGUACCGGUUCGUGGCACGAACCGGUGCUAAAGGUUCACCACGAACCGGUACUAAAGAGCUCCUCCCGCCUAGCCGUUGGAACCGGCACUAAUGGACACAUUAGUGUCGGUUCUGUUACAAACCGGGACUAAUGUGUCUCACAUUUGACCCUUUUUCUACUAGUGUGAACAAGUUUUGUGCAAUAUUGAACUACAAAAAAAACAAGUUAGCACUACAAACACCAACAACAAGCAUGAUGAACAUGGAUGAAAUGGCACUUACCCUAUCUUCAUCAUUAGUGCCACUUGGGUUCAACUUGUCAACCGCCUUUUGUGCGGCCGCCCACUUUUGACAAUCUCGGCUGAUUGUCGACCACUGGGAGCGAAGAGAUCGUUCCAAGCAGUCAAUUUCACUCUUGUUGUGUAGAUCAAAGUGCUCCUUCAUCAGGUUCCAAUAAGCAUCUUUACUUUGAUCACCUCCAACGGAUGGAUCCCUCGACACUUGCAACCAAGUAUUGCAUAGCAAGACAUCUUCCUCAUUGGUGUAGUUGCCUCCUCUUCCUUUCGGUGCGUCGACAAUGCCCUCACCAUCCUUGUCCACCUCAAACACAUGGUCAUCAAAAUGCAUGUCAUUGGUUUGAGACCAAUGCAAAUUGUUGGAGCCAACACCCAUAGUUGACAUAUAUGCCUCAUCGUUGAAACUACAAAGUAUAUACAACGAAGCAAAUAAGCUAUCUAUAUGUAUGCAUUCAAAAAAUACAACAACAAAAAGUUGGCGAAAUUUUACACCUUUGGGGCAUUUCCUCGAACACCUUCUGCGCGUCGGCCGCCGGCUCAACAAGUGAGCUCGUCCGUGCUUCGGUAGCCGACGCACCCCUCGCACGCCCUGCAAGCUUCUUCCUCGACGGCUUCGAGGAGCCGGAGCCGUCCGCCGCCUUGUUCUUCUUCGCAGAUACCUUGCCCUUCUUCGGCCGCGCCGCAUUUGGGAGCUUCGAGAGGGGGGCACGUGGCUUCACAGCGGGCACCGGCGCGACGCCACCCGCCGCCGAGGUCAUCCGUGGCGGCAUGAAAAGGCCACACACUAUGUCGGUGCUUGAAGGAGCUCCGACAGAGGAGAAGCCAAAGCUUCCCGCGCUAGGGUUUGCGGCAGCGGCAGAGGGGUUGUGGGAGUAGGAAGGGGUGAGGGGGGUGCCAACACGGGCGUCCAUCGGGCCGAUUCACCGGCGGCGGCGCGGGCGGAGCGAAGGUGGCGCGACGGAGAGAGUGCGGCGCGAUUGCUCGCGUGUGCGGCGCGCGGAAGCGGGCGUACAAAAUACACAGCGUGCGAUGGCGAUUUGGACCGCGCGCCCAACUCUAUAUGCCGCGCGCUUAUUGCGCGUCCGCUGGAGCCCCUACAUCGAUUGCGCGCGCUAAAAAGACAAAUUUGCGGCGCGACCCUUAUUUAGCACGGCUGUUGGAGAUGCUCUAAGCAGUGCAGCGGCUUCGGUCGCCAGAGGUCGAGAGGAGUGAGGGGAGGGGGGGUCGAUGGGGAUUUUUUGGGAGGGCUGGCUGGGCUAGGUCGUUCGAUGUCUAAUGGGCUGUCUGGGAAUCGGGACCCAAUUAACUAAUAUCCUUCCAAGUUCAUGAAUGAAUCCUUUAAAUCUUUAUUUACUACUCCUUUUCUACAAUCAUUUUCCUCAAUUUGGAAUAAGGAAACAAUUCAGAUUUUGAUUUCUCCUUGUUUUCAUUCAACAAUGAUAAUUUCAUUUCAAUUUAAGUACCAAUUUUGGAACACACGCUGUCAAGAAAUAGGCAUGUACAUACUCUCUGUGCAUGGCAAUAUUAAUGUGCCAGUUUAUUUGGGCUGAGCUGAGUCCUGAAGGUAGGACGCACAAUCUUCUUUGAAACAAAUGCCCUUUGUAGUUAACUUGGCAGUGGUAGUAGCAUCAUUUAGAUUUCUAGUGCAAUCCAAUAUUUCAAUUUUUAUUUUGUUGGCUAAGUACACCUCUAUGCAACUUCCACAACAGAAUAUUCCAAACUAUAGAAUGGUCUCAGUGUACCAGUUUUUCGAAUCUCCAUUGAAAAACUUGAAGGAAGAUGCUCGCCAAAUGGUCGUCAACUAUUUUAAAAACUACUUUGACUUAUAUGGAGAACAGUAUUAGUACUGUAAAACUUGACCAAGAAAGCUGAUGUGUAACAGCUAUUUUUUAAUACUGUUAAAACAAUAUACCUUUCGAGAUGUAGCUAUGAUCUCCAAAACGAGUAAGAACUUUUUCAUAUCAGUUAUCGUUACCUAGUAUACCAUGUUCGGAAAGUUUAAUCGUAUAUGUUUUGUAGCUCAUGCAUUGCUACCAUUUUCAUGAGCAUGGAUCUGUUACAAUAGGAUGAAACAAAUUAUGAGGCUGUGUGAUGUAAAUGUGGAUAUAUAUCACAGGUGCACAGCUUUGGGCUUUCGAGCGAUCCAGGAAGGUAAACCUGGAAGCUGGAACAUAAGAACUUCAUUGAUGUCUCUUUAGUCUGAAACUCAAUGCGACCAUAGUUAAUUUCCUUCUACCAAAUUCCUUUCAUUCCCAUCUAUAAAAAGUUUCUUUUUAUGCAUGUUCAGUGCUCAAUUCAAGUAUGCUCACCAAGGGAUACCUUUUUUUUGACAUUUUGGUGCAAAGUAGCUUAAUUUACCUCUCCUACUGUUUUCUUCAGAAUUAGAUGUUGAAAAUGGUGUUGGAACUCUAUUUAAUUUUUGCUGCAUUCUUAGUUGCUAUUAUUGAUCAUCAACGGAAGAGUUGAUAAAAUUCAAAUUUAGUUCUCAAUUCUUUUUGGUUCAUUUAAUUAUAAAGAUCUAUCUUCCUAGGUCGACGGUGGUCCAACCGCACCCGUCUUUAAAACAAUAGAGUUUGGAGUCCCAUGUGUUAGAAAUUUCAUACCAUUUAAACAAAAUGUAGAAAAGAACAAGCUAUGUUUAUCUAUGACAUUAAGCAACAGCCAAUGUUUAUCUGCCGCGUUUAUAAAAAGAAAUCUUUAGCUAGAGCAUUAAAACUAACCAAAUCUUUAGCUACAACAGUUAAGGCUUCCCUAUCUUUCGCUACAACAUUUAAAACUAGACAUGGCAUUUAAGACUUCCCUAUCUUUAGCUACAACAUUUAAGACUAGACGAUAAAGUCACUAGCUAUGUUUGGCAAUGUAAAAAUACAACAAUUUGGAUAACCCAUUCAAUUUGUGCUUGUUACUGAUGAGUAAUUACAAUACUAGUUACAGUUCUGCUAUAUAUAUGGACCGGGGUAAGUAAUGGAUACAUAUCAAAACCCAGUGAAUUUCUCACACAAUGGGGAAGCACAUCAAGCACAAUGCCCAACUUGUUGUCUUGCUUUCCAUGGUUCUUCUAAGUUGCCUGGUUUCUUCAGCCGUACAAGGUAAUGAACAAUUGUAAAUAGUUAUUUCAUGAACUUUCAGUGUUCAUCCUUAUGUUUAAAGUUUGUUUCGUCAACCUUGAGUAUGCACCCCUUGGAAAGAUCUAGAGUGGUUUUCUACAUAGGCAUUAUCUACAUGUUCACAUGCAAAAUGAAAUUACCUUCAUGUUGAGCUGACAUAAAUUUAUUUGAUUUUCACUUCAGUGACGACAAGAGGAGCAACACAGCGGCUAUACGGCCUAACGAUGACCCUGACUGUGUGAGAGAGACGAAGUUGAAGUGGCCGCGGAAACGACAGUACUGCUGCAACUAUUUUGCAUAUACUGGUCCAUGCUACGAUGACUAUACUGUCUGCAAAGCCCAUUGCCCGUGAUUCAACACAAUUCCCAUGAAUAGUUUUCAUGUAAUAAGGAAGAGAUGAUAUGCAAUAAGUUUUCCUAUCAACAUUUACUUUUCCAAUUGCUUAAGUGAAUAAAGAUAUGAUUUCCAAAAUUAUUAUGGUGCUUGUACUUAUCCCUAUCAACUGUUUUAUCAAAAAUACAUUUUUCGUGCAACGGAGACA
RNAcentral lists this long non-coding RNA (98557 nucleotides) under Triticum aestivum (bread wheat). Its description in RNAcentral is "long non-coding RNA (TAES_LNC012766)". The stretch from base 70322 to 70456 matches the Rfam family "MIR1120/MIR1122 microRNA precursor family". The record is from RNAcentral. Lineage: Eukaryota; Viridiplantae; Streptophyta; Magnoliopsida; Poales; Poaceae.